RNAcentral lists this long non-coding RNA (139275 nucleotides) under Malus domestica (apple). Its description in RNAcentral is "long non-coding RNA (MDOM_LNC001012)". Lineage: Eukaryota; Viridiplantae; Streptophyta; Magnoliopsida; Rosales; Rosaceae. The record is from RNAcentral.
AUAACGUUCUGAAAGAAAUUUGUAGCCACCUUCAGCCCAAGAAGUAUGAUCAUGCCGAUAACAUUAUUGAAAAGGGUUACCCAAUUCCAAUGUUGUUGAUUGUGGAAGGAAGAAUAGGCCAAGAAGGUUGGGUAAAAGACGCAGGAGAAAUCUAUGGAGAAGAACUUCUUGGUUGGUCAUUCUCGACCUCUUUCCCUGGCGAAGUACCUACAGCAGCUGAGUCGCCUUUUGUAAUUACGGAUGUUGUUGAAGCCCUUGUUCUGACGGCCAGUGAUAUGAAGAGUGUAGCCAUUGAAUUCCGGAAGCAUUUCAUAAAAAAAUACGACAAAUUCGUACAGACAUGGGCAUUCAAACAGAAAUGGCUUUUCGACGGUUUUACUUACGAUUAUUCUGAAGGGGAUAUUAAGGAGGCCACAAUAAGCUACACUUGUUUGAACAAUCCAAAUGAAGGAGGCUAUGGAACAGUUUACCACACAGAAUUAGGUGGAAGAGUUGUCGCCAUAAAAACGUGCAACAGUGCUACUGGUGACCCGUUCGUCCUGAGUCAACGUCUUGUUCAUGAGGCAUUUGUUGUUUUACAAAUCAGACACAAAAAUGUGGAGAGGCUGUUAGGUUGUUGUUUAGAGACAAGAUGGCCUAUAAUGGUUUAUGACCGCACCAAUGCUUUGACUCUUGUUGAGCACUUUCACAGAAACAAAUCGGAACUCUCGUUGGAAUCACUAAUGAAGAUAUUAGCAGAAACCGCAGGAGCUCUAGCACACUUGCACUCCAUCUCAGUCAUACACCGAGAUGUGAAGACAGCGAAUAUAUUAAUUGAUCGAACAACUCACACGAUAAAACUUACCGGUUUUGGAGCUUCACGAUUGCUUCAUGAAGAUGAAGGUGAAAUGGAAGAUGAAGUAUCAACUUUGCCAGGGACAUCGAGAUGCUUAGACCCUGAGCAUCUUAAAUCACACGACGUCUAUAGCUUUGGAGUUGUUCUAGUGGAGCUACUAACAUGUCAAGAGGCAGUUUCUUAUGACGGACCCAAUAGAUCCCUAGCAAACGACUUUGUUCGUUCAGUGCAAGAGGAUCGCUUGGGCCAUAUUCUCGAUGGUGAAAUACACAGAGACAAGUUAAGUUUUUUUGUUUUUUAUGGAGAAAGAGACAAGUUAAGUUUUGAGAUAGCCAAAAAGGUAAGCGGGCUUGCCGUGACAUGUUUGAGGUCAAGGGGAGAGGAAAGGCCUUCCAUGGAAAAAGUAGCUGAGGAGCUUUAUGGAGUAGUUCCCUACUGUAGAGCAUUGUACAGUGGACGAUAAUAUAUCUUCGGCUUCAAGAACUUCCGAGUGAAGUAUUGAUGUGAACCCGUGCGGCUGGUUUCAGUUUGAGUGUGUGCUUGUGAAAUUAUUGACAAGUAAGAUGCAUUUGGUAGUUUGAGUAAACCAUGGAACUUGGAAUUAGUAUCAAACUAGAAAUAGUGCCCGCGCGUUGCUGCGGGAUUAGAAACCAUAUGGAAAAAUAUGUUUCAAAGCUAUAAUAAAAGAAUGUAAUAUAUGAAAGUUUCGUAUGAAUAAUUCAAACUUGCACACAUUUAUGCGUUUUUUACCAAUUGUUAGAAACUGCUAGGAUAACAAUUGCUAUCACAUAAUUGGUAUGCUGUUAACAUAAUGAAAUCUGUGAAGCAAAAAAAUGAUAUGGAAUUUUAACUUAAGAUGCUAAAGAAGCUGUAUAAGAGUAGUUGGGUCGUCUGUGCUUUAUCCAUCAAAGGCAUUGCAACGGUAGAUUGUGGAAACUAUAAAAAUUGAUCCAAUCGAGAGACAAAAUUCAAUAGUUAUGGGUAAGGUGAAUUUGGAACCAUAAAUGUAAGAUACAGUUGAAAAAUUUGCAAAUUCAUUACAAUUUCAAAAAAUAUACGUACUAAAACUGAUGAUCUUAAAUUCAUAAAGUAUCCAAAAUUUGAUAAGUUUGUUAAAAUAAGUAUUCAUCACAACUAGGGAUGGACAACUGUUAUAGCGGACGGGUAACCACGGUUAUUUAUCCAUGACCGUUUAUGUUCAUACCCGCAUAACCAUUUACCCGUUGGGUAAUUAUAUAAAUGGUCAUACUCAGAACCAUAACCGUUUAUAAACGGUUAUCCAUACUCAUAACCGUGUAUCCAUUUAACCAUACUCAUUUACCCAUUUAACCAUAAUCAUUUAAAUCCUCAUAUAAUUCCAAUAAUUGAAAUAAUAAUUUACGAACGAUAUUUUUCUGCUUCACCCAUAACCGAGAAAUCAGGAUAAAAAAAGUAAAAGAUUAAGAAACAAACAAAGAUCACGGCCCGAAACGACAAUGCAUGGAAGAACAUAAAACCCAAAACGCCAAAACGAUGACAAUUCAAUGUGAGUGUAUAUAUAUAUAUAUAUAUAUAAAUGUACAAAGAAGAAGAAGAAAAAGAAACGUACCUCUCUGACCUCGGCAAUAGGGUCAAAAGAGAGAACCAACUUGGCAACAACGGAAGAAGACUGCUGCUGAUCAGAAGCGGAGGCAAGCAACACAUCACCGAUGUGCCCUAAGGGAAGCAACAAAUAAUAGUAACUUACAAGUUGUAAGUUCUCCAAGGGUUUUUAAUUUUUUUUUUUUAAUUUUACAUAUAUUAAAUUAAAUGGGUAAAUGGAUACCCGUUAUAACCGUGAAUAUUACCCAUAACCGAUGGAUACCCGUUAUAACUGCGGAUAAUACCCAUAACCGCCCAUUUAAAUUUCAUGGAUUAACGGUUAUACCCAUAACCGUUUAUUUGUCUAAACGGUUACCCAUAACCAUAACCGUCAACUUUAAAUGGACGGGUAACCGCAGUUACCCAUACCUAUGAGUAUUUUGCCCAUCCUUAAUCACAACAAUAGCACUGAAAUUGAGUUCUUUUGUUUGCCAAGAUUUUUCCAGCAACUAAACAGAUGAAAGUACAGAUAAUGAAACAAUCAAUUGAAUGAAAGACAUUGAAUUGAAUCAUUAUGACAACAAAGUUGAAAAACAAUUGAUGUUGUUGUAGGUCAUUUUAAAUGAAAAGAAGAACAUUGGCUUACAUAGUUGGAGGCAUGUAGGUGAUAUGAAAUCUGUCAUCUAUGUAUGCAUACUGCAAAACAUUACGGAAGUAGCAAAAAACAAUCCUCACAGAUGACAGUAAAAUAAUAAGAAGACAGAUUUGUAUCAAACGUACAAACAGGACAAAUGCAUAUUAAGGGGAAAAUAACCAAGCAAUAAAAAGAUGAGGCUUUUUAAAGCUUACCAAAUAGAAUCACCAAGGGAUUUUUCCAAAGCAUUAGGUGAUUUUUUGUAAUCCUUCUUGUAAUUCUACAAAAAAAAACACAGGAAUAACCAUAUAAGCUCCUAAUAAAAGUUAAAAAGCUGAUAUAAAUUGAAAUGAAAAAAAAAAUUAGCAUAAAUUGAAUGAUUAAAAUCUUUGUAUAUCUAUAAAGUAACGAUUGUGAUUUUUUCCUACUUGUCUUUCCUAGUAGCUAUCUAUGGACUAAUUCAAAGAUUUGUUCUUCCUGGAUGUCUAGGGAAAGGAAUAGCAUCUCUAAUGUGGUCAAUGCUGGUAGCAAAUAAAAUCAUCCGUUCGAAUCCUAAACCAAAACCAUAAUGUUUGAUGGUCCCAAAGUGUGGCAAGUCAAUGUACCACUCAUACGGUUCAGUAGGUAGACCCAUUUCCUGAAUAUGACUCCACUGGAAAGAAUUUCAGUGAAAGUACCUCAUCAGAUGUCGUUUGGAAAUAAAGAAAUCAUUAAAUAACAGCUGAGUUCAGUGAAGCAGGAUUAUCAUAAGAUAGUGCCAACUUAAUUAAUUGUGGUACAAAUGCGUGUUUAGACUACAUAAUAGCGAAGAUACUUGACAGCGAUUUUUAUAAGCUUUCGAUAGACUAACAAAGUAUGUAUUGUAAAAGAGUGCAAUUUUUGGUAAAACAGUUGUUGCCAGCAUCAAAAUACAUCUGUGGUGCCCUUUUUCAAUCAUAUGGAGCACGAUAGUUGUAGUAAUUUGUCAAAAAUGACUUGGAUACUACCACUAUUCCAAUUAACAGACUGAAUGGAGCAGGAUUGUGAGAGUAUGAUUAACCAAAUGGAGAAAACUAAGUUAGUAUCUAUAACACAUGGCACCUCACUUUCUCACAGUGGCUUAAUGUGUUCUCGACCAUUUAGCAACCUGUUUAAUUCUAGUUAAUAUUACUUCGAAAAUACCAAGACCAUAUUAAAACUCAUUUAUGCAGAAAUUAAGGUCUCGUUUGAUAACCAUUGUGUUUUUAUCAACUUAAGUUAACUUCUUAAAUGUAACAGAAUGCAAGGUUUUCAACUCAAACAUACUUAAGUCAACAUCUGCAGGAGUAAGAGUAGAACUAUAAUGCAACAAAAGGGUUAAGACUACUCAAAAGAUUGUAGUUGAACAAUCUAUGUUCUAAUUAGCACUAAUCCUUACAUGUAUACACUAAAGUUGAAAUUAAACGAAAAACAACGGAAAACAGAUGUAUGAUGACAGGGAGACACAAAUGUAAAAAACAAUCAAUACCUUUAACUCUUUGUUGAUAAACAACUCGGUAACUCAUCAUUAAAGUUGUAACCUCUCUGUUUAAAGGGUCAGAGGGAUUGGGAUAUAGCAGAAGUUGUGGUGAGAACACUUUAAAUAUGCUGGUAAGAUCUGGAAACACAGGGUGAUGUAAUUAGAAUUUGAUAGUAUUCCUUGUUUGGUUCAAUUAAUAGUGCCACACAAUUUAGAGUAGUAGGAGUUUAUGAAAGUGAGCAUUUUAUCAACAUUUGGGUGGUAAGUCUUAUUGGCAAAGCCUAUUGAGGGAGAUUUAUAGGGAUAAGGAUCUGGUAGCUUAGAUGUUAUCCUCCACACACUUCUCUGAUAAAUAUCUGUCGCAAUCCAUAAUAUGGAUGAAAUGGGGGGAUUACGCGAUGAAAACAAAUCACGGGCAAUCCAAGUAGCUAUUUUGGAAACCAAAAUCAUCAAAACAAAUUAGAGCAAUUACCAAACAACAAAUUCCAUUAUAAAAAAAAUAAAAAAUAAACUAAUGAUUGGAUAAGAACAGAUACAAAAACUGUUUCCAAUGAAUAACAAUGAGCAUAAAUAUAAUCGUUUCACAUACAAUAAGGUAGGCAAAAGAUGACGGUGAUUAAUACAAAAUUGUAACUGCUAAUGGUUAAGAUUGAGACGGAGAAGUAAAACAUAUUGAUGCUAAAUUUGGUUCUAAAGGUUGGUAACAAUCACAGAACAAUGCUGGAUAUGAUUAUAGCCCAUGGUGAAGUUACUUUUGUAAUUAUUUAAUGACUAACAUUGGAUACAUGGUGUAGUUCAAGGUUUUAUACGUUUUUACCACCAACGAAGUUUGGUUCCAAUGUGAAGAAAACGAAAAUAAUAUGUUGGGGUUAACACUAAACACUUUUAAGAUCAAAGUGGUUAAAAUAGUUUAAAACGAAAGAUAUCGCUUGAGAAUAGAUGGGUUGAUCAAGGGGAACUUUAACGAAAAGCUCUCCGGUACUGUUCACUUUAACGAAAAACCAUAUUUUUACACUAAAAGGUCAAUCCUGGUACUAUUCACUUUACCCUUUAUUUUGUCCUUAUCGUUAAAACUUAAAGUUUUCAAGUCAUUUUCAUUAGUUUUCCUUUGAUCAAAUUUAUCCAAUGAAAGAUUACAAACUAAGGACAAUGGGUUGAACAAAAGCGAAAGAGAAGCGGAUAAAAAAGGGAAAAAAAAUUAGGAAGAAAAGAGAGGUCCCAACGAAAGUAACAGAAAAUUAACAACGCAAAAUAUUUGAUACAUUGAAUACUAAAUGGUUGAACGGAUUAUAUACCUUCAAUAAACAGCGGUGGUUCUUGAAAGUGAAGAAGAACAAAAUCAGACAGUAAUACGAAGCAUUUGAUUACGAAGACAAAAUCUGCAGCAUGGCAAAAUGAGAAUUUAGACAUAAAAUUUAUCUGUAAAUCAGAAAAAAAAAGAAAGAAUAAUAAAUGAAAAAAGAGACACAUCAAGAAAAGAGGCCUUACAACAGCUUCGUUAAGCGCCAAUUCAAAACGAUUACAGCUGGGAAACUAUAUUUAACACCAUGCUGAUAGGAUGUAGAAAUGGCAUGAUCAAAUAUUAACAGGCAUGGAGAAUAGAGAGGUUCAAAAGGCUUAUAAACAAAAUCUUCAAGUUGUAGAAUGCAGAUACAAAAGGCUAAAAGUUGUUUAUUAACAUACAGACAAAAAAAUAUUUUAGACAUGUGUUAGAUUUUAGCACUUGGAACCAUCCUUCAAGCGCAACCAGCAUUUGGAUACAAAAAAUUGAAGUGCUGGUCUAUGUACAGGCAAAAAGAUAUUUACAUGGCAAACGAAUAGGAUAAAUAUUGUUUCAUACACAUUAACAAAAAAGUAAUUAACACUUUAAAAAUCACUCCGAACCCCAAAAAUGUAAAAAGUAAUUAACACUAUAAAAUAAUCCGGAACAUACUAAAAAGUCAGUAGUUACUUUGAAAAUCAACACCUCGGGCUCAUUUGAUUAGUGUGAUGAAGACUGAUGUUGUUGCACCAUAUAUUUGGUUAACUUCAACUUGGAUCGUUUUCUUAUGCAAGAUUCUUUGCUUAAUUUAAAUAUAUAAUCAAACAUCCCUCCCUAUUUAAAAGCUUGUGGUACCAACUAUUUCAUUUGACUGAAAAUUAUGUGUUUGAAUACUCACGGGCUGCUUGCUUGAUAGCCAUUUUUCUAUCUCAGUGUUUUUCAAAAUCAGUCAUAAUCAUUUUGGUCCCAAUUCUAAAACAGAAAAAUGGCAAGAAAAGGUCUUUUUGCCAAAGCAUAAGUACAUACCAAUUCGAUAGUGAAUUCUCGUGAUUCCUCCUGGGACCUUGAUGAGAUUAUUGCUGGUGAUCUGAAGAUAGAAAGCUUGAAUUAGGGUGGACACACCCUAACUACAAAUCCCAUGGAUCAAAAGUUUAACCCAAAAGAACACCCCCCCCCCCAAAAUCUCUCUUAUCAAAUGAAAACUCCGAAAGCAAUUCAAUGGUUGAUAACAACCCAUUUAACAUUGAACCCAAAAAAUUUUAAAGCUUCUACCAUUUAAAACUGAACAAAACACAAUCCAUACAUUAUAACAAAAACUGCGUGCAUAAAUUCACCAAAACCCACAGCACUGACCAACACCCACAAAAUCAGCCAAAAUAUACAAAAUAGGGUAAAAAAGCUAAAUCUGGAGGAAAAAAAAGGGAGGGCUGCAAAUAAAGUCGCAUGAUUGAUUUCUAGCAAGAAAACGGGUGUUAAUAAUGGAGAAUCGCGAACAAAAUUCUAGAGAGGGCGAGAGGACUCACCGUGAAUUCAUAGCCACUUGAAGAAUUUUCUUCAAAUCGGGACAGAAUCUGCGUCAGGUCGUCAUCGUUGACAAAGAGCAUAAGAAAUCUUCUUCGAUAUUGAGACCUUACGAAAUCUUGGCGUCGGGAACGUCGGUGACCGAGUGCUUCUCGACCUCGAACUGGAGCUGGUGACCACCUAGGAGUUCGAUGUUCUAUUUGACCAAGAAUUUGGAGCUUCGGAGAGAAAGAUAUGCAGGGAAGUUAAAGUAGAUGGAGUUCACGAAGGGUAGCUAAAUCGGAGUUGGACGAUAACGGCAAAUGGAGAACGAAGGGUUUCUGGUAGAGAGAACAACAGAGAAGAAGGGAGAGAGAGCAAACGAAACCAAAACCACAGAAACCCAAAACAAACGAAGUCAAAUUAAGAGUAAAAGAAAAAGCAACAGAAGGAAAAACAGUGAAAAGAAAGGGAAGAUGCCAGAACACGCUGCGAUAGCCGACAGCUGGAGAGGAAAGGCAAAAACGCCUUUUCACUGUAGAUAAGCCAAAACAAAAGGCAGCCAGGACAGCAUUUUAAGGAACCAGGAUCCUGAGCAAUUCCCUAAGAAUCCUAGGGAUUCCACAAUCAUGUCCGUUCAUCUUAUAUCUUGCGAUCAGAAAUCAUUUAAAAUUUAAAUUUUAAAAUUCAAAUAUAAAUAGUACCUAACGAAAACUGACCGCACGAUAUAAAAUGAACGGACAAGAUUGCGGGAUCCCUAGGGAAUUGCUCAGGAGAAGAUCCUGGUUCCAUUUUAAGGGCAUUUUCACCAUUUUACUGUUUAUAAACAGUAACCAAGAGUUUGGAUUUUAGUAUAUAUAAAUUGUUACUUUUAUAUUUUUGCCCAUUUCAUUUGUCUUUGCACUUAUCUUGGUUCUAACCUCUUGAAUUAUGUAUUGGCCCCCGCAUAAAUCCAUAAUCUCUUAAAAGAGAUGACCAAAAUUCAGAACUAGAGAAUCAUAAAUAGAUUCCACUAAAAAGUGUCUGAAUAAAGCAUUAUGCUGCUUUUUUCUUUUCAUAAGCAAUGUUUGAAUCCAUAAUGCUAAAGAAAGCUAUCUUUUAUCUCUCUCUCUUUCUUUUUUUUUUUUUUUUUGGCAUUAUAUUUACAAAUUUACAAUGUCAAACAACAAACCGGUGGCUAGAAAAAGGAAAAUCACUAAUAAAAAUCAACAACUAAACCUAUACCCCAACCAAGCAAAAACCAAAUGCACACUGAUAAUAUCUUCAAGUAUAAAAAUAAGGAACCAAACAAAUGCAACAAAUGUAACAUCAUUUCAAUUAGGGGUGGGCACUUGAAACCGAAAACCGAAACCGAAACACGAAUCGAAUCAAACCGCACCAAACUGUUUGGUUUUGCGGUUUUGAAACGGUUUCGGUUUCAAAACCGAACCGCGGCACACAAAACGGUUUGGUUUCGGUUUUGGGUUUUCAAAACCGCACCGAAACCGAAACCGCACCAUAUAAUAAAUAAAUGUUAUAUUUUAAACUUUUUAAUUUUUAAUUAGUUCAACUAGGUUAUAGAUUUAGUUUUGCGGUUUUGGGUUUGCACUUCGACUCCUGAGUGAGUCCUGACUAGUCUGUGUCUGACUGCUUCUGCGCCGCCUCCUUGCAUCUCCGCCUCUGCCUUGCCUUUUGGUCACCAGGCUGCUUCUGCUUCCAUCUCUGCAAUCUGCAUCUCUGCGUCUGCCUCUGCGAGCGACUGCCUGCUUGCAUCUCUGGAAGCGGUGGAAGUGAUCGGUGACUGCCUGUUGGUUGCAUUUGUGUUUUCAGUGGUGUCCAGACAAAUCGUCUGUCUUUGGAAGUUCUGCAGAGGAUGGUCUUUUAAACAUUUGGGAUUAUGAGAAGGUAUAUGGCCUUCAGGAUGGUCUUUUAAACAUUUGGGAUUAUGAGAAGGUAUGUCGGGCACUUUCUUUUCUUUUAUUUUCCUUGUAGUUUGUUGUUCAUGGUUUGCUUAACUUUAUAACUGUAUGCAGGGACAAGGUUGUUGAUUUUCAUUGGAAUGCAUCUGAUCCAUGGACUGUUGUCAGUGUGUCUGAUGACUGUGAUAGUACUGGCGGAGGGGGUACAUUGCAGGUAUCAGAAUGUUUGUUCUUGUCGUUGUUGAAAGGGUUUCAUUUUUCGAGUCAUAAAAUCAUUUCUAAGAAUAUUUCAUAAGAGUACAUGUGAAAGCUGAGGGAGCUAUAAUGAGAAACCAUAUAAGAUUGAAUAUUACCCAUUAUAUAAGAUUAAGAAAGAUGUUGCUAGUUUAACAUCGCGGAGAGUUUUUUCUACAUGAUGAAUUAUUUGUUGGUAUUGACAAGUUUACUAACUCAAUACCAAAAUAUGUGGGUGAUAAGUUUACAAACUCUAUCACACCUCUCACUUUCUCUCUCUAACAAACGAAGAAGGGAUAGGAAAUAACAAGCUUCCAACACACUUUCUUGAUAUAUGAAAUAAAAGGCAGUUUACAAACUGAUGAAGAAAAAAAAUAGAAACUUACAAGCUUAUGAACCUGAGAGAAUACAAUCAGAAAAAUGGGAUUUGGAUGGGAUGAUUCUAAAACCUUACGAGAGGCUUCCUUAAAUACUACACAACCUACACCUUUACACCAUCAAUUGACAGCACACAGACAGCAGCAUAUCUGCUGUCUUUAACACAUGGGAACGUGAAAAAUGAAGAGACCAAAAGUGCUCCAGGUUGUCUACAUUCGGCAAGUACAUGGCAGCACCAUUCCAGGUUGUAGUCACAACCUUUCAGCUAGCACAUGGAGGAACUUUUAGCCUUUAAAGUUGCAGCAUGUGUGGAUACAUCCUGUAAAGAAACUAACAGCCAUUAGCAACCUUUUACAGCCUGUUUUGAGUUGAAUUUCCAACACGCCCCCUCAAAUCAAAACGCCUUCAUGCCUAGCAUUUCACGCAAUAACCUGAAUGGUUCAACUGGCAGUGGCUUAGUGAAGAUGUCAGCCAUUUGUUCCUUUGUGUGACAAUAGACAAGUUCGAUUGUCUUUUGCUUCACAUGGUCCCUCAGAAAAUGGAACCUGGUAUCAAUAUGCUUGCUCCUUCCAUGUUGGACUGGAUUCCUAGCAAGCUUGAUAGCUGAGAUGUUAUCCACAUGAAUCACAGUCGGUUCCACUUGUGGAUGACACACUGACUUCAAUAGAUUUCUUAACCAAAUUGCCUCACACACGGUUGAGGCUAAAGCAACGUACUCGGCUUCACACGAUGACAAAGCAACAAUUGAUUGCUUCUUUGAAGUCCAUGAGAAAGCUGUUGAUCCUAGAAAAAACACAUAGCCAAUUGUGCUUUUCCUUUCAUCUUGGUCACCUCCCCAAUCACUAUCUGAAUAACCAAAUAAUUUUGCAUCUUCACCAAAAUUAUAAAAUAGACCAUAGUUUAGAGUACCUCUUAUGUACCUCAAAAUUCUCUUGGCGGCCAGCCAAUGAGACUCCCUUGGUGUUUCCAUGUAUCGACUCACGAGUCCAACACCAUAAACUAUAUCAGGUCUUGUGAUUGUAAGGUACCUUAGACUUCCAACCAAGCUUUUGUACACGGUUGAGUUUACAAACUCACAUUCUCCUUCCUUGGACAGCUUCAAUCCAGUUGCAACUGGAGUGUUGACAAUAUUGCACUUAUCCAUAUUGAAUUUCUCCAAUAUAUCUCUCAUGUACUUUUGUUGAGAGAUGUAGAUACCGUCACUUUCUUGCUUCACCUCUAUGCCAAGAAAGUAUGACAUUAAUCCAUUGUCAGUCAUCUCGAAUUCACUGAACAUGGAUUUCUUGAACUCACAGAACAUUGCUUCAUUGUUUCCUGUAAACAACAAGUCAUCUACAUAGAGACAAAUAAUUAAGAACUCCCCUUUUGCACCAUUCUUCAUGUUAAACUGAAUGCUCGUAUGGACAUUUCUGAAAUCCAUUUGGUGAAGGUAGUUGUCAAUCCUUGAGUUCCAAGCUCGUGGUGCUUGCUUAAGGCCAUACAAAGCCUUCUUCAAACGAUACACCUUAUCUUCUUUUCCUUGUACUUGAAAGCCUUCUGGUUGUUCCACGUACACUUCUUCCUCAAGUACUCCAUUAAGGAAGGCUGACUUGACAUCUAGUUGAUAAAUUUUCCAUUUAUGAUGAGCGGCAAGAGAGAUUAGUAAUCUUACCGUGUCAAGUCUUGCAACUGGAGCAUAGACUUCAUCAUAGUCCACUCCAUACUUCUGUUUGUAGCCUUUGCUACAAGCCUUGAUUUGUACCGAUCCACACUCCCAUCUGCAAUGCGUUUGAUCUUGUACACCCACUUGACACCAAUUGCCUUCUGAUUUGGUGGGAGCUUUGUCAACUCCCAAGUGUCAUUCUUCUCGAUGGCAUGGAUUUCUUCCUCCAUGGCUAUUCUCCAACGAUCUUCUUCCACAGCUUCAUUGAAUGAGAGAGGCUCGUGGUCUGCAUACAAGCAGAAAAAGUUGGUUUCUUCUUCUUCUUCUUGUCCAUAUAUUUCGGUGAGACUUCUUAGCCUCACUGGAGUUGAGGAGCUGCUUUCUUCACUAGAUGUAGGACCACUCCUUGCAAUUCUGUGCACUGGAGUUGUUGUGAUUGUUUGAGCAGGUUGUUGCUCAACAGGUGGUACAACUUCUGGUUCUUCAAAAUCAGUGGAAACGAUCUUCUCUUUACUGACUUCUUUGUUGUUCCACUUCCAUGCCUCUUCCUCACUGAAGAUGACAUCUCUACUAACCACUAGUUUGCCAGUUAGUGGGUUGUAGAGCUUGUAUGCCUUGGACUCUUCACAAUAGCCCACAAACACACACUUUUCACCUUGAUCAUCGAGCUUUCUCCUCUUGGCUUCUGGAACCUGAGCAUAUGCAACACACCCAAAAACUCUUAGGUGUGUAACACUCGGCUUGUAUCCACUCUAAGCUUCUUGUGGUGUCAUCCUCUUGACACUCUUUGUUGGACAUCGAUUCAACAAAUAAAUCGAACAAGCUACAGCUUCUGCCCACAAUUCUUUUGGCAAAUUCUUCUCCUUAAGCAUUGACCUUGUCAUGUCAAGGAUGGUUCGAUUCUUUCUUUCGGCUAUCCCAUUUUGUUGUGGGGUAUAGGCAGUAGUAAGUUGAUGCCUAAUUCCUUGCUCCUUGCAGUAUGCUUGGAAAGCAUUAGAGGUGUACUCUCCACCUCUAUCUGAUCUCACAGCCACAAGCUUGUGGUUGCUUUCAGCCUCUGUGAGUGCCUUGAACUCCUUGAAGAUUUUUAGGGCAGCCGACUUCUCCUUGAGAAAAUAAACCCAAGUCUUCCUACUGAAAUCAUCAAUGAAAGUAAUAAAAUACCUAUUACCUCCAUAAGACAUGGGAUCCAAUGGACCACAUAUAUCUGUGUGCACCAAACUGCAGUGGUGCCUUUGCUCUCCAUGUAUCACCAACAGGGAACGAUAGUCGUGCUUGCUUGCCAAGCACACAACCUUCACAUACUUGGCGUGUGGCUUCAAUUUGGGGUAGACACAAAACCAUUCCUCCACUUGACAGCAACUUUAGGCCAUUGAAAUGAAGAUGGCCAAAUCGAAGAUGCCAUUUUUCCAUGACUCAUCUUCCAUUAUACCGAUGUUGCAGCUUCCAAUCUUUGUGUUCAAAUUCAACGGGAACAUCCGGUUCUUUGACAUUCGAACACGUGCAAUAAGCUUUCUCCUUGCAUUCCUGAGAGUGAGAAGCAUGUUCUCCAUAUGUAUAAUGUACCCUUUCUGGAGCAGUUGACCAAUGCUCAGAAUGUUGCUCUUCAUACCUGGUAUGUAGUAGGUAUCGGAGAUGUAUUCUUCUCUACCAUCCUUCUGGAUGAUCUUGAUCUUCCCUUUGCCUUCAACUGGCAACUUUGAGGAGUCACCAAGACUUACAGAUCCAUAGGCCCCAUCUUUGAGUUCGGCAAAAAAACUCCUUCUUUCCACACAUGUGAUUGCUUGCACCAGAGUCCAAAUACCAAACAUCUUGUUGGCUACUGGAAUCAUGGUGUGCUAGCAAGACUAUAAGUUCUUCAUCAGUAUUUCCACUUGAUUCUGCCAUGUUGACAUGCUCACCAUUUUUAUGUGAACAUUCAUUGGCAUAAUGUCCAUAUUGCUUACAGUUGUGACACUGGAUAUGCGCCUUUCCUCGAGUAGAUCUCCACUCCUGAGACUGACCUCGAUUUUGUGCAUAGCCUCGACCUCUUCCUCGGGCUCGUCCUCGGCUACGGUUGGAUGAACUCCCACGACGUGAGUUCCACUGCCCACGACCUCCAUUUGGUUUGUCAAUAUUCAACUUUGACUCCAAAGCUUGCUCUAGCGUUGUGGGGCUUGCAUUCUUCUGAAUGCGUUGCUCGUGAACUAGGAGGGAUCCUAGUAGCUCCUCUGCGCUCAUCGCCUCCAAAUCCUUGGAUUCCUCAAUGGCAGUCACCACAUGCUCAAACUUAGAUGUGAGUGACCGGAGUAUCUUCUCCACAACUCGUACUUCAUCGAGUCUCUCGCCAUUUCUCCUCAUUUGAUUUACUAUCACAAUGAGCCUUGAGUGAUAGUCGGAGAUGCUUUCCCCUUCAUUCAUGUGAGCAGUUUCAAAAUCUGCUUGAAGUGACUGUAACCUCACUUUCUUGACUCGAUCUACUCCUUUGUAGAUUGUACUGAGUGUGUCCCAUACUUGCUUGCUCGUUGUUGCUUCUGCAACCUUCUCGAACGUUGAAUCUUCUAAUCCUUGAUAGAGAAGAUACAACGCCUUCUGGUCAUUCUUUCGUAAAUCCUUGAGAGUGUUCCUUUGAUCUGCAGUAUAUGUGGCUUCUUGCUCGGUAGUGGGUACAACAUACCCAUUACUGACAACUUCCCAUAGCUCUUGUGAUCCAAACAAUGCUUUGAAUUGGAUGCACCAUCUUUCAUAAUUUUCUUUCUUCAAUGUGGGAACUUGGAGCUGCACUAAGUUGGAUGCCAUAACUGCUGCACCUGCCAGAAUGGUAUUCUGGCUCUGAUACCAACUGUUGGUAUUGACAAGUUUACUAACUCAAUACCAAAAUAUGUGGGUGAUAAGUUUACAAACUCUAUCACACCUCUCACUUUCUCUCUCUAACAAACGAAGAAGGGAUAGGAAAUAACAAGUUUCCACGAAACACACUUUCUUGAUAUAUGAAAUAAAAGGCAGUUUACAAACUGAUGAAGAAAAAAAACAGAAACUUACAAGCUUAUGAACCUGAGAGAAUACAAUCAGAAAAAUGGGAUUUGGAUGGGAUGAUUCUAAAACCUUACGAUAGGCUUCCUUAAAUACUACACAACCUACACCUUUACACCAUCAAUUGACAGCACACAGAUAGCAGCAUAUCUGCUGUCUUUAACACAUGGGAACGUGAAAAAUGAAGAGACCAAAAGUGCUCCAGGUUGUCUACAUUCGGCAAGUACAUGGCAGCACCAUUCCAGGUUGUAGUCACAACCUUUCAGCUAGCACAUGGAGGAACUUUUAGCCUUUAAAGUUGCAACAUGUGUGGAUACAUCCUGUAAAGAAACUAACAGCCAUUAGCAACCUUUUACAGCCUGUUUUGAGUUGAAUUCCAACAUUAUUCUGCUGCUAACCCCUUUUUUGAAUUUUAGCAUUUCGAUAAGAGGUGUUUAAAAGCAUUAUGGAGAAAAUUUGUUAGGAAGCAAAUUUCCUUUAAAAAGUUGAGCUUACACCAAAUUUUACUGGUGUACCAAUGAUGUGUUUUACCCUUACGUCCCUCCCUUCCUCGGAGAAAUGCUGGCCUUAGAUUUUACUCUUGACUUGGAAAUUUUGCUUUCUUUUCCGGCCUUAGAUUUCUUUUCCAGCUUUUGUUUCAGUGCAGUUUUUUGCUGCAGGUUUGGUGUAGUUUUUGGUGUUGUCUUGCUGCUGUUUUGUGUUGUUUUUCUGUGUUUUCUAUGCAGUUUGGCUGCAUUUUUUUGGCAGUUUUGGAGCUGUUUUUUUGCUGCAUUGUUGUUGCUGUUUUUUGUGCAAUUUUGCUGCAUAUUCAUUAAUUAAUAUACAAGGAAAAUAAGACCGUCUUAUGCAUAAAUAUGUGUAUAUUUUAAAUUGUACAUUUUUUUCUCAAAAACCAAACCGAAACCGUUUGAAACCGCACCGAACCGAACCAAACCAAACCAAACGGUUUGGUUUCAUUUCGGUUUUGGCUUCAAAACCGCACCGCACCGUAAAAAGUUUCGGUUUCGGUUGUGGUUUCACUCGAAAUCGCACCGAACCGCACCGCGCCCACCCCUAAUUUCAAUAGCAAAAAAGAAAACUGACAUUUGGUUCAAAAGUAUUAGAGGGAGUAUAGGUCAAGGAUUUAAAUAUCGGUAAUAUCGGUAGUCCGAAAACACAGAAAUAUCGACGGAAAUAUCGAUAUUGAUAAAAAUUACAUGGAAACCACGGAAAUUGUAAGAAAAACUUGAAAAUUUUUAUUGAAACUUUGCAGGAUGUUUAUUUAGUCAAUUAUCUAUUAGUUUAUCACAAAAAAUUGGAAGGAAAUGCAUUGCAUGAUGGAUUUAACAUUAUCAAGUUGAUUAUAUAGCGAGCUGACAAACAUUGUGAGUGUAGAAAAUAUGUAGUAAUUAACGAAAGAAGUCUAAACACACACACAUACAUGCUAUUAUUCGUUGUCCAUUGUCUGCAAUUGUAAAAAGUGAUUGAAAAAUUCAUGAGGUGAGUCAGAUGGGGUCACUCAACCACAGAGGCACACACACACAGAGACAUGCCAUCACACACGCACACAACACACGCACACAUAUCUCACACGCAUACGGCUCUCUAUCUCUCUCAUUCUCGAUCCUUCUCUCUUCUUCUCUGAGUCUGAGGUGUCGGACCUCUCUUCUCCCCCUUCUCCAUUCGACCCACACACACAGAGAUCUCCCCCUUCUUGAUCCUUCUCUCUUCUUCUCUGAGGCCUUCGAUCCUUCUCUCUUCUUCUCUGAGGCCCUCGAUCCUUCUCUCUUCUUCUCUGAGGCGUCUGACCUCUCUUCUCCCCCUUCUCCAUUCGACCCACACACAUAGAUCUCCCCCUUCUCGAUCCUUCUCUCUUCUUCUCUGAGGCCCUCGAUCAUUCUCUCUUCUUCUCUGAGGCCUGACCUCUCUUCUCCCCCUUCUCCAUUCGACCCACACGCACACAGAUCUCCCCAUUCUCCCACUUUCUCGAUCCUUCGCCCACUCUCUCGAUCCUUCGCUGCUGUUGAUCGUGGCUUUGGCGAAGUCGGACUUGGCUCAGUCGUCUCUGGUGGUGCGCCACUGAGCAAGGAGUUGGCCCAGUCAUCGAUUUUUCAGGUGAGAUUCCAUUGAAACCCUAAGCCCUAAACCGACAUCACAUAUGUUGAAUCGUUGAUGCAUGCGUGAAAUUUGAAGCUUAUAUGUGAAAUUGAAGUUAAAAAUCGUGUUUUUGCAAGGUUUUUGGGACGAAAUCGGCUCGGGAAUAGGCACACCAUCUCCGGCGUUCGAUAUCGGAGUCCGAUUGCACCGUUCAACAAAAUAUCUCGAUAUUUCCAAAAUAUCGCGAUAUUAUCGAUAUCGAUAAUAUCACGAUAUUUUGACGAAAACCACACAGAUACCUAUUUAAAUAUCCAUUCCCCGAAAAAUCGAUAUUAUCGACGAUAUUUCGUCGAUAAUAUCGAUAUUUAAAUCCAUGGUGAUGACACAUAACAUUUAUAUAACAUUUAUAUGAAAAGCCCACGCAAGUGGGUGGUUUUCAUAAUUUAAACCAUACCCUUUUAAGUAGUAGCUGUCCACCCUAUUUCACAUCACCCAAGGUAGACCUCAAUCAUCACCAAGUGAAAUGUCAUUUGUAUAACCUAUUCGUUUCUUCUUCUUUGUCUUUUUAGAACCUCAAAAUUUGAUUAGUCAUCACCAGCUUUUUACCUUGGAAAGUGAAAUGUCAUUUGUAUAACCUAUUCGUUUCCAAGGAUGAAAAUAUCGAUAUUAUCGGCGAUAUUUCGCCGAUAAUAUCGUUUUUUUGAGAUAACGAUAUUUUUACAUAUAUCCACUUAAUUAUCGUCCAAAUAUCGCAAUAUUAUCGAUAAUAUCGCGAUAUUUUCGAUAUCUUUUCGAUAUUUUCAAGAUACUUUCGAUAUUUUCGCCAGGAGGAUGCUCCGACGAGGAAGAAGAAGGAGCAGAGCUGGAAGAGGCGGAGGAGGGCUUACUGAACGGUGGAAAGGGAGUGGAGCCAUCGGAAUCCGCCGAGCGCGGACUCCUCUGGACCGAAGGUGCCGAGCCAGACCCGGGUCUUCUUCCACGGGUCACAGAUCUCGGCAGCAAACCGGCCCCACGGUCUUUUCUGAACCCCUCGGUACCGGACCUCUUUUCCAAUACAGGGUCUAGAUCCGGUGGAUUCGGCCGGCGGCGCUGCGUGUCUCGUAGCGGCUCCUCUUCCCCUCCUCAUGGCCAAGAAUCGGGCUUUUUAGAGUCUGAUGGUCAUAGAAAGAAUUGGGUGUUUGAGAGAUUUGGAUUGGGAAAAUUGAAAGAUGGGUUUUGCAGAGACAGGAAGAGAAGAGAGAGAGAGAGAGGAUAUGGGGGAAGGUUUGCUUAGAGGGAUGGGUGGGAGAAAAACUGGAUGGCACCAGCACCACCUUCCCUUCUACACAAAAAAUAUAUAAAUAAUAAUGAUUUUUUUGGUUUUUGGUUUAUGGGAUUAUUUUUUUAUUUUUUUUUUGGGGUUUCUGGCUGAGAUAAAAUUGGCUUUUUUUUUUUUUUUGAACUUUUUUCCGGGUCAAAGAAAAGAAAUAGGGUAUUUUGGUUGUUUCUUUUUCUUUGGUUUCUUUGUUCCUUCCUUUCUCGAUUAGUGUAGCUUCUGUUGCCCCCACAAACCGACCAGACUCGAUUUCUUUGCUUCUCCCUUUAUCAUUCUCGUCCUCCCAUUUUAUUUUUUUCAAGUUUCGUAAAUUAUGAAUUUUCGUUUCUUCCCUUUUCGGCUUUUCCACCGCGUUCCAAAUCUAAAAUGUUUUAUGUUAUUUAGCAAAACGAUUAUUUUUUGUUCUUUGUAUUUUUAAGUCAAAGUCAAACAGUGUCCUAAGUUUGACAUCAAAUUAUCACGAAUUCAAUAUCAAUUUUGUUUUGUUGGUUUUUUUAUGUGUUUAAGUUUACAUAUUACAAUUAAAUGAUAAUCAUCUUUAUUUGUAAGUUAAUAAAAUCUUAAAUUGGAUGCCAAUUUAUCACAAAUUCUAUACUAAAUUAUCAAUGUUAGCACUUGUGUGGCAUGACCAAAAUCUACACUCCUACAUUAAUUACAUAUUCUCUACACUCACAAUGUUUGUCAGCUCGCUAUAUAAUCAACUUGAUAAUGUUAAAUCCAUCAUGCAAUGCAUUUCCUUCCAAUUUUUGUGAUAAACUAAUAGAUAAUUGACUAAAUAAACAUCCUGCAAAGUUUCAAUAAAUUUCCAAGUUUUUCUUACAAUUUCCGUGGUUUCCAUGUAAUUUUUAUCGAUAUCGAUAUUAUCCCGAUAUUUCCAUCGAUAUUUCCGUGUUUUCAGACUACCGAUAUUUCCGAUAUUACCGAUAUUUUCUUCCUUGGUCAUCACCCACUUACAAGUUUGAGAUAUAUAUUAUAUAUAAAUGUUAUAUAAAUUAUAAAUUAAUUAGAUAAUAUUGUGUUUUUUUUCCGAGGCAAUCAUAUUAUAUAUGUACAUAAAACAUUCACAUAUGUAUGCUCUUCUAUAAGAAAUAACAUAUUAUUCAAUAAUUAUUUACAUCUGAUACAGUAAUUUUAAUUCAUUCAUAUAAUAUAUAAGCAAUUUACCUAAAUCCGCUUAGGCCGUCUAGGCGCUUGCCACCUAGACCCCACCUAGCCACCCGACUAGCGCCAAACGUUUAGAAUCUUGAUAUAAUUAUGACUUAAAAAAAAAGCUUAUUCAUAAACAGAGUUUCAUUUGUCUUAAAAGAGAUAUCAAAGUAAAUAACUUGUACCUGUGUCUAAUCGCGUAAAUAGCCUCUGACGAUAUUACCUCUCUCGAGUCUUUGGUGGUUUUGCAAAACCAAUAUCAUCAUCUAUGGCAAUCUGUUGUAGUCAACGUGUCGUAGUCAUUUCUUAGCCACGCAGAAACAGAUUUGAGUACACGAAGUUCACCAUUGAGGAGAUCCCGAGCCAUUUGCCUCCGGAUAGAAAGUCUUUCGCAUGCAAUGGGAGAACUUACGCGUCCCAAAGACUAUGCAUACACUCAAGAAGCACAAAAAGGAGUUAUUACAUUUGUACGAGUCAGAUGCAACAUUAUGUAAAUCAUAGAAUGAGUAUAUUAAAAUUUCACUCUUCAUAUGUUUAUUACUGCUUCCCAAGUUAUAAAAUUCCUCAAUUUCAUUAAUAUCUCAACCAAAAUGAGUAUGUUACAACAUCUGAUGUGCUUUGGAAUUCCUGAAUUCACAAGAACUGUAAUUGGUCUAAAAAGUUAGGCAACUUCUGUAAACGGAUGAGGUAAAAAGCUAGCAUCUUCACCUUGAUAGAUGCAUCAAUAGUUGGGUUAAUCCUGAUAACAACAUCUGAUGUGCUUUAAUCUCUCUGCUGCUGUUUUUUAAAGGACGUCGAGCCAAUCGACCAUCAUGCUCUGCAGCUUCUUUGGCCAGGUCACUAAGUUCUGAAUAUUAAGAAACUAUUUGCAGAUGGCUCAUAAGGUAAAAUGAGCUCAGAAGCAUAUCAAGCAAUGCAUGAGAGUAAGGUAACAUGAAGAGAACACGCCUUGAGGAGAGGUGCAACAUAGAACACGAGCAAAUGCGUGAAGUGACCGUGGAAUUCCUUUCUCUUUACCAGACCUAACUUCCCUGUGUCAUCAUACGAUUAUUGUAAUCAGUAAAAGAUUUUCAUCACAAGAUAUCAAGUCAUCACGCAGACAAACGCAUAAAUUAAACAAGACUGGAAAUGUAACAAAAGAAACAGACCAUUUGGUGACUAGAUGCAAGCGAUAAAAGGCAUCAUGUAGGCAAAGGAACGAAAAUAGGGGAAAAAGAAAAAAGGAAAUAAAAGAGAUAUAAUGCAUCACUACCAACUUGAUAGUGAAAGAAUCCAUUAAAGAGUCGAAACCAUUGACAUCGUUACUGAUUGGUCUGUGAUGUCUCUUCAAAAGUUCCCACUUCAUUCAUGAAGGACAUCAUGAUGAGGUAUAUCGCCCUGGAUCUGGACCUGAAAAUAGACCACAGGCAUCCCUAAACAUUUACAGAUUACAUUAUGAAAACCAUCAUCUGGCAAGAAAUGACGUAGAACGCAUAUUCAGUAUCUUACUAAUUAACACUGGGUGACAGAAUAAUUAAGUGGCUUGAGUCUUCAAGCAAACUUACUGAAAAAAGAGAUUACAAGUACUCAACUAAUUGCAAUUACUAUGCUCCCAAGAAAGACAUCCAACUUAUCAAAAGAGGUUCUUAAGCAAGUGCUAGAUCAAAAACAUUCUUGUUUAUCGAGUCAAAGAGAGAACAGUUUUGUUAAACUUCUAGUCAAAGUGUUAAAUCAAAGUAAGAAGUGUGAAUUAAGCUACAGAAAGAUCUUCCCAGCAUAACAAAGCAAUCAUUGUGACUAAAGUAAACUGAAAUCUAAGACCGACCUGGUUGUGAAUGUUGUAUGAAAGUGUAAACCCAAAGUCCAGCAGCAGGGUAGCAUUUGAAAAUUUUCCGUAUCUUAUCAGUACCUAUACAAUGACCAGCAAGGAAUAAAAAAUUUUGCUAAUUCAUUAAAAAAAAUACAUAAGAAAUUAGCAGAAGGUCAUUAAAAUUCAAACCCAAAUGAGAGACAUCUAGAACGAGUAUGAGUUAUAAUGUUAAUGAGCCGUCUACAAAAACAAAAAUUGAUCAACUGUUUCAAAAAAAAAAUGAUAUUCCAAAGGGUACGUGUAAUUUUAAAUAGGGGAAACAGGCCAUCUUAACUAAGUAGCGUCUAACCUGUUCACCAGGAGCAUAAUUGCAGUCAGCAAUUACCUGCCCAGAUAAAUGACAGGCAUGAAAAAUCAAGGACAUUGUUCACGCGUAUACCUGAUAAUAUGUAUAAAUUUUAAAGGGAGCUCGUAACUGCAGAAAUAAGUAGCAUAUGAGAAAUGAAUUUGUUGUGCACCCCAAUAACUGAAUGAAUAUAAAGCAAAUCAAGAUGUGAGAUAGAGUGCAGAUUGAAUAAGGAGAACAUAAAAUUCUUGUACUCCUAUAACCAAAUCAAGAUGUGAGAUGGAGAAUCAAAAUGCAAAGAGAGAGGGAGUACCUCUGAGAAAUGUUUGUCGUCAUCACUCAACACAAUUGAUUCUGAAGUCCCGUCAUGAUUCAGAAAAUCAGCAAAUGGGAUCUAUAAAAUAAUUUAAUAAUCCAAACAUACAUAAUUAAAGAGGCAAACAUUGAACUUGCAUCAUAAAGUUCAUAACACUAUUUACAACGGAAUCUUCGCAAAUGUGUACCAGGGAAUAACCCUUCAUGCUUCCCCAUGCUCGAGAAGUAACUGCAAAAUCCACCUUGAACAAGUGAGAAUAAGUUUUAUAGAUCUUUAAGAGAUGCAACUGCUGCAACUAAUCACAUCUAGAAUAGUUUUAUAUCCAGCAAGUCAUAUUAAGUCAGAAUUAAUAGGUAUAUAGGUAAAUGGAGAUAUAACUAAUUUAAAAAAUAUGAAAUCGGAUGCCAUUAAAAUCUACAACACUUCUGGCAUUCAUUCAUUUUAGUUGUUUUAAAUUGGAAUUAAGUACAACUGAAUCAAAUAACGGAUUAGAACAUGAAAAUGCUUAAUAUCAUAACCGUCACCGUGCAAUGCAUCCUGGAUAAACAAAAACCUCAAACUCCACAGAAAAAAUCUUUCCACAACAUAGUAAAUUAAACUAGAACAGCAAUCUACAUUGCACAUUCUCUGCUCAAACAAAACGACAGUGGCAAGCUUUGUGUUGCGAAAUUUAAACUAACCGAAAUUAGUCCAACUUAGUUCCAAAGUUUAUGCUCGCAAGCGUACGAAUCGUUUGAUAGUAUAGAAAGCAAGCACUUAAUAUCGUCCCUUAGAAAAUGAUUUAAUUCUUAUCAACUAACUUAAAUCCAAUUGCAACGAAGUGAAACUAGCAAAGAUUGAUGAAAGAUGGUUUUGAGAAUUGAAACUAAUAGUAAAAACAAAUAAAAACAAGAAAGUUUGAUCACAAUGCAAAAAAUGACAGCCAAUAAAACAAGUUGUAAUUCAAUUGAGUAAAACACUAGAGCAUCUGACUCGCCAUAACCCAUCCUACUUAUUUCCUGCAACGAAUUAUUAACAAGUACUCAAUCUCAUUAAUAGUAAAAUUUCCCUAAUUCAUGUAAUAUCUAUGGCAUCUAGACUAUUACGUAUAUCCCAAUUUGCAACCAUCCAUGGCAUCUGGAAUAGUUUAACAUCAUGAAACUCAUUACGAUCAGUGGAAAUUUAUAUAAAGACUACACAAAUCCUAGAGUAUGGCAUCUACUACUAGGUAAUUUAUGGUAUCUAUUUGCAAGAAGCUAUCACUCAAGUUGAAAACAUGGCAUCUGCACAACUUGCAUCACAUUUACUAAGUAAAAGUCAAGAUGGUAGCUAAUCUCCAAGACUAAAACCAAGCAUAUAAACACAGCAAACAAUACUCAAUGAAAUUGAAAACUUGAAAAUAAUUCAAUUCAGAAUUUAAGCAUUCGUAGUCAUGGCUACAUCGUAGCCCUAGCUAAGGAAAAUUAGUUCCGAAACAUAGAUGAAAUUGUCAUUGUAUUCAUAAUAAAAACGAGAAGAAAAUUGAGUUUAGAAAACCCUGUAAACUCCUCUGCUCUGCGGUAGCCUUUCUUCCUGCGAAAAAUACAUCCCCCGUGUGUCUCUGCUGCUUCUGUUUUCAUUUCCCUUUUUUUUUCGUAACCGACGACGGCUUAAAAGCCAAUUUAUUGAAAACAUUAGAAGAAAAGAAACGGAAGAAACCUUUUAACUCCUUGCCAGACACUUUGUGAAAAUUGAUCAAAGCUUGAAAGAAUAGAACGCCUAAAUCACACUCAAGUUGGUCUACUUGCUGCAACGAGGCCUCCAUAUUGUCCUUUUCUACCCUGCUAGAUUCCAGCUGGGAAUUUCAUCUCCAAAGUGAUAUAACAACCAAAUCUGAAAGUACCCAAAUCUCCAUUGCAAUUGAUGAGAAUUAAAGAUAAAAAAAUUGCCCAAUUCAUGCUUCCACCGCAAACCUAACAAACUGGAGAGUGGAAUAGAAAUAUGGAUUUUCAUCCCGCUUCAAUUUUGAUAAGCUGCAGUGCGCCAGCUUGCUUCUGGAAAUUGGUAGAGAAAAACAAUCAUUUCUUAUGUCGGUGCAAAUAUGAGGAUAAGGGCAUUUGUUUUGUUGAAGCGGUCACGUGAUGGUCCUUUCUGUAGUGCAAUAAGGAACCUGAUUAAAAAUUGAAUAAUAGGAAAUGAGUCUACACUAUUUUACCAAACAUGAUUAGACACCACCAAACUAACAUGAAAAUCACAUAAACAUAGCAUAAUUUUCCAUAUCAUUAAUUCAAUCUUAAAAACACCAAAACAUGUCAUUUCUUUCAUUUAAAUCCGAAAUUGCAUCUAAGAAAUUGUAGUUUUCGGAGUACAAUAGAUGAUAAAAUAUGCACUCGUCACUUUGCAGCAUCGCCAACUCCAUCACUCAACAAAUCUUUCAGUUCUGGAACGAGAUUAUCCGGAGCUAGUUGCUGCAAUUAUCAACCAAAACAAAGCCUCAUAAAUCAUAAAUUAACAAUUUAAACUGUGAUUAAUAAUGUGAUUAAAGUCUUAAAUAAUUUGGGAUUACGAUUUACCACGUUGUACGGAACCUUCAAAAUGCAGUCUCCAGCUGUUAUGCUCUUUGAAGCAAACAGAGACGUUCCGUGCGCCGGUUUCCCAAUUGAAACGCCGACCGAGAUUUCGGCGCCGGCCUUCCGCUCCAGCCACGGCAAGAAAUCGUUGGAUUCGUCGACCUGGUAGAGAAUGAUGAAUUGUUAGCAGGAAUUUGAAAUGUUUCGGUUUUUUACGGGAUUGUGAAAUACUCUGUUUGGCUUUUGGGAUACCUUGGGUUGGGACAAGGAGAGGAAGUUGAGCUUGAUACUCGGAGUGUAGGAGAGGUUGAGAUGUUGACGGCGGAGACGCCAUCGGAUAUUUGUGCGGGAUCGGGACGUCGUCGUUUUGAUGAGAGUGUUGGCUUGGCGCUCGACUGUCGGGUUUUUCGCGCUCACAGUAACAUUCUAAGUUGAUAGUCAUACAAUCCCUAAUCACGACCUUUACCUUACGUGUGGAUCUGACCACGAUCGUUCAUCGUACAUCGUGCGAUCAGAAAUUAUUUUAAAAUUUAAAAUUAAAUGUAAAUAAUACUUAAUGAAAAUUGAUCGCACGAUUUACGAUGAACGAUCAGGAUCACAAGAUCCCAGGAAAAGGAUCCGGCGAGGAUCCUUUUCCCAAAAAUUGAAUAGCUGUUUGUUAUAAUGCUCCUCAACGAUUAUUGUUAUGAAACUAUUAAUGUAUAAAAUCGGGUUGAUUUUAAAACAGAGGCAGAUUCUCUGCCCUCCCACUUUCCGUGCCCUCCCAUUUUGUGUGGUCACAGUUAAGUCACGUCAAUAUUUUAUAUUAUUUUUUUAUAGAGAUAAUAAGACAAAACAGAACAGUAAUAUAAAAGGUUGACGUGGCUUCACAAUGACUACACAAACGGGAGGCCAUAGAAAGUGGAAGGGCAGAGAACCUACCUCCUUUUAAAACAACGUGAAAGUCAACAUGUGACCUUCGCAAAGUUGGUUCGGUCACUAUGGAAAAAAAGUUCGAGCAUAAUGGGGAAAAAGUUCGAGCACGAAAUAAGGCACAAAAAUUUCGUAAUGUAUUUACAACGAUCAAAACCGUCUAUCUCCCAUUAUUUAAAGGUCAUGUGGUUGCACUUCCUUUCGUUUUGGAAAAAAAAGUGGUAUGCACUUCCUUUCGUUUUGGGAAGGGCGGGUGGAGAAGCUUGCUAUUUGGUGGAGUGGAAGAGUUUGCUAUUACUACUCUUCUGUCAGUAAAGCUAUAUGUUUUGUUGCUUGUUUUUUAAAGAAAUUAGCGAAUAAAUACUGUACAUAAGUACAGGUAAUGCUUAUUUCAUACUUGAACUAUACUGUUGCGAAAGAUUCCCAGUAGUCGUAGCUGCAUUGCUUCCUUAGAUUCUAAGCAGUUUCUAAUAACUGCUUGUGAGAUUCUGAAAAAAUGGUUCCUGAAAUUCAUUUAUAUGAGUUGGUACCGCGAACUAUUUCUGUAAAAAAUUACGGCAGACUCGUGCAGAAUUUGCGUAGAAGGACAUUCGUAAGAUGCUUUACUGAAAAGGAAGUUGAGGAGGCCACAAGAAACUACACUUAUCAUUACUAUAACAAUGAACGCUACGGAACAGUAUACCACACAAAAUUAGAUGGAUGAGGUAUCGCCAUAAAAAAGUGCAACAGUGUUAUUGGUGACCCGUUCAUCCAGAGUCAACGUCUGGUUCACGAGGCAUUUGUUCUUUCUCAAAUCGAACACAAAAAUGUGGGAGGCUGUUUGGUUGUUGUUUAGAGACAAAAUGGCCCAUAAUGGUUUAUGUCCCCACCAAUGCCUUGACUUGUCUUGAGCACUUUGGCAGAAACAACCCUAAACUCUCGUUUGAAUCACGAAUGAAGAUAGCAGCGGAAACUGCAGGAGCUCUAGCGUACUUGCACUCCAAGUCAGUCAUACACCGAGAUGUGAAGGCAGCGAAUAUAUUCAUAAAUGAUACAACUCACACCGCUAAAGUCAGUCAUACCACUCAACUCGAUUAAUAACUAUAACCUUGGCAAGACAAGCCUACUAACAUCUGCACACUACUCAAACCCUAGCUCUCUCUCUCUCUCUCUUAUUUCUUCUCAACUUUUUUUCCAACGUAAAGCUGGACAAACUCUUAUUUCCUGGGUAAUUGUAAAGUGUGGCAGCUGCACCUAUUUAUAGAAUUCGGAUCCUCUCCGGAUCCUCUUUGUGAGAAUCUCGGAGAUUUGUAACUCAUGUUCGUUCAUCGUACAUCGUGCGGUUAAUUUUCAUCAAAUAUUGUUUGUGUUCAAUUUUAAAUAAUAAAAUUUAAAAUGAUUUUUGACCGCACGAUGUACGAUGAAUGACCACAAUAAACAGAUUCCCGAGAUCCUCACAAAAAGGAUCUGGAGAGGAUCCUUAUUCCUAUUUAUAAUUCACUAAACUUAGUGACCAAGUAAGACAAUAGUAAUAAAAUAAUAUGUAAAUUAUAGACUAAACCUAGGUACAUCUAUCCCCACUGAAAUAUGUCAAAAUUAACUAGCAACAUCAAAGAAAGAACAAAUGUUGCCACGUCCAGUGUAGGUCUCCACCUCCAACCUUUGCCGGACUUACAAAUCCUACUAAUUUGCAUGAAGCAAUGAAGCCACCUCGAGCUAUAAAUAGCUUAAAAAACAACAUAAUUGUAAACAUAAAGAUAGGUGAUUCAAUGGUUAAAAACCAUGUAAACCGCUUAGACAUGAAAAAAUAAAAAGUAUAUGAAAAUUAAGGACUGACUUGAGCUUGGAGUUCACAGAAUACUUUUAAUAGUAAAUGUUGUGUUGGAUUGAGUUCCUUGUAAUGAUAUAUCUCUUCUCUGCACAAAUAGCACAAUGGCAAAAAUGGUAGUUUAUUUAAAAAAUGAAAAAAAAUUAAAUACAGUGAACGAUGCUAAGAUGAAUAAAACUGAAACCCUAGACAACAAAUUGAUAGCUAGGAAGAAAGGAAAAAAAAACAUGCAUGAAUAAAAUUUUGACCACCCUUAAUUUAUAAUUAAGCUAAGCAAAUACACAACAAGCUCAACACAAUCACAACAAUAAGAAUUUUCAAAUGGUUAAAUAUAUAUCACAAAGAAAAGCACAUGCAUCUAGAGAAUUGAAUAUUAUUAUCACUACUGUGAAUUCAAUUUCAUUUCAAGCUACUAUCUAAUAAAACCUUUCAGUCAAGGUUUCUGUAAGUUAAUUUUAAUUUUAUUAUCAAAACUAUUUUUAGUAAAUUUUCUUUACAUCCUAUUACAAAUUAUUACAUCUACUUGGAUUUUAAUAUGCACUGAAGAAAUUAAAGUCCUUACAUCACAAUCUGAAUUGAGAUCUAGUUCAUUGAAUCACUAUACAAUGCGGGGAGAGGCUACCCUGCUCUUGUGGUCUCGUCCCUUCGGGGGAUUGAACGUGCCUCCUCCCAUUGGAUACUGGAGGUGAAGCCCUACAACGCUUAGGACUUCGGCUGUCAUGAGGACUCGUUGAUCUUCUCUCCAAACUCCUUUCUCUCCUCAUGGGUGAUCGCUAAUGACUGCACAUUAGGAAAAAAAUAAACGAGUUUCAGCAAAAUACCCAGACAAAUAAUCUGCACACAUAGCAAUUCGAUGUGAAGAACAAAGUGCCGGUUGUCAACUACCUGACACACUCCCCCUCCUCCUUUUUCCGGCCUUGGGACCGGCAGUGUAAGAUAAACUUACACAGGCGGAUUUAUUAAAAAUGUGGACUAUAUUAUAAAAAUUUACUACUAUAACCUCAUUCACUUGAGAAAGCAUUACACAGAAAUCCAAAUUCACCCAGCAAAAAUGUGUCUUCUAUUUUAGUUGUACCCUCAUAUCCCACAUUCCCGCUCCAAAUGCGUAAGAGCCAGUUUGGUGGGUUUUCCUUCAUAUUAGCCUAAUCUUGUGGGCUCCUAGUUUUCCAGAAUCCCGGUUUCUCACGUUCAGUUGUUAUGAAUCCAUAACUUGUAACUGUGUCUGAUCACGUAAAUAAUCUCCGAUGAUAUUACCUCUCUCAAGUCUUUGGUGGUAUUGCAAAACUAAUAUCAUCAUCUAUAGCAGUCUGUUGUAGUCAAAGUGUCGCAGUAGUUUCUUAGCCAUGCAGAAGCAGAUUUGAGGAUACGAAGUUCACCAUUGAGGAGAUCCUGAGCCAUUUGCCUCCGGAUAGAAAGUCUUUCACAAGUAACUGGAGAACUUAUAGGUCCCAAAGACUAUGCACACACUCAAGAAGCACAAAAAGGAGUUACUACAUUUGUAGUCAGAUGCAACAUUAUGUAAACCAUAGAAAUGAUUAUAUUAAAAUUCCACUCUCUUCAUAUGUUUAUUAAUGCUUCCCAAACGCCUAAGACUUCUCCAGUUAUAAAAUUCCUCAACUUCAUUAAUAUCUCAACCAAAAUGAGUAUGUUAGAACACGUCAAUUGAUUCAAUCUGCGUAUGCUUAAGAAUUCCUUCAUUCAAAAGAACCGUAAUUGGUGUAUGCUCUUGUGAAUUAAUGCAUUAUCAUAGAAAAUAAUGAACUCUUGUUUAACUUAGCUUAAACAAGUUCUGUAAACGAAGGGGGUAAAAAGUUAGCAUCUUUACCUUGAUAGAUGCAUCACAACGUCAGCUAAUUGGGUUAAUUUUGAUAACAACAUCUGAUGUGCUUCAAUCUCUCUGCUGCUGUUUAUUAAAGGACGUCGAGCCAAUCGACCAUCAUGUUCUGCAGCUUCCUUGGCCAGGUCACUAAGUUCUGAAUAUUAACUUAAGAAACAAUCAAUAAACUAUUUGCAGAUGAGUCAUCAGGUUAAAUGAGCUCAGAAGCAUAUUAAGCAAUGCAUGCGAGUAAGUUAACAUGAAGAGAAAUACACCUUGAGGAGAGGCGCAACAUAGAACACGAGCAAAAGCACGAAGUGACUGAGGAAUUCCUUUCCCUUUUCCACUACCAGACCUAACUUCCCUAUGUCAUCGUACGAUUAUUGUAAUCAGUAAAAGAUUUUCAUCGCAAGAUAUCAAGUCAUCACGCAGAUAAAUGCAUUAAUUAAACAAGACUGGAAAUGGAACAAAAGAAACAGAAUAUUUGACUUCACAGAGUACCACUAGAUACGGGGGAUAAAGGCCAUCAUGUAGGCAAAGGAACAAAAAUAGGGGAAAAAAGGAAAUAAAAGAGAUAUAGUGCAUCACUACCAACUUGAUAGUGAAAGAAUCCAUUGAAGAGUCGAAACCAUUGACAUCAUUACUGAUUGGUCUGUGAUGUCUCUUCAAAAGUUCCCACUUCAUUUCACGAAGGACGUCAUGGUGAGGUAUAUUGACCUGGAUCUCGACCUGAAAAUAGACCAAAGGCAUCCAUAACAUUUACAGAUUACAUAUAACAAAACCAUCAUCUGGAAAGAAAUGAUGUAGAACGUGUAUUCAGUAUCUUACUAAUUAACACUGGAUGACAGAUAAUUAAGUGGCUUGAGUCUUCAAGCAAACUUACUGAACAAAGAGAUUAUAAAUACUCAACUAAUUGCAAUUACUAUGCUCCCAUGAAAGACAUCCAACUUAUCAAAGAGGUUUUUAAGCAAGUGCUAGAUCAAAAGUAGUCUUGUUCAUGGAGUCAAAGGGAAAAUAGUUUUGUUACCAAAAACAAACUUCUAGUCAAAGUGUUAAAUCAAACUAAGAAGUGUGAAUUAAGCAACGGAAACGUUCUCCCAACAUAACAAAGCAAUCAUUGUGACUAUAGUGAACAGAAAUCCAAGACUGACCUGGUCGUGGAUGUUGGAUGAAAGUGUAAACCCAAAGUCAAGAAGCAGGGUAGCAUUUGAAAAUUUUCCGUAUCUUAUCAGUACCUAUACAAAUAUACAAAUCGCAGUCCAGAGUUACAACUUUAAACAACCACUUCUGCAAUAUAACCAUAGUCACGAACUGCUCCAGAGGAUGCUUCCAUGUACCAUCCAUUCAUACUAAUAAUAGGAAACCCCAAACUUCCAGUAAUUUCUAAAUAUUAAUUCCACAGCAUAUCUCAAGCAAUAUUGUGCUUUUUACUCUAACAUAGACCCUGUGUUCAUGUAUUGUGAUCCGUUAUCUGUUAACACACAAUGACCACUGAGGAAUAAAAAGUUUUACUAAUUCUUUGUCAUGAAAAUUUCAAACCCAACGAGAGACAUCUAAAACGAAAAUGAGUGAAAAUGUUAAUGAGUCGUCUACAAAAACAAAAAUUGAUCAAAUGUUUCAAAACAAAAAUGAAAUUCCAAAGGGUGCCUGUAAUUUUAAAUAGGGGAAAAAAGCCAUCUUAAUUAAGUAGCAUCUAACCUGUUCAUCAGGAGCAUAAUUGCGGUCAGCAAUGACCUGCCCAGAUAAAGAACAGGCAUGGAAAAUCAAGAACAUUGUUCACACAUAUCCCUGAUAUGUAUAAAUUUUAAAGGGAGCUAAAAACUGCAAAUACAAGUAGCAUAGCAUCCCAAUAAUUGAACUAAUAUAAAGCAAUAAAAACAUAAAAAAGACUCAAUUUCCAUAAGAGUGCGGAAUGAAGGGGAGAAUAUAAAAUUCUUGUACUCCUAUAACCAAAUCAAGAUGUGAGAUAGAGAAUCAAAACGCAGAGAGAGAGAGAGAGAGAGAGAGUACCUCUGAGAAAUGUUUGUCGUUGUCACUCAACACUAAUGAUUCUGAAGUGCCGUCAUGAUUCAAAAAAUCAGCAAAUGGGAUCUAUAAAAUAAAUUGAAAAUCCAAAAAUUCAUAAGUAAAAAGGAAAUAAUUGAACUUCCAUCAUAAAGCUCAUAACACUAUUUACAACAGAAUCUUUAUAAACGUGUUACCAGGGAAUAACCCUUCAUGCUUCCCCAUGCUCGAGAAGUAACUGCGAAAUCCACUGCGAACCAGUGAGAAUAAGUUGUAUAGAUCUUUAAGAGAUGCAACUGCUGCAACUAAUAAUAUCUAGAAUAGUUUGUAUCCAGGAAUCAUAUAAAAUCGGAAUGAAUAGGUAUAUAGGUAAAUGGAGAUAUAACUAACUAAACUAUAUGAAAUUGGAUUCCAUUGAACAUCUACACCGAUGCUGGCAUUCAUUCAUUUUAUUCAAAAAAUUGGAAUUAAGUACAAUUGAAGCAAAUUAUUCAGACAGUUCAGGACGUGAAAAUGCUUUAAAAUGGAGAAGCUCACCUAAAGCAUAUGCGUGCAUGAAAUCCUUAUAGGUGAUACUUUUGGACAUUUCAGGGAAGUUCUUGAAAGCCUGAAAAUAUGUCGUAGCAAUAAUUAGAAUCUAAAAGUUAAUAACUACGAAGUGAUUGACAAUCAUCUCAUAUCUCAGGUAAGUAUUGACUUGAUUAAGUUUCAAAAGUUAUUAAGUUGACGGGACCCCCACUAUUCCAAAUUCUGAAGAAUGUGUGCCACCAACAGUUUAAAUCCCGAAUUGAGAUGAUGAUAUUAAACUUAAAGCAUAUACAUGGCAGAGGUUCACGCAUGAACGUCCCAAAACCAUUAACCAGUGUAUAAAACAAUCAAGUACUUACCGUCCUAAUUGCCAAAAAUUCCUUUUUGAUUUGAGAUCUUUGAUUAAUUGUUUCCUGAUAUACAGAGCUUUGGCGAAUCAGCUCCAGCUCAUCGUCACUCCAAAAUAUCUAAGAAUAUACAAACAACAUCCAAGUCAAUAACAGCAAAUUCUUGCCAUUCAAAAAAAUGUGUACAACCAAACAAAUCAACUACAUGUAAGAACCAUUGCUCAGUUAAAUUCUUUUCCAUUCAUGUUCAACACAUGCUGUCUGAAUUGACCGUCUAACAACAUAACCUACCAAAUUAUCUCUAGGAAUGCAAAUGAUAAUAUCGUAUAACACUCACCGUGCAAUGCAUCUCCUCCGGGCGAGGAAGCCAGCGAAUGUAAGGGGCCCACCUGGAAUCCUGCAUAAACAAAACCCUCAAACUCCACAGAAAAAAUAUUUCCACAACAUAGUAAUUAAACUAGAACAGCAAUCUACAUUGCCCAUUCUCUGCUCAAACAAAACGACAGUGGCAAGCUUUGCAGCAUCGCCAACUCCAUCACUCAACAAAUCUUUCAGUUCCGGAACGAGAUCAUCCGGAGCUAGUUGCUGCAAUUAUCCACCAAAACAAAGCCUCUUAAAUCAUAUAUUAACAAUUUAAACUGUGAUUAAUAAUGUGAUUAAAGUCUUAAAUAAUUUGGGUUAAGAUUUACCACUCUGUACGGAACCUUCAAAACGCAAUCUCCAGCUGUUAUGCUCUUUGAAGCAAAAAGAGAAGUUCCGUACGCCGAUUUCCCAAUUGAAAGUGCCGACGAAAUCUCGGCGCCGGCCUUCCGCUCCAGCCACGGCAAGAAGUCGUCGGAUUCGACCUGGUAGAGAACGAUGAAUUGUUAGCAGGAGUUUGAUAUGUUUCGGUUUUUCCCGUGAUUGUGAAAUUCUCUGUUUGGCUUUUGGGAUACCUUGGGUUGGGACAAGGAGUGGAAGUUCAGCUUGAUACUUGGAGUGUAGGAGAGGCUGAGAUGUUGACGGCGGAGACGCCAUCGGAUUUUUCGCGCUCCCAGUAGCAUUGCGGUGCGGGAUUGGGACGUCGCCGCUUUGAGGAGAGUGUUGGCUUGGCGCUCGACUGUCGUAUCCACGCGGGGAAGGUGUGGGGAAUUAGUCCGCGGCUGGAAUAAUUUUGAUUUCUGGUUUGAAAGGGACCGGAAUGUGGAAUUACGGUGUUUGCGUGGGGUAUAAACUGAUUAGCUGUUGUUAUAAACUUAUAAUGCUCCUCAACGUUUGGAUAAUCUUUAAUAUUCAAUUAUUGUAAUGAAGUUAUUGAUGUUCAAAAUCGGGUUAAUUUUAAAACAAUGUGAAAUGUUAAGGUGUGAUCUUUGUUCACAAGUUGGGUUACGUUCACGAACGUAAAAGAGUUAUCAUUAAUAAUGUAGAGUUUACAUGAUACAAAUGUUAAAUAUAAUGAUUAUUAGUGAGUUCUAAUAAUGGUUCAGAGAAUCUAAAGACCAUAAGAAGCUUAAUUGUGGGAGAACGAUCUCCCUUUACAGUUGGGUAGAGUCCCAUGUUUUCGUCUACGGCCAAUGUGGGACUCUUAUAACUUUACUUUUAUGUUGACACGUGUUACGUUGUGGUUGAUUUCUUAGUUGGUGAGAAACUCAUGUUCUUCGGCAGGUGUGCCUCAGCACAAACCCUUCAGUACUUAGAAGUUGAUCGGUACUUAGAAGUUUGUAGUGUGAUGAAGUAUGGUACAAAUAGUGUUCCCCAAGUUCCUGAGAGAGAAAAAACAUUCUCGGUUAGAGACUUGCAAAAUCUAACUAAACUUUGUAGUGUAAUAACUAAACUUUUGAGUACCGAACUAACUCUUCCCUAAUAUGAAUUGGCGUGAUUCAGCAAGAAGAGGUGAAUCGUCAAUAACAUAUUUCAACCGCAUUGCAUGUUCCUGACCAUCUUGUUCCACUGCUUCGACAAGACCAUUAACAAUGAAUGAUAAAAUUACCAUAUGAUCAAAUGCAAUACAAAGAUCAAAUACGAAAUUAUCUUCAAAACAUUAUCUACUCAAAGAAGGAAAUGAAACAACAAACAAAUUGCACCGUAACUACAUUAGUUCAUCAUCUUUAAAUAACGUCAUAGUUAGAUCCACAAAAUCGUCUAUCUCCCAUACUCCUACAGUCAUAUGGUUUCAGAUUUGGGUGAUUUUUUAUCAAAAUGAUCUUUGAGACAAGACCUAAAAGAUAGACGGUACAUAUUGUUAAAAUAUAUUACAAAGUGGGUCUCAUAAAAACUUGUGUGAGUUGUGUAAAAAAAGUGGUAUGCACUUCCUUUCGUUUUGGGGAGGAUAGGGUGGAGAAGCUUGCUAUUUGGUGGAUUGGAAGAGUUUGCUAAUACUACUCUUCUGUCAGUAAAUUUAUCUGUUCUGUUGCUUGCUUUUGAACGAAAUUAGCAAACAAAUACUAUGUACAUAAGUUUAGGAUGGUGAUUCUUUCUGAUAAACCUACAUUUCCUCCAGGACAGCACACCACUCCAUGUCAGCAAUCCAUGCAGUUCGAACUACCUGAGCCAUGUCCUGCUAAGCCGUGUGCUGCUGACUUGAAAUGAUUAUUCUAAAUGGAAGCCAUGAAACCUUGUCGAAGAUGCUGAUGAAGAUGGACAGAAGAAUAUUGUAUAAAGCUGAUGAAGAUGGACAGAAGAAUAUUGUAAUAAACUCACACAGCUAGACAAACACUUUCUGGUAGUUGUUUAUUGCAUGCGUGUAUGUAAAUCUUGUAUAAAGAACAUGCUGCUGUUGAAGAGCAGUGAGGAUUGAAUUCAAUUGAGUUGAGUUUAUGAAAUCAGUCUCUAUAAACAUAGUUUAAACCAUAUCAUGGUAUCAAAGAGCUGAAAGUCUCACGACACAACCAUUUUUUUUUCCCAUGGCUUCUCAAUCUACUUCUCUGUCCAUCCCAAAUGCCUCAUAUCUUCUCACCAUCAAACUUGAUCGUACCAACUACCCCGUUUGGCAAGCUCAAAUGCUUCCACUUCUUCGUAGCCGAAACCUUGUUUCCUUUAUCGAUGGAACCAGUCCAUGUCCUUCUGUAUUCUUGAAAGAUGCGGAUGGUAACCUCACUGACGCAGUCAAUCCUGCGUUUGACAUCUGGGUUCAACAAGAUGCCACAGUCCUGUCGUGAAUUAACUCCUCCGUUCACCCCACUAUUCUUGUUGCCUUAAUUGGGAAAACUAGCUCCCAUUCUGCCUGGACGACCUUACGUGACCGCUAUGCUUCGCAGUCCACCGGUCGUCUCCUUCAGCUUCGAAGUGAGCUGAUGAAUACUCAUCGAGGUGACUCUUCUAUUUCUGACUUCUUGGAUAAGAUUAAUUGUCUUGCCGAUACUCUCUCUCUCUGGUGCUCCCGUUUCAGAUUCGGACAUCAUUGCCAUCAUUCUUAAUAAUGUUGGUCCUGCUUAUGAAAGCACGGUUGCCUCAGCCCAAGCCCGUGACGAGGCGAUUACCUACAGUGCUUUGGAAGCACUCCUUCUUGGUGCUGAACGCCGCCAGAAAAUGCAUUCUGCUUUCACUGCAGAUACCGGCCCUACUGCAUUUGCAGCCACCCGUAAUGGUGGUCGUCCAUCUCCUCCCUUUAGAGGCCGUGGCUCCUCCUCCGGGUUUCGAGGUCGUGGCAAUGGCGGUCGUAGCUCAUUUUCCCGUCACGGAUCAUCCCAUGGCUCUCCAUCUCGCCAACCUGAUGGCCUUCUUGGUUCUGCUCCCUCUCAGACCUCAUUUCCUAAUGGCAGACUUCAAUGCCAAAUUUGUACUCGCUAUGGCCAUUCCGCAAUUGACUGCUACAACCGUCUUAACAUGUCCUAUGAAGGGCGCGUUCCAGCACCAAAGCUUCAGGCUUAUGCUGCCAGUGCUCCCACCAUCCAGAAUUGGCUUUUCGAUUCUGGAGCCAAUGCCCACAUAACCAAUGAUCCUGCUCAGGUGACGAAUGCUCGACCAUAUCAUGGUACUGAUCAAGUGAAUGGUGUCGUUGGAGGAACAGGUUUGAAAAUCUCUCAUGUUGGUAACACUUGCAUUCGUACACCCCAAGCCCUUUUUCAUCUCCCAAACACAUUACUUUGCCCUAAUGCAUCCACUAAUAUCAUUUCCAUUCAUCGCUUCACCACUGAUAAUAAUUGUUCUCUAACUUUAUUCCCACACGCCUAUCGUGUUCAGGACCUUCACACGAGGAAGAUGCUUUUCCACGGCCGGAGUAACAAUGGGUUCUACCCCUUCUCAACAGUUUCAUCAUGCACUAAAGGAGUCUCUGUAUUCAUAGGUGCUAGGGUGUCCAAUUCCAUUUGGCACUCUAGAUUAGGUCAUCCAUCUUCUCAUGUUUUGAAAAGUUUAAUUUCUAGCAAUAAGUUGCCUAUCAAUGGCGUUGUAACAAGAGCAUUUUGUCAGUCCUGCCCUCUGGGCAAAAGUCACAAGUUACCUUUUAGUUUAUCUACUUCAAAAUCGUCCUUUGCAAUUGGUCCAUUCAGAUGUAUGGACUUCUCCUACUGUUUCAAUUAAUGGAUUUAAAUACUAUGUGGUUUUUAUCGAUGAUUUCUCUCGAUAUUCUUGGUUGUAUCCAUUAAAAUUCAAAUAUGAUGUCUUUUCUACAUUUGUUGCUUUCAAGAAAUUAGUUGAAAAUAUGUUUAAUACCACCAUUAAAUUUUUUCAAACUGACGGGGGAGGUGAGUAUCUUAGUCACAAUUUCAAAGCUUUCUUGACUCAUCAUGGUAUUCAUCAUCGCUUAUCUUGCCCACAUCAUCCCGAACAAAAUGGAAUUUCAGAGCGUAAACAUCGCCAUCUUGUUGAAACUGGCCUCACUCUUCUUGCCCAUUCCUCAUUGCCCACAUCAUUUUGGGAUGAUGCCUUUCAUACCGCCAAUUAUUUGAUAAAUCGUUUACCCACUAAGGUUUUACAUAAUGACUCUCCCUUUCAAAAACUCUUUCACAAAUCUCCUCAAUAUGAUUUCCUAAAGGUUUUUGGGUGUGCAUGUUUUCCAUAUUUUCGACCAUAUAAUAGUAAUAAACUUCAGUUUCGUUCCAAACGUUGUGUUUUUCUUGGCUACUAUUUAAAUCACCAAGGUUAUAGAUGUCUUGACAUGUCUACAGGAAAUUUUUUUGUGUCUCGUCAUGUUGUAUUUGAUGAAACUUGUUUCCCAUAUAAAGAAUCCAUUACUCCCGUGUCUCCAUCACCAACCAUUUCCACCGACACUAUGACACUAGACAUAGGUCCAUCCCUCCCAUACCGCCCACAGUCACCUCCCAUCCCUCCUAACCCUACUCCACCACCUUUACCCUCAACCGUCACUCCCACGCCUACCCCUCCCUUAAUAUUACCUAUCCCUACUCCUCCUAUAUCCACUCCUCUAGGACCCACGAAUGCAAGUCACAUUCCUUCUACAUCCUCUUCUUCUCAGAGGAUCCUUCCACCUACUCAUUCUAUGACCACACAUGCCAAGGAUGGGAUUCACAAACCUAAUCCCAAAUAUGCAUUUACUUCUACUGUCACUAAUCCUGUGCUUGAGCCUACUUGUUUUACCCAGGCUAACAAAUCUCCAGAAUGGCGCCAGGCCAUGGCAGAAGAGUUUAAUGCCCUCCUACGCACUGGAACAUGGUCAUUGGUUCCCUUUGUUCCCUCCAUGAAUGUGCUUCCCAAUAAAUGGGUAUAUCGGAUCAAACGACAUUCUGAUGGUUCAAUACAGCGGUAUAAGGCUCGAUUAGUCGCCAAUGGCUACCACCAACAAGAUGGUAUUGAUUAUGACGAGACGUUCAGUCCAGUAGUUACUCAUGCAACCAUUCGCCUCGUCCUCUCAGUUGCUCUUCACUUCAACUGGCCUAUCAGACAACUUGAUGUUCAGAAUGCUUUCUUACAUGGUUCUUUAGCAUAGGUUGUUUAUAUGCGGCAGCCUGUAGGAUUUGUGGACUCUCAGUUUCCAAAUCAUGUAUGUCGCUUGCACAAAUCACUAUAUGGUUUCAAACAGGCACCCUGUGCCUGGUUUCAAUGUUUCUCCUACCAUCUUGAAGAUCUAGGGUUUCAAGCAUCCCUCGCAGAUUCGUCGUUGUUCACAUAUUUUCAUGGGUCCACUGUCAUUUACUUAUUGAUCUACGUUGAUGACAUCCUUGUUACAGGUAAUAACCCUUCUCAUAUCUUUCAGCUUAUUCAACGACUUGGUCACAAGUUCUCCAUGAAGGACUUAGGUCAUUUGCAUUAUUUUCUGGGCAUGGAAAUUCAGCGGACACCCACUGCCAUGUAUCUUACUCAAUCCAAGUACAUCCUGGACCUUCUCAAAAAGACAAAUAUGUGUGAUGCAAAACCUUUCACCACUCCCGCUACCACUGGACGCAAGUUAAGUCUCUAUGAAGGUGAACCUUUAUCUGAUGGCACACUGUUUCGGAGUAUCGUUGGCGCUCUCCAAUACCUUCUCUUCACGAGACCGGAUAUUGCUUUCGCCGUCAAUCAGGUCUGUCAAUAUAUGCAUUCUCCCACCACUACUCACUGGGCUGCUGUAAAACGCAUACUUCGAUACUUGAAAGCCACUCCUGAUCACGGCAUUGUUUAUAAACCUAGUUCUCUCACCCUCACUGCCUUUGCUGAUGCCGAUUAUGUCGGGGAUCCUGACGAUCAGCGCUCAACUGGGGGCUAUUGCAUUUUUCUGGGUGAUAAUCUCGUCUCUUGGAGCUCCAAGAAACAGCGCGGGGUGUCUCGAUCCAGCACUGAGGCCGAGUACAAACAGCUGGCUUAUACGGCAGCCACUUUAUCUUGGUUCCGCCAUAUCUUUCGUGACCUGCACCUUUCUCUUUCUCCACCACGGUUGUGGUGCGACAAUAUCAGUGCCCUUGCUGUUGCCUCUAAUCCUGUAUAUCAGGCGCGAAUGCGACACGUUGAAGUUGACUACCACUACGUUCGCGAAAAGGUCGUCCGCAAAGAACUACAAGUUGGCUAUGUUGCCACUGUUGAUCAAAUUGCAGACUUUCUCACCAAAGGUCUGUCCUCUCCUCGUUUCCGCUAUCUACUCUCCAAGCUUCCCGUGCGUCCACGCCCGCUUCGCUUGCUGGGGCGUGAUAAACCUACAUUUCAUCCAGGACAGCACACCACUCCAUGUCAGCAAUCCAUGCAGUUCGAACUACCUGAGCCAUGUGCUGCUAAGCCAUGUGCUGCUGACUUGAAAUGAUUAUUCUAAAUGGAAGCCAUGAAACCUUGUCGAAGAUGCUGAUGAAGAUGGACAGAAGAAUAUUGUAUAAAGCUGAUGAAGAUGGACAGAAGAAUAUUGUAAUAAACUCACACAGCUAGACAAACACUUUCUGGUAGUUGUUUAUUGCAUGCGUGGCUUUUAUUAUUGCAUGCGUGUAUGUAAAUCUUGUAUAAAGAACAUGCUGCUGUUGAAGAGCAGUGAGGAUUGAAUUCAAUUGAGUUGAGUUUAUGAAAUCAGUCUCUAUAAACAUAGUUUAAAUUCUAUCACUUUCAAUGUGUCCUGAAGUUCUUUUAUAUGAAAUUUGACUUAUUUGUUGGAGUUUGGCUUUCUAUAGUAUGCUUCUAUCAUACUUGGACUGCAUACUGCUGCUAUAUUGUUGUGAAAGAUUCCCUGUAGUUGCAGCUGCAUUGCUUCCAUAUAUACGUUGGUUCUACUAAAUUUCUAACAACUGCUUGUGAAUUCCUGAUAAAAUGGUUAUUGAAACUCAUUUAUUUGAGUUGGUACCGCGAACUGUUUCCUUCAGCUAUACCAAAUGAAUAGCAGUUCGAUUGUUUGGUAUUAUCUAAUGCUGAAUUCUUUAUUGAUGGCGGAGUAAAUUCGAGUUUCAGCUGAGACUUCAAGAGCUUAUAAAGUUGGUACGAGCUGAAAAUAACUGGCAAGCGAUCACAAUGGGGAACUACUCAUAUGAAAGAAUUACAGCGGGUCCUUGUAACAGUAGCUUAGAAGAGUACUACAGACUGUGCUACAUACACGGUGAUCCAUUUUUGCUUUGAUUGGGAAAAUUCUUUUGCGGAGUACUUUGAUUCUUUGGCAUCGUUUUUGUUGGAAUGGACAUACAGAUAUUUUAGAGAAGUAAAAAGUUAAAAGAAAAAGAUUUAGAGACUAUGGUCUCUGUUUUCCUCAACUCCUGUGGGAAUGAGCUGAAUAGGACAAUGUCUUAAAUGGUACCUACGUUUAGUUGAACUUAUAACUAUGUAGGAAAAUUGUUUUGUUGAGCACGAACUAGCACAGAUUUGCCUGCAUCAUCUUUUUGUGGUGGUAGUUUCUCACAGAUUGAUUUUUGUCUCUGUUAGUCAUGCAGCCUUCAACAUUCCAUUAAGAAAUCCGUAAAUGUUAUUAUGUUUUGAAUCUAUUGAUUGAUAUACAGGACUAGCUUUUCAAGAAUAGACUCAUUACUAGCAAAAGUUGCCCGCGCAAUGCUGCGGGUUUUAAAACCGUACAAAACAUGUUGAAAGUUCUAAAUAUAUACGAUAGACAAUAUUAUUUAGGAGUAAUUAGGUUUUCAUCCUUAUUUUUACUACUCUAUUGAUUAAAACCUUAUUACUUUUCAAUUUUUGAUCAAGGUCCUUUGUAUUAAUAAUAUCAUUAAUUAUUUCAAUAAUAAAAUAUUAAUUAUUUCUAAAUAUAUUCAUUUAAUAUUAAAAAUGUUACAAUUAGUAUAUUUAUAUUUAUGGCUAAAUUUUUUAUCAUAUAUUUUUAUUUUUAGUUUGUACCCAUUUUUAAUUUGCAACCCUUUUUUAAUUUGUACCAAUUUUCCUUUCAAUUUUAAUUUGUACCCAUAUAUUUAAUUUCUUUUGUGCCCAUAUUUUUUUAAAGUUUUAUUUGUAUUGUACCCCAUAUUUUUUUUUUUUAUUUAUUUGUACCCAUUUUUUAUUUUUGCUAAAUGUACCCAUUUUGAAGAAUGUACCCAUGUUUUGAUACAAUAAUUUUUUGGUUAUUUUUUAUGAAUGUACCCAUGUUUACACACACACACACACAAUAGUAUAUUUAUAUUUUAAUAUUUUUAAUCCCACAAAUUAUGGUUUUUUAUUUAAAAUCUCAUUACUAUAAACAACUAUAAAUUUUAAUUUUUAAUUUAAAAAAUAUAGUAACGUACAUAGAAAUAAAUUAUCAAUUAAUUUUAGGGACUUGGAUCAAAAAUUGAAAAACAACAAGGUUUCAGUCAAAGAUUGUGCAUAAAUAGGGACCGCAUCUAAAGUCUCCCUAUUAUUUACAUACAUGUGGAAAUAUAUUUACAACCCUAUUUACAAUAAGAAAAAAAUAGGUGUCCAAAAGUGGGGGUUCGUAACAUUUUGCAAGUUUAAAGCACUGUUGAACUGCUUAUUUUUCCAAAAGGGUAAAUCGUCAAAAUGGUCCCUGAGAUUUGCAUAACUCAUCACUUUGGUCCCUGAGAUUCCAAAACGAUAAAAGUGGUCCCUGAGAUUUUCCACCAUCCAUCAUUUUGGUCCUUCCGUUAAAAACUCCGUUUUUUAAAUUUCAGGUAGACAGGCCAUGGGCCCACUCCAACAACACCGAUAUUAUCCGCACUUGGCCACCUGCUCAAUCCGUCAGGUGUGGGGUUUUAAUACAAAAGGCCUCGGUGUUAGUUAUAGUGGGGUAAUUCUAUGUAAAUGGCUUGUUCUCAAGCCUUCUGGCCGAUGUGGGACAAAUGAAUUCUAACACCGUUAAGUGUCCCCGAGGAAGUUUGGGCAAUUUCAAAGCUUCGUAACCCAAUCGUUUCUUAACCAAAUUAGACCCAUAAUAUAUCAAAAUGAAGAUAGGAAGGUGUAGAAUAAGAUUAUACCUAUUUCAAAGCCCAAUGAUUGCUGAAGAUGGCUGGAAAAUAGCCUCAAAGUUGACUGGUCCGAGUAAAAACUUGAAAACUCGCCGGAAACUGAGUAAACUUUAAACGUUCAUAACUUCAAUACUCAACGAAAUCAAAUGAUUCAAAAACGAAAAUCAUACUUCUCGACGAGAUGAAGAGAAUGCUACCUUUUUUUUUAUGGCUAACUCGCCAUGGUUUGGCCGGAAAAUGGCUUGAAAGUAGACAAUCUCUGGCAAUCACUGGGCUUUGAAAUAAGUAUAAUCUAAUUUUUCACUUUCCUAUCUUCAUUUUGAUAUAUUAUGGGUCUAAUUUGGUUAAGAAACGAUUGAGUUGUGAAGUUUUGAAAUUUGCCCAAACUUCCUCCGGGACACUUAACGGAGUUUUUAACGGAAUGACCAAAAUGAUGGAUGGUGGAAAAUCUCAGGGACCACUUUUAUCAUUUUGGAAUCUCAGGGACCAAAGUAACGAGUUAUAAAAAUCUCAGAGACCAUUUUGGCGAUUUACCCUUUCCAAAAUAUUCUAGGUACGUAUAUACUAAUUAGCAGUAACUUUCUUCUUUACAAAUCGACACUUGAGAACUUUCUUCUUUUGUUUUCAUUUCGCUGUUACAAAUCGGAAAAAUGAAACUUGUAAAUGUAAAUAAAUGGCAGUUUUACUGUUUUACUGAAAAUGAAAGAACGAAAUAUAAGAACUUGAUACGUUGACACGGUUUCUUCAAACACACUAGUACAAUCACAUAAAAAAUGCAAUGUUUAUGGUGAAAAGCCCAAGUUCCCGCCAGUUUGUCCUCCAUACUCUACCCUAAUCUUCUAAGGUUUUUAGUUAAACAACUUGCUCCUGUAACAACUAUAUUAAAGCAUAAAUAUUCAUGAAAAAUCAUCAUCAAUAGCAAAAAGGCACAAAGUAUUUUACAGAAUUCUAAAGAUCCCUUAAGUGCCUCAAACCCAGGUCUGUCCUCUCUUUGCCUUCCUCCUUCAUUACUUUGAUUUCUUUUUUUAUGCUGGAAUUUUUAUUUAUGGAAAUUUAAGGCUUUGAAAUAUAGUACUGAUUUCAGAGCCUUUGGCAAUUUACUUGUAAAUUGUUAGACUGUUGUACAGAGAUUCACACAUGAAAAUGCUUUAAAACGUAGAAGCUUACCUAAAGCAUAUGCGUGCAUGAAAUCCUUAAAGGUGAUACUUUUGGACAUUUCAGGGAAGUUCUUGAGAGCCUGAAAAUAUGUCGUAACAAUAAUCAGAAUCUACACGUUAAUAAUAAAGAAGUGAUUAACAAUCUUCUCAUAUCUCAAGUAAGUACUUUCAAAAGUUAUUAAGUUAACGGGAUGCCCCACUAUUCCAAAUUCUGAAAUUUGUGCCACAUUAUUAAUCUAGUCUUAUUUGACUGGUUACUCUGGUUGAUUAAUUUUGCCAGAACAUUCAAGAUAAUGGGACAUCGAAUUACAUGCCAUCAACCGUUUAAACCCCGAAUAGAGAUGAUGAUAUUAAAUUUAAAACAUAUACACGGCUUAGGUUCAAGCAUUAAUGUCCCAAAACCAUUAACCAAAUAAUAAAACAAUCAAGUACUUACUGUCCUAAUUGCCAAAAAUUCCUUUUUGAUUUGAGAUCUUUGAUUAAUUGUUUCCUGAUAUACAGAGCUUUGGCAGAUCAGCUCCAACUCAUCGUCACUCCAAAAACAGUGAAUUUCUUGCCAUUCAAGAAAUUUGUACAAACAAACAAAUCAAGUACAUGUAAGGACCACUGAUCAGUUAAAUUCUUGUUUCAUUCGUGUUCAAUCCACGCUGUCCAAGUUGACCGUCUAACAACAUGACCUACCAAAUAAUCUCUAGGAAUGCAAAUGAUAACUUAAUAUCAUAACACUCACAGUGCAUUGCAUCUCCUGCGGGCGAGGAAGCCGGCGAAUGUAAGGGGCACACCUGAAUCCUGCAUAAACAAAAACCUCAAACCCCACAGAAAAAAUCUUUCCACAACAUAGUAAAUUAAACUAGCACAGCAAUCUACAUUGCCCAUUCUCUGCUCAAACAAAACGACAGUGGCAAGCUUUGCAGCAUCGCCAACUCCAUCACUCAACAAAUCUUUCGGUUAUGGAACAAGAUUAUCCGGAGCUAGUUGCUGCAAUUAUAAACCAAAUCAAAGCCUCUUAAAUCAUAAAUUAACAAUUUAAACUGUGAUUGAAGUCUUAAAUAAUUUGGGAUUAAGAUUUACCACGCUGCACGGAACCUUCAAAACGCAGUCUCCAGUAGUUGUGCUCUGUGAAGCAAACAGAGACGUUCCGUACGCCGAUUUCCCAAUUGAAAGCGCCGACGAAAUCUCGGCGCCGGCCUUCCGCUCCAGCCACGGCAAGAAUGUUGGUAACUCUAAGUUGAACUCUCACACUAGAACACGUAACCAAUGUUUGCUUGAACACUCAAAGACUCGGGAGAAUAUACUUGUUAUUCAAUCAUGUAAACAUGGCUUUUAAAUAGCCUUACACAGAUAACUGAAAGCUGAAAAUAUGCAGCCCACGUUUUAACAACCCUACAACGUGGUAUGAGACUAAUUCAAAGUAAAUAACUUAUCCCUACAAACUAGGGUUUAUUAUCAUCAACUAAAACAAACACCUAAUAAACUGGAACCUGGAAGACCUAACCCUAACGGCUAGGACUCAUGAAAACGUCAACAUCCUCCCUUAAGCUGAAUGCUAUCAGCAAUCAGUUUAUAUGCAUGAGUGAAUGAACACCCAACAAUCCCCGUAAUUUCUGAAAAGCGUCCAGCUUUAGAGGCUUGGUCAUGAUAUCUGCCACCUGCUCCUGCGAGGAACAUUGAACCAACUCAACAAUCUCAUCCUUGGUAAGCUCGCGAAGAAAAUGAAAUCGAACAUCUAUGUGCUUGCUACGCCCAUGCAUCACUGGAUUCUUUGAAAGCUUAAUGGUAGAACUGUUGUCACAGUAAAUGGUUGUACACUUAUGCGAUUCAUAGUUGAGCUGCUGCAAGAUCCUUUUUAACCAAACUGCCUGACAUGCACAUGAAGCUGCAGCUAUGAACUCAGCUUCGGUGGUUGAUAAUGUGACCACCGGUUGUUUCUUUGAGGACCAAGAAACUGCUCCUGCACUUAACAUAAAAACAUACCCAGAAGUACUUUUCCUAUCAUCCUGAUCUCCAGCAUAAUCACUGUCAGUGUACCCGUAGAGUUCUUCUUCUCCUCCCUUCUUGUAGACCAGCCCAAAAUUCACCGUGCCCUUCAAGUACCUCAAUACUCUCUUUGCUGCUUUGAGAUGCAGCUCAGUAGGUCGUUCCAUGAACCUACUUAUUAGACUAAUCACAUACAUCAAGUCUGGUCGUGUUGCUGUUAAGUACAUCAAGCUGCCCACGAUUCGUUUGUACAUAGUGAUAUCCAUUUCUAUCCCAUCUUCAUCCUUCGUCAAUUUAAAACCAGGAACAAUGGGAUUAUGAACUGCAUUGCAUUGGUCCAUAUUGAACCGCUCCAAUAACUCCUGAGCGUACUUUCGUUGGGUAACAUAGAUACCUUCAGAUUUUUUAAUCACUUCCAAACCAAGGAAAUAACUCAUUUUCCCAAGAUCAGUCAUGUCAAACUCAGUCAUCAUUGAAAGCUUGAAAUCUUUGAACAUUGACUCAUCAUUCCCAGUAAAUAUAAGAUCAUCAACAUAAAGGCAGACAAUUAACAUUUUACCUCCAUUCACUUUCUUGACGAACAAGGUGUGUUCAUGUGGGCACUUAUUGAAACCUUCCUUCAUGAAGUAAGACUCGAUGCGGCUAUACCAGGCUCGGGGAGCCUGUUUGAGACCGUAUAGUGCCUUUUUCAGCUUAUAGACUUUAUGCUCCUGCCCCUUUUGUUCAUAACCUGGAGGUUGUGCGAUGAACACUUGUUCAUUUAUUUCUCCAUGGAGGAAAGCCGACUUGACAUCCAACUGGUAGACAGUCCAGUUAUUUGUGCUGCAAGUGAUAAAACAACUCGGACUGUAUCCAUCCGUGCCACAGGUGCAAAUACCUCUGCAUAAUCUACUCCAUAUCUCUGGCUGUACCCUUUUGCAACCAGGCGAGCCUUGUAUUUAUCCACUUCACCUUUCUCGUUGAACUUGGUUUUGUAAAUCCAUUUUACCCCAACUAUCUUCCCUUCUGGUGGCAUCUCUGUGAGUUCCCAUGUAUUAUUUUUCUCUAUUGCUUGUAUCUCUGAAUCCAUGGCCUUCUUCCAUUUGUCGCUUUGUAUAGCCUCCUCAUAAGUGAUAGGAUCGGACUCAGCAAAUAAUGCUAAGUGACCCAUAUCUUCUUCCUCUGAAAGACCCUCGCCACUCACAUAGUCUUCCAUCCACACUGGUUGUCUUCUAACUCGUCCUUCAACCGCAGUCAUCUCAGUCUGAUCAUUUUGAUCUGAGUCCAGGCUCUCCUGUGUUUGUUCAUCGGUCGCAUCAUCCCUCAGAUCUCCUUCUUCAUUCACGUCCCACUCAAGAUCAGCCAUGAUCGUCUCUUGGGAGUUAUCAUUCCAGUCCCAAGCCUUGUCCUCUUCAAAAACAACAUCCCGGCUUAUCACAAUUUUCUUAGACACUGGAUUGUACAGGCGAUAGGCCUUGGACUCCUCGCUGACUCCAAGUAGAAUACACUUCAUGCUUUUGUCAUCAAGCUUGAUCCUCUUGCUAUCAGGAACAUGCACGUGUCCUAUGCAUCCAAAAACCCUGAAGUGCUCCACGGAUGGUAUAGAGCCACUCCAGGCUUCUUCUGGCGUCAUGCUCUUUACUGCUAGGGUUGGACUUCGGUUAAGUACAUAAAUGGCCCAAUUUACUGCUUCUGGCCAGAAAGUUCUUGGGAUUUUCUUUCCUGUAAGCAUGCUUCGAACCAUGUUCAUGAUGGUUCGGUUCUUCCUCUCCGCGACUCCAUUCUGUUGGGGGGGUGUAAGCAGCUGUAAGUUGUCGGACAAUUCCAUGCAUGUUGCAAAAGUUUGUGAAUUCAAAUGAAAUGAAUUCACCUCCACGGUCUGUUCGCAGAGUUCUUAUGCUCGAACUCGUCUCCUUCUCAACCCGUGCCUUGAAGUUUUUGAACAUACUAAAGGCUUCUGAUUUCUCAAUCAAAAAGAACACCCAUGUUUUCCUGCUAUAAUCAUCAAUGAAAGUAAGAAGGUACCUCUUUUUACUGUUAGAUACUGGAUUUAUAGGCCCACAUAUAUCUGCAUGCACAAGUUGAAGAAUUUUAGAUGCUCUCCAUGUGCUGUCCUUUGGAAAGGAAUCUCGUUGUUGCUUCCCCACCAAACAUUCUUCACAUACCUGUGUGUGUGCGUUGAAUGUUGGUAAGCCCUUCACCAUAUUCUUUUGUUGAAGGACUCUCAGACCACUCCAACCCAAGUGUCCAUAUCGACAGUGCCAUAAUUUGAAUUGAUCAUCUGCACUCACAUUGAAACAUUGCUCCUCCUGCAGUUGUGUACGUGUCCGCAAAAUGAACAUGCGAUUUUCUGCCAUUUUGGUCUCCCAAAUUAGUCCUCUUGUUGGAUGAUAGAUCCUACACUUGCCACUUUUAAUGGAAAUAGCAAGGCCCUUCUCUUGCAGUUGACCAACGCUCAAUAGAUUAUUUUUUAAGUCCGGCACGUAGAACACUUCAGUGACAACUUGCAUGGCUCCAUUAACCUCCAUUCGAACAUUUCCCUUCCCUAGCACAUCCAACCGUGAGUUGUUUCCAAGUUUGACAGACUUCCUGAAGGUGUCGUCCAAAUCGAUGAACAUCUCCUUCUUUCCACACAUGUGAUUGCUGCAUCCCGAGUCCAAGAACCACAAUUCUUCCCUGUCGUUCCCCUUGAUAUCCACAUAUGCCAUCAAUAGCAUUUCUUCACUGGUUUCUGCAUAAAAACCUUUAGCAUCCUUCCCCUUCUUAGGACAUUCCCACUGAAAGUGUCCAAGUUCAUGACAAUGGUAACACUCGAGGGUGGAUUUGUCCGAGCCAUUUCGACCCCUUCCUCGCCCUCUUCCUCUGAAGCUGCUGCGUCCGUCUCGCCCACCUUGUUGCGUAUCAUAGGUCACUUUGAGAGCUUGCUCCUCUGCGGUGUGUGUCUUCCCAUCCUUUGCUCGUGCACAAGCAAAACUGCUUUGUAAUUCAUCGAUGGAUAAGAUGUCGAUAUCAUUUGACUCUUCAAUGGAACACACCACAUAGUCAAAUUUAGAGACCAUUGAUCGUAGAAUCUUUUCAAUGACCACUACAUCUUCCAUCUUUUCCCCAUGACUUCGCAUCUUGUUGGCUAUGGUGAGAGUACGUGCAAAAUACUCAUUCACCGAUUCCCCUGCCUUCAUAUGCAACAUCUCAAACUCUUUGCGAAGAGCCUGUAACUGGGCACGUUUUGACUCUUGCCGUGCCCUUGUACUUCUGUUUCAGUGAGUCCCAUAUGUCUUUCGCAGUGUCCUUCUUCAAUAUGGUCUCCAGUAUUGAACGAUCAAGGGCCUGGAACAAAUAAUUUUUGGCCUUCAGGUCCGUUAAUUUCAAAUCUUUAAUAGUUUUCUUCUGGACAUCUGUGAUACUGCUGUCAUCUGCUGCUGCAGGAACACCAGUCUCUACCAAACCCCAAUAUUCCUUGGAACGCAGGAAGUUCUCCAUGAGCAUGCUCCAAUGAUCAUAGUGUCCGUCAAGCCGUGGGAUUGCAGGUUGCACAAAGCUACUUUCAGUCGUCAUGAUGCUGUUGUGAACGAUGAAACUAACUGCGAUCAGGCCCCGUGGUGGGGCUCUGAUACCAAAUGUUGGUAACUCUAAGUUGAACUCUCACACUAGAACACGUAACCAAUGUUUGCUUGAACACUCAAAGACUCGGGAGAAUAUACUUGUUAUUCAAUCAUGUAAACAUGGCUUUUAAAUAGCCUUACACAGAUAACUGAAAGCUGAAAAUAUGCAGCCCACGUUUUAACAACCCUACAACGUGGUAUGAGACUAAUUCAAAGUAAAUAACUUAUCCCUACAAACUAGGGUUUAUUAUCAUCAACUAAAACAAACACCUAAUAAACUGGAACCUGGAAGACCUAACCCUAACGGCUAGGACUCAUGAAAACGUCAACAAAGAAGUCGUUGGAUUCGUCGACCUGGUAGAGAGCGAUGAAUUGUUAGCAGGAAUUUGAAAUGUUUCGGUUUUUUCCGGGAUUGUGAAAUUCUCCGUUUGGCUUUUGGGAUACCUUGGGUUGGGACAAGAAGUGGAAGUUGUGCUUGAUACUUGGAGUGUAGGAGAGGCUGAGAUGUUGACGGCGGAGACGUCAUCGGAUUUUUCGCUCUCUCAGUAGCAUUGCGGUGCGGGAUUGGGACGUCGUCGUUUUGAGGAGAGUGUUGGCUUGGCGCUCAACUCUCGUAUCCACGCGGGGACGGUGUGGAGAAUUUAGUGGUAAAAAAAAAAAAAGUUAUUGUAACUUCAAAAAUCUUAUCUUACUAUUUUUACAAGUGUUUUUUUCUUUUUAAAUAUUAAAAGUUUGGAGAGUAAUUUCAAAAACCCUAGAUGACUUCGUCUAAGAAUUCAAUUGGUUAUAGCUCGUGGGACAUGUUCUUUUUCUCCGAAGACAAUUUGUAGUAAAAAAAAAUCUUACCAAGCCAUCUAGAGUUAUUGGUGUGGUGGAAAUACCAAAUUCACAUCUCUAGUGCAUUCUAUAGAAUUUUUACACAGACAGACAUAAGUGACUAUAUGUACAUUAACAUUGAAUGUGACUGCAAAAUUGGCAAUAUUUGUAUUUUGGUGGUAAAUUCCGAGCACAACGGGGCAAAAAAUUCCCUUGAUUGGAAAUUAUUUCAUGUGUAUUACAAAAUGUGCUACGUACUACAAUUUGUAUUUGUAUUUGUAUAAGAGUACUACAGAAUGUGCUACGUACAACGUGAUCCAUUUUUCCCUUAUUGGGAAAUUCUUUUUUUUUAGUACUUUGAAUAUGUGCCACAGUUUUUGUUGUAAUAGAUAUACAUACUAUGGUCUCUGUUUUCCUCGAAUCUUGUGGGAAUCAGUUGGAUAGGAAAAUGUGCUAAAUGGUACCCAUGUUUAGUUGAACUUAUUAAGAUGUAGGAAAGAUGUUUUCUGAACACGAAUUAGCACAUAUUUGCCUACAUCAUCUCUUUGUUGGCAGUUUCUCACAUAUUAAUGGUCUCUGUUUUCCUCAACUUGGUUUAUUGUUGGGGAUUGAAGCAUGUACUUAUGCAGAAUUACUUUUUAGAAUUUAUUUUCAAGUUGGUGAACUAAUAUUUCAAUUAAUUUACUCUGUACUAGUUUGAGUUGAAAAAACCAAGUCAUUUCAAAUUGCGGUGAGUUGAAUUUAAUUGCAAAUAUCGCACAAAAUUUAUGGGAAUCCAUGUUGACGGGCUGUAAACUCAACUUGCUGGGCGAAGCAGCUCCACAACUCUAAAGACUCAUACAUCUGUCACACUAUUAAACGCCAAAUUCUAGAAAUUAAUUUCAAAUUUCGGAAAGUUUGUCGUCAAUGUGAUGUAUUUUUUGUAAAUGCAGGCGAUGUUUUUGCAAGGAACCGGAACUUUUCCACGCUCGAAAGCUCCACUGGUUGUCAUCGCUCUUCUGCUAUGUUUCUGCUUUGAUUACUGAUCUUUCUGGUUCUCUGUUUCGAAAAUUGAAGCAUACGAGUUUGUUCGAAAAACCCACAUAUUAUAGGCUUGCAUUUUAGGUUUCUUCUCCAAUUUUGUUUAUUCAGAUUUUAGGUUUCUUCUCAAAUAUCUGAUUUUGUUUAAGUUUGUGAGAUUUCUGUGUUUGUUUUGUUUUUCUGCAAUUGUUUUGGUUUUUGGUUUUUGUCUGCUUUAUCCGUAUUGAUCAAUUUGAAGAUCCCCAUUUUGUUUUAAUAUUCUAUACGUUUUUAGUUACCGGGUUAUUUUGGCAAUGAUAUUCGCUUUAGUUUUGUGCCCAGUAUUGGGUUUCCUGAUAACUUUUAGCAACUUUUACGUAUUCACUGUUUUAUUCCUCGGAUUAAAAUCAACUCUUUCGGUACCGUUGCAUCUUAGGAUCUCAAGAUUUCUGGUGUGAGUUCACUCACACACCAUUUUCAAUCUUUUCGAAAAAGAAUGAGCAUUGCAUUGAUACUUUGGCUGUGAAACGGAAUGUAGAAUCAUUAAGGUUUUUUUAGUCAAAAUGAUCUUUGAGAUUUGCAUAACACACCACUUUGAUCCCUUAUAUUGAAAAUCAAUAGAAAUAGUUUCUGAGAUUGUCUACCAUCCAUUAUUUUUGUCCUUCUGUUUUUUGUUAAAUGUCCCGGAGCUCUUAGCCUGAAGUUUGGUCAAUUUUCAAAACUUCGUAACUCAAUCGUUUCUCAACCAAAUUUAACCCAUAAUAUAUAAAAAUGAAGAUAGAAAAAUAUAGAACAAGAUAUACCUAUUUGGAAGCCCAAUGGUUGCCAGAGAUGGCCGGAAAAUAGCCUGAAAUGUGACUGAUCCGCAGAAAAACUGAAAAACUUGUUGGAAACUAGAUAAAAUUUAAACUUUCAUAACUUCUUUAAUACUCAACGAAAUCGAGUGAUUCGAAAACAAAAAUCAUACUUCUCAACGAGACGAAGAGAAUGAUACAUUUCUCAACAACCAAUUCAUCGUGAUUUGGCCGGAAAAUGGCUCGAAAUUGGCCAACUUGAGACCAAGACAGCCGUUUUCAGGCCAAACCAUGACUAGUUAGCCAUCGAGAAAGGUACCAUUAUUUUUGUCUCGUCGAUACGUAUGAUUUUCAUUUUUGAAUCACUCGAUUUCAUUGAGUGAAGAAGUUAUGAACGUUUAAAAUUUACCUAGUUUCUGACGAGUUUUCCAGUUUUCUCACGGACCAGUCAUUUUUAGGCUAUUUCCAACCAUCUUCGGCAACCAUUGGGCUUCCAAAUAGGUAUCAUCUUGUUCUACACACUUUCCUAUCUUCAUUUUGAUAUAUUAUGAGUCGAAUUUGGUUAAGAAAUGAUUAAAUUACGAAGUUUUGAAAAUUACUCAAACUUUCGCCCAAGAGCCCUAGCACACUUAACGAAGUUUUUAACGAAAUGAUCAAAAUAAUAGAUGGUGAACAAUCUCAAAGACCUUUUUUCUAUUGAUUUUCAAUCUUAGGGAUCAAAGUGAUGUAUUAUGUAAAUUUCAAAGACCAUUUUGACUAAAAAACCAAUCAUUAAUGAUUAGACAUUGGGUUUCAAAAUCUUUUAUAAUUUCAGCAUUGGUUCAAAAAAAAAAAAAAAAAAAACCUGUGUAAUUUCAUUUGGGUCUUCUUCCUUUUAAUCUUUCUUCGUUGAGUUUAGUCCUCCAAAAUUUUUGAUAAUUUUUUAAGUUUGAGUUUCUGGGUUUCUCUUAAAUUGGAGCUUUUGUGUUGGGUUUCUCUUCAUGCCAAUUGUCAAAUUGUUCGAACCAGUCUGUUGUAUAAAGGUUAUUGUAUGUAUAUAUUUCCACUGUUCCUCUGUUUGUUGUCUGUAUAACUACAAAUUCAUCAAUUCAUCAAUCGGGUGGUUCUUCUUAUGUAAUUUCAUUAAUUGGGUCUUACAAAACCUUAUUAAUGUCAGACUCUGUAGUUCUUGAGAUUAGAGAGCUAUUUUGCUCUUUAUUUUGUUCCUUAAUGUCAACCUUUCUUAAUGUCAGGUGAUGAGUAUUGAAGGGUUUUGAUAUUUCUACAUGUAUGUAAAUAGAGUUCUAUAUGUUUUAUAAUUUGACAUAAUAUCAAAGGAUGUUUGACUUGGACUACAAUUGCUAAUAGUUUUCACCACAACGUUACGGUUAACAACUUUUUUACCACAGAGGCCAAUCGUCAACAAUCACGCCAUAAUAUUUACAAUAGUUAGCUUAAAUAAAUUGUCGUUCUAGCACUACACUUUCAGUUUUUAAUUUCGUAUUUUAAAUUAAAGAAUGUUGAAUUUCUAGCUCAUUGCGUGUGGGCCUUUAAAGCCUUUAGAGCAACUCCACAUUGGUCAGGCAAUUGGGCAAUUCUUGUCCAAACCUAGAAAAAGUGCUCCAGCCCAAUCCAAUUAGUCGAGCAACUGAGUGGGCCCCAGGCCGCCUGAUUGAUUCAUUAGGCAACUUUAGGUCAUCUUCAAUGGAUCCGACCAGAUGAUCAUAGGGUCGAAAAUAGCCCUAAAUGACACAAGGACUAGGCCAAAGAGUUGUGGGCCCCACUAGGCCAAAACCAGUCAAUCAGGUCAGCAGGCUGGCCAUCUCCAGCCAGCUAACUAGCCUAAUAAGCUAGCCCACAUUUUUUUUAAGGAUUUUUUUGCCCAACCCACUUGUUUUUUUUUUAGCCUAUCCUUUCUUUUUUUUUGGUUGAUUUUUUUUUUAGUUUCUAAUUUUUUUCCUACACCAUUUCAUACUAUCUUAUCUCAUUUUAUUUUAAUUCUUUACAUUCCAUACCAUGACCUUUUGGCUCUCUCGGUUGAAGAUGAUUUUUUGUCACAUGGUUAUGUUUAAACCUAUGGUUCUUUGGCCCUCCGGUUGGAGAUGGUAUAAAAUAUGGCUUGAUAUUGUUUAUUAAAAUAUUAAUUUCUUGAAGGCUAUAGAGCUCCUGGCCCUCUUUCGGUUGGAGAUGGGCUUAGCCCGAGCUCUUACGAGUGGUUUGAUGACAUAUUGAAAUCAGCAUGUAGUCAGCCACGGAAGCCGACGAACGAAACCGCAAAAGAGGAGCGGAGGCUGCAGCAAAGCAAAGGAAAAAGCAGGGAAGCAAAUCCAGCGAUACUAUCUUAGCUGCCAAGAAGUCAAAACGGUUGAAGUAGAAUUCCAGGAGCGGGUGUUGACCGAGACCUCGGAGUCGGAAUCGGAAUCGGGUUUCGUUGAUUUCAAUGGCUGACUAGGUGGAAUUAGCGGAAGAGGAGGAGGAAGAUAGGAGGGGUGGUGGCCAAGAGCUUGGAAGAUUUGGAAGAAGAAGCCGAGCCAGCAGAGAGCUCCCUUAUUGGUGUUUUGGCACUUCACAUUCACCUUUAGCACAUGACUGCUUGGAUUGCAGCCGUUAAUUGCAUUUAGAUAUUUCGUUUUGCCUUGACCUGAUUCAGAUACUGUUAUGAUGAUGAUUGCACCAAGGAGGCAUAUAUUAUAGGCCAAAUUGGAUUAUUCAUCCCCGUGGUCAUAGGAAACUUGCAUGAUGACCCCCGUGGUGAAAAAACUAGGAAUUAAACCCCUGUGGUCAAGAAUAUUAGCAAAUUUAGUCCAAAAGUAAGAUUUCUGUUAAAUGAUUGUUAAAAGUAUGGGUAAAACUGUAUUUUCAGUUCCAAUUGACAUUUAAAAUAAAUAAUUUUUUUAUAACAAUUAACAAAAAAAAUAAUGCUUAAUUUUUUAAAUAAAAAAAAACCCUAAUUCAAUGUCAAUUGGAAUUGAAAAUACAGUUUUACCCCAACUUUUAACAGUCCUUUAACAGAAAUCUUACUUUUGGACUGAAUUUGCUAACAUUCUAGAUCACAGGGGUUUAAUUCCUAGUUUUUUCACCACGGGGGUCAUCAUGCAAGUGUCCUAUGACCACGGAGGUCAUCAUGCAAGUGUCCUAUGACCACGGGGAUGAACAAUCCAAUUUAGCUUAUAUUAUAUAUAUCAUGAAUCUACAUGUUAAAACUAUUCAAGUUUUUUAUUAAUUUGUAAUUCUGGGCUUUGAAACUGUCAAAAUUUCCUCAUUUCUCUAUUUCUGCACAUAAAAUCCUUUCCUACCGAACAUCCGACGCAUUCCCAAGUUGGAAGUUGGUAUUGCUUUCAUAGGGGGAUUGAAGCAUGCAUAUAUGCAAAAUUAUUUUUUCAGAAUUUAUUUUCAAGUUGCUGAACAUAACACAUUCUACACUUGCUAAUAUUUCGGUUUCAGCUGUAAAAACCAAGUCAUUGCAAAUCGUGAUGAGUUAAUUGAUGGGAAUCCAUGUUGACGGGCUCUACUCAACUUGUUGGGCGAAGUAACUCUCCAACUCUAAAGAUUAAACAUCUAUUAUGUAUUUUAACACCAAAUUUUAGAAAUCAAUUUGAAAUUUUGGAAAGUUUGUCAUUAAUAUGAUGUAAUUUUUUAUAAUACAAAUGGUAUUUAAAGUGGGACAUCCUAUGAAUUUAGUGUGGAACUAGUGGAAAUGCAUUUAAAAUCUAAUAAAAUGGGAACAUUUUUGCUCAUUUUAAUGCCAAAUUUUAGAAAUCAAUUUGAAAUUUCAGAAAGUUUGUCGUGAAUAUGAUGUAAUUUUUUAUAAUACUAAUGGUAUUUAAAGGGGGACAUCCUAUAAAAUUAGUGUGGAACUAGUGGAAAUGCAUUUAAAAACUAAUAAAAUUGGAACAUUUUUGCUCAUUCGCAUUAAUUUGGGAGUAUGUUCAUCAUAUUCUUUAAAACAUUUUUAAUAGAAGUCGUUAUUUGGCGACUUUCAUCAUUACUUUUGAGUUUUGAAGACUUAUUUAGAACAUCUUUAAUAGGGGCUUAAAAAAGAAUAUAUUUGUCUUUAAAAGAAAGGGACUUGGAUUGUCUGCCCUCUUAGUUAUGGUGCCCUUCCAUGCCUUCCUAUUUUGUGCGGUCACGAUUAAGCUACGUCAAUAUUUUAUAUUAAUUUUUUAAUAAGAUAAUAAGACAAAAAAUAAUAAAAAUAUAAAAUAUUGACGUGGCUUUACCGUGACCGCACAAAAUAGGAGGGCAUGGAAGGGCACCACAACUAGGAGGGCAGACAAUCCAAGUCCAAAAGAAAGUUAGCUUAAAUUGAGAGAUUCUUCAAUGUGACCGAAAUACGAGGUGGUACACCACUUGUUAUUAUGAUAAAAUGUGUAUUAGAAAAAUUAGUAACUUAAAAGAAUAAAUUUUUCAACAAUUUAUAUAAAAAUAUGUAUUGUAUUACAUGUGUACUGGUAAUAAUAAUAAAAUUUUCACUUUAAUGGGAGUGUACUUAGUAUAAUAUUUAAAUUUAGAGAUUAAAAAAAAAACAAAAAAUUUUGGUUUCCAAGGUGUCCCCGGGCAAAGCCCAAGACUAAUCUUUCGAGGUACGGACCGUACGGUCGGGCACAUAUGCGGGGACCUCUUCCAUUCUGACCAACCUCCAUUGGUAAAACAAACAAAAAAUUAUUCGCAAACCCCAAAAAGCUUUCAUAACCCUUGCAUCAACCGACAAAAUAAAAGUAGCUGCACAGUUUUUCAGAGUCCCAUCACGUGCUGGGACCUAACCCGACUCAAAUUUAGGACUUGGAUUGUCUGCUCUCCCAUUUCAGUACUCUCUUCGUGCUCUUCUGUUUGUGUGGUCACGUUUAAGCCACGUCAACAUUUUAUAUUACUAUUUCUUUUUGUUUUAUUAUUUUUAUAAAAAAAUAAUAUAAAAUGUUGAUAUGACUUAACCGUGACCACACAAAACAGGAGGGCACGAGGAGGGCACCAAAAUGGGAGGACAGACAAUCCAAGUCCUCAAAUUUAACAUGGCCCUCAGCCCAUUUGACAAUCCCUACGCAGAAAAUUAGAAGUAGAAAAGAAUACCAUUAGAUUAUAGCACUAAAUAAUUUUUGUAAUUUUUUUUUUUGUAAAAUGAUAUGUUUUAUAUUAAUCUACACAAUGAACAAUCUAAUUUGAUAUUGAAUUCAUCAUCCUCGAGAUUCAAACAUGAGAUCCCUUACUUAAAAGUAAAGAAAAAUAUCAUCAGAUCUUAAUACUCUGUAGCAAUGGCUCUUACAAUUUUAAAUAUUAACAAUUUAAAUAAACAAAUGAAAAAUUCUUUGAAGUUCCUAAUCCAACAACCCUAGAAAGAGAUCAUAUUCGGAUUCCUUCCAUCAAAUUCACCUAAUUAAUUAAUCCGGAUCGUUGAAAUUUGAUUCAACGAUUAUAAACAAAGGGCCAUUUAAAAGUUAUAAUAACUUUAACCGUUGGAUCAAAUUUUAAGGAUCCAGAUUAGGUGAUUAGAUGGAUUCGGUGAAAAGGAUCCAAAUAGAAUCCCUUUCCCAACAACACCGACAAUGUCUCUGUAUCUGCAAAAGUUGCCAUUAACGAGGAUACCAGGAAAGCCAGAUUGAAGCUUUGGUAGAAGCUCUUAAAAGCAUGAAGACAUAAACUUAAGGGAUGUGAUAAUCGCACACCUUUUUUUUUUACUUCUUUCACACUUAUUAAUUUCUAUCAUUUGAUCAUCUCUAAUUAAUUCGAUUAGACGGUCAAAAAUUAAGAAAGUGUGUAAGAAGUAAAAAAGAGUGUGAGAAUAGCACACCCCAAACUUGGAAUAGGAUCCUCUUUGGAUCUUCUUUGUGAGGAUUUAGAGGAUCAAUCAAUCGUGUUCAUUCAUUGUAGAUCGUGCGGUUAGAAAUCAUUUUAAAUUUUAAAUUAAAAAUUAAAUAUAAAUAAUAUCUAACGUAAACUAGCCGCACGAUUUAUAAUAAACGAAUAUGAUUGAUUAAUUUUUGAAUCCCCACAAAGAUGAUCCGAAGAGGAUCCUUGUCCCCCAAACUUAAACUCAACUUAGUUGUCAAGUGACUCAUGUGAGCUUAUUAACCCUCCCUUCCCUACACUACUGAUGCCAGUCAUCCGCCACUUGCUUAUUGGUUGUCAUUCCGAAUUAUGAUUGCAAACUAUGUUUAUUACCAACCUUUAUUUAAUUGUUGAUUGAAAAUGUUUAUUAGCCACUUGCUAACAUAGACCUUAGUUCACUUGCUGACGUAGGUCUUUGUUCAGCCCCUUAGUUUUAAAGGGAUUCCAAUUUUUUUAUGGAUAAUGAUAGGGAGACUAAAUUUAGAGAUAAAUUUUUAAAAAUUAAAGAACAUGAAAGUUGAUGAUUAGUUUAUUACUUAAACAUUUAUAAAUGUGUUCAUUAUUAUUGAUGACACAUUAUUUCGUUUGCAAAUUUUGUUUCUAAACUUAGUCUCUCUAGCAUUAUCUUUUUUUGAUAGAAAUGGGGACUAGUUAUGUGGCUCACUCCACAUCUUACUUCAACAUUCCCAUCUAUCUAAUUGAUUUUUUGUAAGAAUAGUCUAUGAAUGAAGACUUAAAAAAUAGACAUAGUUCGAAUUGUUAAAAUUCGAAGUAGAGUUAGCCCCACAAAUAGUCCAUUUUUUUUGUAAAUAAAAAAAAAUUGCUUUGGAUAAAGGCUUUGGGUCUUUGUUUAUGAUUAUCAGUCGCUUGGUGACGAGAGAUUUUUUAUUAUGUUCGGAACACAGACACAAAUGUCAUAUGUUAUUAAACAAGUAGAGUGACAACUGAAAUUAUAAAAUACAUAAGAAAAAUGAGUUAUGAAUAAGGGUAGUUGGAUGGAAGGGACAAAGAAGAUUGAAAAUUAAUAUAAAGGGGUUUCAAUUUUUUUUAUAAAAUGGAUACUAGUUGUGUGGCUCACUUCACAUCGAACUUCAAUAUUCAAACCAUUUAUUUUUUAAAUUGCAUUUUAUAGAUCAUUCUUACAAAACAUUAGUCAAAUCAGAAAUAUUUCAGGUAUUUAAUUGAUUUUUUGUAAGGAUGGUCUAUGAAUGAAGAUUUGAAAAAUAAACAUGGUUGAAAUUGUUGAAGUUCGAAGUAGAGUGACCCCCACGAUUAGUCCAAAUUUUUAUAAUAAAAAAGAGAGAAGGAAUCGCUUUGGAUAAAGGCUUUGGGUCUUUGUUUAUGGUUAGUAGUCGCUUGCUGAUGAGAUAUUUUUUAGUGUGUUCAGAAUAUGGGCAGACGCCUAUUAUUAAACAAGUGGAGAGACACUUGAAAUAAAAAAUUUCUCUCUAAUUAUAUAAUGACAAAUGAUAUACCACCUCAUGUUUCAGACACACUAAAAAUAUCUCUUGGUCGUGAUUGGUGAUAGAUCUUUGUUUAUGUCACAUGGUGAGAUAGGUGAUAGUUCUUGUGCUGGCAUAGGUCUUAGUUUAUUAGAAAUCUUAAUUGUUGCUUGAAAAUGUUAACAUGAUUGCAAACUAUCUAAUUUGUUUUAUAUGUAAAAGUCAAACCAUCUUUUGCAAUAACGAAAGCUUAAUUUAGUACAACUUGAUAAAUUGAGAGAGCUUAAAACAAGGGAGAGAGACAUGGAAACAGAGAUAUCUGGCAAGACGGAAAAAGUCUCCAAAAAAAUGGCGAAAUAAGAAACGAUCAAACAAAGUUGAACCCCACACCAUCUUUGUUCAAUGAGGCAUCCAAAUGAUGUAAUGAAGAAACAACUAUACAGGAGAUAAGAAAUGUUAAAGGGAGUGAAAAAUGAACCGUUUAAAUUAUACUUUAAAUUAAAACUUUAUUUCUAUUGGUUCGUACUAAUUCUGACUAUCUAAAUUAAAGAGUGGUUGGAGGAGUGUUGUUAAGGAGAUCCUAAGAAAAUUAUUUAGUUGUUUUAUUUCAAAUUUGAUUAAAAAAUAGGGAGAUGAUUGCAACAUGCUUCAAGCUAUUUUGCUUCUUAUUUUGUUCCUUAACGUCAAACUUUUUUAAUGUCACGUGAUGAGUAUUGAAUUGUCCUGAUAUUUCUACAUGUAUGUAAAUAGAGUUUUACAUGUUUUAUAUGAUUUGAAAACACGUAGCACUGCGAUCACCCUUGCUAGUUUGGCAUAAUAUCAAAGGAUGUUUGACUUGUACUACAAAUUACUAACGGUUUUCAUCACAAGGUUACAGUUAAAUUUUUUUUUAUCACAAGGGCUAAUCAUUAACAAUUACAUCAUAAUUAAUAAAAGUGAGCCUAAAUAAAUAGUCUUCUUAGCACUACACUUUCAGUUUUUUAUUUCGUAUUUUAAAAUAGGAAAACUUUUGAAUUUGAGGCUUAUUCCGAGCAUCACCGCAUUGGUCAGGCAAUUGGGCAAUUCUUGCCCAAAAACAAGAAAAGGUGCUCCGGCUCAAUUCGAUUAGUCAGGGGUGGAAGAGCAAUUGUCAAUCAUUCUGCUUUAUAACGUAGAAAUUAGCCUUAUAGAUAGGAGAGAGCAGAAAUUAGCCGAAAGCCCUAUUUGAGAGCUAACAUUUUCCUUUUUUAAAUAAUGGUAGGGAAACAAAAAAAAAAAAUUUAAAAAUUUACAAAUUAAAUGAUGUCUUAUUAAUAAAAAAUAAGAACGUUAAUUGAUAUUUAAUUAAUAAUUUAAUUAUUUACAACCACAUCAUUUAAUUUGUAAAUUUAGUGGAAAAAAUUUAUUUUCUCUAGUAUUACAUGCACCUUUAGAAAAAGAAAGUGAGAAAUAUAGAGGAAGCACCUUUGGAAAAAGAGAAUGAGAAAUAGAAAAUAUGCAUCUUUAGCAAAAGAUAGUGUAAAAAAGAGUGAGAAAUAGAAAAGAUGCAGCUUUAGUGAUUUUUUGGACAAUUAUUUGUCACGUGUUGUUUUAUUUAAUUUUGAUAUUAUUUUUUUUUAAAUUUAGGAAAAAAUCAAUCAAAGUUAAGUAAAAAGAUACGUGAUAGAUGAUUAGGUGUAUGAUAUGCAUACAUUAUAAUUUAUAAUGAUGAGCAAAAAUAGACCCUCAAAUAUUUGCUAUGCCAAAUACAAAUAGUGUUGUCCUUCUGAGUUACCUAGUUAUUAUUUCACCAAAGGUUUCAAGAAAUAAAACAAAAGAAAUGCACGUUACUUUUUUCAGUUUGAAGAAUAUUAAAUUUGUGGCUCAUUUUGUGUGGAACUUUGCACCGUGAAAGCCACUCAACAUUGUAAUAGUGAUGAUGACUUUGUUUCAAACAAAAAUUGUAUGUAGCCGACACUCUCAAUUGGAAAAGAAAAAAACGCUGUUGGCAUUUAUUCCACUCUGCAAAGUAUUUGCCUUAUAGAAAGAAGAGAGUGUGAGAGAGAAAUAGAGAAGAAAGGGAGAGCUGCUGCUCUUCCGAUGUUUCGGGCAAUCAGUGGCCCGAGCGGAGAAGCAUCAGACAGCGGGAGGCCCACCUCACGUGAAGGAACAGAGCCAAACGGCUCAAUUUCAAUGCAACAUGACACUCAGAUUCCAAAAACUUGCCCACUUGAACAGGAUUUAUUUGAAUUCGCUUCCAUAAAAAGUGGACUACAGCAUCCAUAUAUCCACUCUACUUGAACAUUUCAGUUACAGAAAUUUGAAAUCUCAAAUUUGGUUUCGAAGUGGAUAUGCUACUUUAUCUGCAAAAUUUCAGAGUUUUAGCUCCAAGAUUCAGUUCUAUUUUCUGCCGAAAAAAAGAAAAGUAAGUUUGAGUAAUUUCUUGUUUUUUCUUUUUUCACCAAAAUGUUGUGUCAACUAUUUUAUGAUUUUUUUUUCCGGUGCAACCGGAGUGAUAGAGCACUUAUAAUCAUCGGAUUUGAUGAAUGUUCAACAAAUUUCAAUUACUAGAUCAAAUCCGACGAUUGUAAGUGCUCCAACACUAUGUCUUGAGAAAUUUUGGUUUUUUUAGGACAACUACUAAUUAUAUUAGUUGUGUUUUGUCCAGUAAUUCUGAAAUUCAAAUCCAAAGGACAGAAUGGAAAACUCGCAUAUGGAAGUAAGUUGCAUAUGGACAGCGAAAACUCAAAAACCUCAUGAGUCUCUAGAUCAGAAAUAUUGGAAGAAAAUAUUUAUAUCAUCGUGUUUGUGUGCUAUCAUAUUGGAUCCAUUGUUCCUCUACAUUCCUAUUCUGAAGGAUGAUAUCAAGUGCCUUAUGUUAGAUCCGAAGUUGAAGAUAGUCACUCUUCUUUUGAGAUCACUCACAGAUUUUUUCUAUUUAAUGGACAUCAUUAUUCGAAUUUAUAGAUCUGAGAACUAUUCGGGUUUAAUCGAUGAACUUAACCGCAGACAACACCGGCUGAAUUUUAAUUUUGUGAUGAAAUCUUGUGUGCCAAGAAUAGCCAAGACAAUAUGGGCGUCAUAUGAUAUCUUAAUUGACAUUGUAGCUCUUCUUCCCCUUUCACAGGUAAGAACUUAAAUCCCUUUCUUGGAGUAAUUGUUUUCCCUAUUUGCUUUGCCUGCGGCCAAAACGGAUUUUUUCGUGUUAUAUGCACAAAACUGACACGUAAUGUAAUAUAUGUUUGAGUCUCACGUACACUUUGUUAGAGAGUAUUAAUUUUGUGUUCUAGACAACAUUGUUAUUCAUCCAUCAAAUUUUACUGUUGGCACUAGUAAUGAAUGGUAUCCAGGUGGCAAUCCUCAUUUUCUUCUCAAAAAUGAUUGACUUGAGAUCUUUGACUACAACAAGGAUGGUUCUUAUGAACGUUUUCGCUCUGUUGCAAUAUGUGCCACGAGUUCUUCGCAUCUACCUCUCAUUUAAAGAACUCAAAAAAAGGCCUCUUAAAGAAAAGCUUAGAGAGACUCCGAUAUGGAUUAAAGGUGUACUCAAUUUCUCUAUGUACAUCAUUGCUAGUCAUGUAAGUUUCAAUAUAUUAUCUGUUUUUUUUUUGUCAAAUCAAUUCUUAUUAUCCUGGUCUCACUUUUGUUUAUUAGAAAGAGCGUGAAAUGACUAUUUUGAAGUAACCAUAGCAUCUAAAAUAUUAAUAAUUUCCCCAGGCUAUUUAUUUGUUUGUUUAAUUUUCAGGUAGCCGGAGCCCUGUGGUAUUUUUUUUCUAUUCAACGAAUGAUGAUUUGUUGGCAUUCUGCAUGUCGAAAAAAUGAUGGAUGUGAUAACAGAAUGUUUGGUUGUCAUGAUCACCACUUCUUUAGAAAUACCACAAUUUUAAAUGAUUUAUGCCCUGUCAGUGAUGGUGAUAAUUCAUCAGACACAAUGUUCUUUGAUUUUGGUAUAUUUGCUACUGCGCUUGAAUAUGGUCUUGUGGGAUCAACCAGUUAUUUCAAAAAGUUCUUGAACUGUUUCUGGUGGGGUUUGCGAAAUUUAAGGUUUGUACAUUUUUGUCUUCCUUUGUUGAGAAAUUUAGACUUUUUAAGGUUUCUGAAUUUGUUCACGAUUUAUAUCAAUUCUUUUUGUUGAGGGUAUAAAUCACAUCGAGAACCUAAAGUAUUGCUUCUACGAAAUAGAGUCGAGUAGAAGGCCUCGUAGAGAUUAAAAAUCAAGUUGAGAGACAAAAAUGUUAUCGUGGAUAAAUUGUAGGAAGAAGGCACCAUGGAACCAAAUAAACCCUUGGAAAAAUGGUUGUGAAUUUGUAAGUUUAUAACUUGAAAUUUGAUAUCUUAUAUAAUGAUCCAUUAAUUUCAUUUUUGCAGUUCCUUGGGUUCAAAUCUUGAGCCAAGUGCUGAUGGAUGGGAGAAUCUCUAUACGAUUUUUAUUUCUAUAAGUGGCUUGCUUCUGUUUUUAUAUCUCAUCGGAAAUUUGCAGGUUUGCGUAAAAAACUUUUCGUAUGUCUCAUUAAUUAAGUGCUAUUAAUCACUCCAAUUACGUAAACUUGAUAUGUGAAGAUUUUGAUAUCCAUCAAAUUCACUCUAAUCUAAUAUAUGUUAAGUAUGAGUUUUAUUUUUUUCACUAAAUCUAAAUGCCAUGUAUAAGAAAUUUCUACUUGUAACAGGAACACUUACCACAUAAUAUAUUAUUCUACGUGUUAUCAUAUAAGUAGAUGACAUAGAUGAUAUUCUCGGUUUUAGGAUGUAUUAAUAAAAACCAAAUCUGUGUGUAAUUUGAAUGAGAUGGUAACACCAUGUGACCGUGUUCUGGUUUUAGAUAUCAUACAUAAAAAACUAAAAAAAAAAAAUUUGAACUUGGAUGAUAUAAAGUAGCCAAUGACUAUUUUUUGCAUUGGGCUGAUGAUAUAAAGUAGCCAACAGCUACUUUUUGCAUUGAAAGUUGGGGGAACACCCCCACGUGGGGUUCCUUUUCUUCAGCAGAAAUGUGGGGCCCAUUUUACUUUGUGGCUUAAAAUGUGAUCGGAAUUUGGCCCCCAUUUGGGUUUUAGGUUUUCGGCUUACUUUAGGUCAUGGGUUGGAGUGGGUUUUGGGAGGAAAAAAGGGAAAUUUUAGGUUAUAAUUCAUGGUUGGAGUUGGUCUAAGGCAUGUAUUAUCCUUCAGAUGGGUCUGGUUCAAUCGGAUUAUUAGCAUUUCAACCUAACUCAAAAUAGAUGGUCGAGUUUUUACCCAAAAAUAACUUUUUAACGUUUAGAACCCAACCUAUAUCAGUUGAGUUGGUCAGACAUGCCCACCCCUACUUGUUAUUAAGGUAGUAGUAUUUCAUUCUUUCUUUUUUUUUUGGAUUGAAAUAGUAGUAUUUCUUUUUUGUAAUGUAGAAAAAAAAGAUUAAACUAAAAAUCUAAUAUAUUGAUGACAUUCAACUUCAAAGAAAAAUAGUUGUUAUCCAAUAUGACAAUCUAAUUCUUAUCAAUCUCUUACUUGUUGAAUAGAUGUAUAUGCAAUUUGAAACUACAAGAAGAGAGGAUCGCAAACGCAAGAUGCUAAUCGAACAGAAGGUGGAAGAAAAAGGUCUUGAUAUAGAAUUAUGGUUAUUUAAAAGAGGCGUUCCCACUAGGUUGAAUAAGGAUAUGAAGUUGCAAAUAAUAGAAAAGGUACAACAAGCACUUGAAGACGGUAUGGAAAUUAAUUUGGAUAAAAUUUUCCCUCUUCUUCACUCGGACGUUCAAAGCCGUAUAGAAGAUUAUAUGCCUUUGACAAAGUUGAAGCAAGUAAGUUCUUUAUAUCUGAAUUUACCCUUUAAUUAAUUACUCACUUUGAUAAUCACAUAAAACGAGUAUAGUAUCUCUUUAUCUUUUGGAUAAGGCCUAUUUGUCGAAAUCUCCCCUAAACUUUUAACCUACUGUCAGUUUACCCUUUGAACUUAAAUUUUAACCAAUUACUCCCUUAAGACUUUUAUUUAUGGCCAAAUUCCCAACUUCCGUUAAAUAUCACCCAUUUCAUCCAUGAUUCCGUUAGUUUGGAGGGCAAAAUCGUCAUUUAGAACCCUUUUUGAAUUAGCAUCUGGGACAUGCGACAUGCCAUUGGAGGCUGUGGUUCUGUGCGUGGGCUUGCCAAUGGAGGUUGUGGGGUGAGUGGGUUAUGGCGGGGUGGUACUGGGGCUGAAUUUGAGGGAAGCGGUAGGCGGAUGAAUUUGAUAUGAGAUUAGGGGUGGCUGGUGGUUUGAGAUUUGGGGUGGAUGAGAAGGGUUACAAUUGGGUAGAAGAGGGGAGGUGAGAGAUGUGGUUUUUUAUUUUCAUUUUUAAAUCUUACUUUUAUUGUGAAUCAUGGAUAAAAUGUGAGAAACUUAAACGGCAAGGGGAAUUUGGCAAUAAAUAAAAGUUUAGGGAGAUCAUUGACUGAAAAUAAAGUUGAGGGGUAAAUUGGCACUAGGUUACAAGUUUAGGUUGAGAUCAAAUGAUAAGACCCACUCUCCGGAUUGAUGACAACAGGUCGCAAUCAUAACAGAGGACGAUGAUCACAGUGGGUGGCAGAAAACAGGGAUUGGGGUCAUCGGAGAAGAGAGUGAAUUCAAUGUUCGAUCAGAGUUUGGUUGUGUGUUUAUAGGGACCUGGCUUCUCUGCCCUCCCACUUUCCAUACACUCUCAUCCCUUUCUAUUUAUAUAGUCACGAUUAAGCCACGUCAACAUUUUAUAUUACUAUUGCUUUUUGUCUUAUUAUCUCUAUAAAAAAAUCAAUAUAAAAUAUUAACGUGACUUAAUCGUGACCGCACAAAAUAGGAGGGGAUAUAAGUGUAUGGGAAGUUGGAGGGCAGAGAAGCCGGGUUCUGUUUAGAGACUUGAAAAUGAACACUUGUCUUUAUUGUAUUGGACUAUUAGGAGGUCAGUAAAUUUUGAGUACUGAACAGGCAGUACCAAGUAUUAUCUUCAUCAUUUUAUUAAGAAUUUAGUUAACUGUUGAUGAUUGUACCUUUAUCCUUAAUGAGAAUUUCUUCCUAUGGGUUUUCUUGCUUUCUCUCUGAUAGUUUAACAACAUGAAUUCCAGGUGCCAAUGCUUCGAGGGAUGGAUGAAGGUUUGUUGAAAAUAAUCUAUGAGAAACUCGAGCAUGUGAGAUAUACUGAGAGUGAGAACAGCUUUAUUAUUCAAAAGGAUAAACCACUUGAGAAGAUGGUCUACAUUGUAGACGGAUUUGUAUACAUUAAAGAGGGAUCUUCUUCGAGACGAGGUGCAAGUGCAGGUGCAAGAGAAUUAUGUGGAGAAGAACUUCUACGUUGGCCAUUCUCCACUUUCUUCUUUCUUAGAGAACCGUUGUUGGCAACUGAAUCUGUCAUGGCAACUGGUGUUGUUGAAACCCUUGUUCUCAACGCAUCGGACUUGCGAAGUGUAAGCUCUUAAUCAAAUGCACAUUUCCUUUAAUAAAAUUGAGCAUCGAUAGGAAAAUUAAUUGGGAUAAAAGAGAGAUCCAAGAAUUACCUGUAUUUAAAAUAUCAGACAAGACUUUCAUGUUUUCAACGCAACCCUUCACAUGCGGGGGAACUUAAGCCUAAUGUGUGGAGUAGACAAGACAUAUUGAGUGAUGUAUAGCACUUAUAUAGUCUCAUCUAAAACCAUAUUAAAAUUGAGCCUCCAUCUUAGUUAAAACCAUUGGGAAUAGGAGGGAGAGGGUCCAAAAUUAUUUUAAAUUAUUAGGCAAAAUUUUAUUUCCUCUGACAACUUCAAUAAGCCUAUAAGCUAUAAUAAACUCUAAUUACCUCAAUUUGAUUGUAAUUUGGCUAGAUUUUCUUUUACUUGAACUAACAAACUCUAACCACCUUUUUGUUGUUGUGGAUUAAUAGAUAUACAAUCAAUCAGACAUUUUUGAAAAAGAGGCGCGUAGACACAAAGGAAUGAUGAAAAAGGAGAUUGAGCUAUAUAUAGAUGGAUUGAUACGUAAGAAUGAGAUUGUUAUAAGGUUGAAUCAUGACGUAAAGUCGCGGAUCAUGAAAAAUGUAGAAGAAAAAUUUCAUCAAGAUGAUCUUUAUUGGGAUCAUCUCUUUUCUCAUCUUCCUAGGGAUUUUCAAGAUGAGAUCGAAAGGUACUUGCCAGUGACUAAGUUGGAGAAGGUAAAGUUUCUUCAAAUCCAAGAAUCCAUGGUUUUAAUUUAGAACAUAGAAUUUGAGGCAUUUAUUUAUUUAUAGCUCUCAUCCCAAUAUCCCAUGCGCAUGUGAUAUUAUAGCUCCAGGCAUUUAAAUACAGCAUAACUAACGUAUAUUAUACCAACCCCAACCUAGGGCCUAGGCUACAUACAAUCUAGCCCUUGCCCAUGAUAAGGUGGAGCGUAAGUACAUGAGACAGAAAAAAAACAAACAAAAGAAAAAAUAAGCUGCCAAAUAGAAGAAUUUGCCAGCCAAUAAAGACCAUUCACUUGGAACUUUCUAACCCCUAUCCCUUCACACCAAUAAAUUUUAAAAGGAAAACCAUCCACUUGGAUACAUUUUUAUAUUACUUGAAGCAUGUGAACAUUUGUAGUUAUAAUCAUCCAAAUAACCCAAAAAUGGUAAUUAACUAAAACCAGGGAAAAAAUUUAAAAAUAUGCUAUAAAAAGUGAGUGGUAGAAACAGGAAAAGUGUGAUACUAAUUGGAUAGAAAAAUUAAAAAGAAGUCAUGCUUAUGGCAUUAGUUAGGUUUUUUAUUGGCACGACUCAUUUAAGAAAAAUACUAAGGAGACCAUUAAGAAAAACAAUCAUCAAACGUUGUAGUAGUUACGUUUUUUAUUCUCCCUCUUCUUCCUUCGGAUGUUCAAAGGUGCAAAAAAAAAAAAGAGCCUUUUGCCAAGUUGAAGCAAGUAAUUACUCACCUUGAUAAGCAUAUAAAACGAGGAUUGUAUCUCUUUAUCAUUUUAAUAAGAAUUUAAUUAAUUCUUCCUAUGACUUUUCUUGCUUUCUCUCUGAUUUUAACAAUAUGAAUUCCAGGUGCCAAUGCUUCGAGGGAUAGACGAAGAUGUGUUCAAAAUAAUCUGUCAGAAACUCGAGCCUGUGAGGUAUACUGAGAACACCUUUAUUAUUCAAAAGGGUGAACAACUGGACAAGAUGGUCUACAUUGUAGACGGAUUUGUAUCCGUUGAAAAGAGAUCUUCUGUUGAUUCGAGACAAGGUGCAGGAGAAUUAUUUGGAGAAGAACUUCUACGUUUGCCAUUCUCCACUGACUUUCCUUUCACAAGACCGUUGGCAACUGAAUCUGUCAAGGCAAUUGGUGUUGUUGAAGCCCUUGCUCUCUACGCACAUGACUUGCAAAGUGUAAGCUCUUAAUCAAAUGCACAUUUCCCUAAUUACAAUUGAGCAUCCAUAGUAAAAUUAAUUGGGAUAAGAGAGAGAUCCAAGAAUUACCCCCCUUAUUUAAGCUAUCAGAUAAGACUUUCAUGUUUUCAAUGCAACCCUUCACAUGCGGGGCCAUUUAAGCCUAAUGUGUGGAGUAAACAACACAUAUUGAGUGAUGCAUAGCACGUAGAUAGCCUCAUCUGACACCCUAUUAAAAUUGAGCAUCCAUCUUAGUUAAAACCAUUGGCAAUAGGAGGGAGAGGGUUCAAAAUUAUUUAAAUUAGAUUCAUAUAAUCUGAAAACUUCAAUAAGCCUUUACGAAACUCUAACAACCUCAAUUUGAUUGUAAUUUGGCUACAUAUUCUUUUACUUGAACUAACGAACUCUAACAACCUUUUUGUUAUUUUGGAUCAAUAGAUAUACCGCAAAUUAGACAUUUUUGAAAAAGAGAAGCCUAGACACAGAAUAAUGAUGAAGGAGGAGAUUGAGCGAAAUAUAGAUGAAUUGAUAUGUAGUAAUGGAAUUCCUGAAAGGUUGAAUCAAGAUGUAAAGUCGCGGAUGAUGAAAAACGUGGAAGAAAAUUUUCAACAAGAUGAUCUUUAUUGGGAUUUGCUCGAUUGGGAUCAUCUCGUUUAUGGUCUUCCCUUGGAUUUUCAAAAAGAGAUCAUAAGUUACAUGCCGUUGACAAAGUUGAAGCAGGUAAAGUUUCUUCAAAUCCAUGAAUCCAUGGCUUUAAUUUUGAACAUAGAAUUUGAGGCAUUUAUUUAUUUGAAGCAGGUAAAGUUUCUUCAAAUCCAUGAGAUAUUAUAGCUCCCAGGCAUUUAAAUACAGCAUAACUAACGUGUACUAUACCAACCCCAACCUAGGGCCUAGGCUACAAAACAAUCUAGCAAUUGCCCAUGAAUAAGGUAGAGCGUAAGUACACGAGACAGAAAAAAACAAAACAAAAGAAAAAAUAAGCUGUCAAAUGGAAGAAUUCGUCAGCUAAUAAAGACCAUCCACUUAGAACUUUCUAACCCCUAUCCUUUCACACCAAUAAAUUUUAAAAGGAAAACCAUCCACUUGGAUGCUUUUUUAUAUUACUUGAAGCAUGUGAACAUUUGUAGUUAUUAUUAUCCAAAUAACCCAAAAAUGGUAAUUAACUAAAACCAGGAAAAAACAAUUAAAAAUAUGCUAUAAAAAAGUGAGUGCUAGAAACAAGAAAAACAUGACACUUAUGGGGUUGCAAUAAUGUCAUGAUUCAUUUAAGAAAAAUAUUAUGUGAUGAUUAAAAAAAUAAUAAUAAUUAAACACCGUAUUUUGUGGUCUACAAAUUAUAAUUUAAAUAGAUCUAAAGCCACAAUGCAUCAUUUCAACUGAGCAACAAUCACACCUUUCACAUUUACGUGGCCACUUUUUCUUGUAGUAAGCAAACACAAGAACGGUCCGAAGGCUGCAGAUUUUAAUAAAAACGUUAGAGAUUAAUGAUGGAUGGAAAGUUUUUAAAAUUCAUGAGUUAGUUAUAAGUAUAUACUUAUGUAUUAGAUUUUUUUAAUCCGUCAAUUAAGUUACUUAUAUGUUAUAAAAUGUAGGUGCUAGCAUUCCAAAACAUGGAUUAUAAAGUUCUGAAAGAAAUUUGUAACCACCUUCGGCCCAAGACGUAUAAUCGUAACGAUAACAUUAUUAAAAAGGGUGACCCAAUUCAAAUGUUGUUGAUUGUGGAAGGAAGAAUAGGCCAAGAAGGUUGGGUAAAAGACGCGGGAGAAAUCUAUGGAGAAGAACUUCUGGUUUGGCCAUUCUCAACCUCUUUCCCUGAUGAAGUACCUGCAGCAGCUAAGUCUCCUUUUGUAAUUACGGAUGUUGUUGAAGCCCUUGUUCUGACGGCCGGUGACAUGGAGAGUGUAGCCACCAAAUUCCGGAAGCAUUUCAUAAAAAAUUACGGCAAAUUCGUACGGAAAUCGGAAUUCGACCUUUUUACUGACUAUUAUUCUGAAGGGGCUAUUAAGGAGGCCACAAGAAACUACACUUGUUUGAACAAUCCAAAUGAAGAAGGCUAUGGAACAGUUUACCACACAGAAUUAGAUGGAAGAGCUGUCGCCAUAAAAACGUGCAACAGUGCUAUUGGUGACCCGUUCAUCCAAAGUCAACGUCUUGUUCAUGAGGCAUUUGUGCUUUUAGAAAUCAGUCACAAAAAUGUGGAGAGGCUGUUAGGUUGUUGUUUAGAGACAAGAUGGCCUAUAAUGGUUUAUGACCGCACCGAUGCUUUGACUCUUGCUGAGCACUUUCACAGAAACAGAUCGAAACUCUCGUUGGAAUCACGAAUGAAGAUAGCAGCAGAAACUGCAGGAGCUCUAGCACAUGUGCACUCCAGGUCAGUCAUACACCGAGAUGUGAAGACAACGAAUAUAUUAGUAGAUCGUACAACUCACACUGUACAAGUUACCGGUUUUGGAGCUUCGCGAUUGCUUGAUGAAGAUGAAGUAUCAACUUUGCCAGGGACAUCCAGACACUUAGACCCCGAGUAUUAUCUUAAAUCACACGACGUCUAUAGCUUUGGAGUUGUUCUAGUGGAGCUACUAACACAUCAAGAGGCAGUUUCUUCUAAUGGGUCUGAGACAUCCCUAGCAAACGACUUUGUUCGUUCAGUGCAAGAGGAUCGCUUGGGCCAAAUUCUCGAUGGUGAAAUAAACAGAGACAAGUUCAGUUUUGAGAUGGCCAAAAAAGUGAGCGAGCUUGCCGUGACAUGUUUGAGGUCAAGGGAGGAGGAAAGGCCUUCAAUGGAAAAAGUAGCUGAGGAGCUUGAGGGAGUAGUGCAAACCAUUAGAAACAGGGUAGAGUAUUCUACGGUGGACGAUAAUGUAUCUUCGGCUUCUAGAACUUCCGAGUGAAGUAUUGAUGUGAACCCGUGCGGCUGGUUUCAGUUUGAGUCUGUGCUUGUGAAAUAAUUGACAAGUCAGAUGCAUUUGCUAGUUUGAGGAAACCGUGGAAUUUGGAAUUAGUAUCAAAUAUUGUAACUUAUAUAUUUUUGCCCAUUUAAUUUAUCUUUGCCCUUCUCUUGGCACAAACAUCUGGAAUUAUCUAUUGGUCCCCACAGAAAUCCAUAAUCUCUAAAAAGAGAUGGCCGAAAUUCAGAACUAGAGAACCAUAAAUAGAAUCCACUAGAAAGUGUCUCGUUGUCGUAGGAUUGAAAAUAAAUAAAACAUUGUGCUGCUGAUCCUUUUUUUUUUUUUUUUUUUUUGCAUUAUACUUAACAAAUUUACAAUGUCAAACAACAAACUGGCAGCUGGAAAGGGGAAAAUGACUACUAAAAAAUCAACACUAUUUCAACUAAACCUAUACCCCAACCAAGCAAAACCAAAUGCACACUGAUAAUACCUUGAAGUAUAAAAAUAAGGAACCAAGCAGAUGCAACAAAUGUAACAUCAUUUCAAUAGCAAAAACGAAAACUGACAUUUGGUUCAAAAAUAUUAGAGGAAGUAUAGGUCAUAGUGUGUGAUAUGCAAAAGUGCUAGUAAUUCAAAUUUCCAACAUGCUCAGCAAAUCUCUAACUUUUCAGAAGUAAUUAAAUUGAAACUAAUAGAUGUUUCUUCUGCAUACUAAAUAUUGAAGAUUCGCUACGAAGAAUGAAUCCGUAACUUACUUAGGUUUCAAAGUGGACUACACAAUCCAUUAAUCUAAACAGAACUGUCCCAGCAAAGCAAACAAUUUAAUCUCAUUCCUCCAGAAAUGGCAUGUUUUAUUACUUCAACAACAACAACAAAGCCUUUUCCCACUAAGUGGGGUCGGCUAUAUGAAUCCUAGAACGCCAUUGCGCUCGGUUUUGUGUCAUGUCCUCCGUUAGAUCCAAGUACUCUAAGCCUUUUCUUAGAGUCUCUUCCAAAGUUUUCCUAGGUCUUCCUCUACCCCUUCGGCCCUGAACCUCUGUCCCGUAGUCACAUCUUCGAACCGGAGCGUCAGUCGGCCUUCUUUGCACAUGUCCAAAUCACCGGAACCGAUUUUCUCUCAUCUUUCCUUCAAUUUCGACUACUCCUACUUUACCUCGGAUAUCCUCAUUCUCAAUCUUAUCCUUUCUCGUGUGCCCACACAUCCUACGAAGCAUCCUCAUCUCCGCUACACCCAUUUUGUGUACGUGUUGAUGUUUCACCGCCCAACAUUCUGUGCCAUACAACAUCGCUAGCCUUAAUGUCGUCCUAUAAAAUUUUCCCUUGAGCUUCAGUGGCCUACGACGGUCACACAACACGCCGGAUGCACUCUUACACUUCAUCCAUCCAGCUCGUAUUCUAUGGUUGAGAUCUCCAUCUAAUUCUCCGUUCUCUUGCAAGAUAGAUCCUAGGUAGCGAAAACGGUAGCUUUUGUGAUCUUCGCUAGAUUGCUCCGGUCAUUAGUGUGGAUAAGUAUAUAAAUGGAUAGAGAUAGGAAAGCAAACACAAGAUGUACGUGGUUCACCCAGAUUGGCUACGUCCACGGAAUAGAAGAGUUCUCAUUAAUUGUGAAGGGUUUACACAAGUACAUAGGUUCAAGCUCUCCUUUAGUGAGUACCAGUGAAUGAUUUAGUACAAAUGACAUUAGAGUACAAAUGACAUUAGGAAAUAUUGUGGGAGAAUGAUCUCGUAAUCACGAAACUUCUAAGUAUCGGAGUGUGGUAUCAUCUUGACUUGCCUUAUCUGUCUCAUAGGUAGAUGUGGCAGCUUCUCUGGAAGUACUCUUCCUCCAUCCAGGGGUGGUAUCUUUAACUGGUAAAGAUGCACAAGGUAAUGUAUCAAUUUCACUUGAAGCUUACUUGUAGUGUCAGGCUUGGUCCAGCGCGAUACAAACCAUGUAGUAGGAGUCCCCCAAGUCGCCGAGCUAGGGGAUCUGCUGAAAGAGGUGACAGACAAGGUAAGCAAUCAGAGCUCCGGCUGAUUGUUCACCUUCUCCUCAUCUUGCAGCAGCAUGAAGGAUAAAGAGAAGAAAAAUGAGAAUAGAUGAUAUGGGAUACUUUUGCUUUUGAAGAAGUAACUUUCCACAGGCUUAUUCUUGAACUGAGCUGGAGGGUUUUCUAGUUUCCUCCAGAGUAUAAGGCCGACUGAAGAAUUUGAGGGUCAAAACAAGUCCAUCAAAUCUAGAGUACGUUCGACCCUGCUGAUAUGGGAUACUUUUGCUUUUGACAGAGUAAUGGAUGUAUCGGCACGUGUGCUGUUACGCUUGUCUCCACAUGCUUCCUUGUAUCCUUCGCACUUGCCCUAUCUGUUGCUCAAGCAGAUGCGAUAUCUUCCCUGGAAACAUAAGAUGUUGAAGAUGAGUACUCGAGAGCAAUGCCAGGUAAGUAAUCAGGUAAGGGGUUCCAGGCAGUCAGUUCCUGGCUGGGAGCUUGAUUUCAAGUGCUGACUGAUUGCUCUAUUUCUCCUUGUCUUGCAGGUAAAAACAAGGCCAAAGGUAAAGACAGGGAAAAAGCAUGAUAUGGGAUACUCUUGCUUUUAACCCUGAUGAUAUGAGAUAUUCUUGCUCUAGUAUAGCUUGAUUGCAGAGGUAUUAUCGGGGGGAAAGAAAGCUGAAUAUUUCGAAAGGUUUCGUUGGGAAUGCCCUCUCAGAUAUAAGGAAGGGUUGAGCAUUUUUGCAGGUCUGCCUGUCCGUUGGGGAUGAAGGUCGACAUAUAUAGGAGUCUCCCUAACAACAAGUAGUAAUGCUAUUCCUUUACCCUGCUUGGUCAUAGCACGGUAGUGGGAGCUGUCAGCUUCACAUGUUUUAACUCUGUCAAAGCACUUUGAAAAAGUGGUAUGUGGUAUCUGGCUCUCGAGAUUCGGAGAACGAUGCUUCUUCGAUUUUUGAGAAAGCAAUCAUGCUGGGGGUCUGGCUCUCGAGAUUCGGGGAGCAGUGUCUCUUCGAUUUUUGAGAAAGUAAUCAUGUUGGGAGUCUGGCUCUCGAGAUUCGGAGGGCGGUGCCUCUUCGAUUUUGGAGUAAGCAAUCUUGUUGGGAGUGUUUUCUCGGAUGUGAGUAAAGGUUAGGCAUGUUUGCUAGUCUACCUUGCCACGAAGCACGGAGGUUGACACAUAGGAACUUUCCAAUUAUCCAGCAGUGGUACUGUUCCUUUACCCUUGUGGGUAAUAAUAUGGUAGCAAGACCUUCAAAAUUUAUGUGUCUAAACUUUGUUAGUGCUGUUUCUUUGCUAUUGUUUUACCUUUCUACUUCACCAGAAGUCUUCGACAAAAUGCCCAUAAUUUUCGCAAAGCUGAGUGUGCGUGUGACAGGUGCUGACAAGGCUAGAAAAGUAGGUGCCUCUUCGAUUUCUGAGAUCGGCCCUCGAGGUCUCUGAGCAGCCCAGCUUUUGAGAAAGCGAGCGCCUCUUCGAUUGAUUCGGAGAACGAUGCCUCUUCGAUUUUUGAGAAAGCAAUCAUGCUGGGGGUCUGGCUCUCGAGAUUCGGGGAGCAGUGUCUUUUCGAUUUUUGAGAAAGUAAUCAUGUUGGGAGUCUGGCUCUCGAGAUUCGGAGGGCGUGCCUCUUCGAUUUUGGAGCAAGCAAUCUUGGUGGGAGUGUUUUCUCGAAUGUGAGUAAAGGUUGGGCAUGUUUGCUAGUCUACCUUGCCACGAAGCACAGAGGUUGACACACAGGGACUUUCCAAUUAUCCAGCAAAGGUACUGUUCCUUUACCCUCUCUUCGAUUUUUGAGAAAGUAGUCAUAUUGGGAGUCUGGCUCUCGAGAUUCGGAGGACGAUGCCUCUUCGAUUUUGGAGCAAGCAAUCUUAUUGGGAGUGUUUUCUCGAAUGUGAGUAAAGGUUGGGCAUGUUUGCUAGUCUACCUUGCCACGAGGCACAGAGGUUGACACACAGGGACUUUCCAAUUAUCCAGCAGUGGUACUGUUCCUUUACCCUUGUGGGUAAUAAUAUGGUAGCUAGACCUUCAAAAUUUAUGGGUCUAAACUUUGUUAGUGCUGUUUCUUUGCUAUUCUUUUACCCUUCUUGGUCAGAGCGAUGUAAUGGGAGCGGCAAGCUUCACGUGCUCAACUUUGGCAGAGAACUUUGGCAAAGUUAUCUGUGGUACCCAUGAGCUAUUGUUGUGUGUGGGAAGUGGGUGAUUGGACAGUAAGAUUCAUGUGUUUUCUACUUCCCCAGAAAUCUUCGACAGAAUACCCAUAAUUUCCGCAAAGCUGAGUGUGCGUGUGACAGGUGCUGACAAGGCUGGAAAAGUAGGUGCCUCUUCGAUUUCUAAGAUCGGCCCUCGUGGUCUCUGAGGAGCCCAGCUUUUGAGAAAGCGAGCGCCUCUUCGAUUUCUGAGAUCGACUUUCGUGGUCUUUGAGCAGCCCAACUUUUGAGAAAGCAAACACCUCUUCGAUUUAUGAGAUCAACCCUCGUGGUCUCUAAGCAGCCCAGCUUUUGAGAAAGCAAACGCCUCUUCGAUUUCUGAGCAGGCGCCUCUUCGAUGUCUGAAGCUCCGUCGAGUGCAACUUUUUAUAGGGGCUAGCAUUAAGUUCCAAAGCACACUUGAAUCUCCACCAGUAGAAGCUCCAUUCUUGCACUUCUAAGAUCUUGAUUUGUCCGACCUCUUCUCUCUUCAACACCUUUGAAAAUGUCUGGCCCCUCCGACUGUCGUUUUGACUUGAACCUUGUUGAAGAGGCAGCCCCGCCUUCUCCAGACAACAUAUGGCGCCCAUUCUUCGUUUCCCCUACUGGUCCUCUUACCGUUGGGGAUUCCGUGAUGAAGAAUGAUAUGACCGCUGCGGUGGUGGCCAGGAACCUUCUCACUCCCAAACAUAACAGACUACUUUCCAAACGGUCUGAUGAGUUAGCUGUUAAGGAUUCGCUGGCUCUCAGUGUUCAGUGUGCAGGUUCUGUGUCUAAUAUGGCCCAACGCCUAUUUGCUCGAACCCGCCAAGUUGAAUCAUUGGCGGCCGAAGUGAUGAGUCUCAAACAGGAGAUUAGAGGGCUCAAGCAUGAGAAUAAACAGUUGCACCGGCUCGCACAUGACUAUGCUACAAACAUGAAGAGGAAGCUUGACCAGAUGAAGGAAACUGAUGGUCAGGUUUUACUUGAUCAUCAGAGAUUUGUGGGUUUGUUCCAGAGGCAUUUAUUGCCUUCGUCUUCUGGGGCUGUACCGCGUAAUGAAGCUCCAAAUGAUCAACCUCUGAUGCCUCCUCCUUCUAGGGUUCUGUCCAGUACUGAGGCUCUGAAUGAUCCCCCUCCGAUGCCUUCUCUUUCUGGGGCUCUACCGACUGCUGAGACUUCUCCUAAGCAACCUUUGUGAAGGCUCCAUCUUGUUUGUUUAUUUUGACUCAUGUAUAUGUACAUAUUUGUAGCUUAUCGGGGAUAUCAAUAAAUAAGCUUUCCUUCAUUUCAACGUAUUGUGUUAAAUACACCAAAGCCUUCUUCGCUAAGUUCUUUGAAUUUUCUUUUGUUGAAGCUUGUAUGUUGAAGCUUUCUGAGUGGAGCAUGUAGGUUGGGGUAGUGUUCCCUUAAUUUUCCGAGUGAGGAAAACUUCUCGGUUGGAGACUUGGAAAAUCCAAGUCACUGAGUGGGAUCGGCUAUAUGAAUCUUAGAACGCCAUUGUGCUCGGUCCUGUGUCAUGUCCUUCGUUAGAUCCAAGUACUCUAAGUCUUUUCUUAGAGUCUCUUCCAAAGUUUUCCUAGGUCUUCCUCUACCCCUUCGGCCCUGAACCUCUGUCCCAUAGUCGCAUCUUCUAAUCGGAGCGUCAGUAGGCCUUCUUUGCACAUGUCCAAACCACCGUAACCGAUUUUCUCUCAUCUUUCCUUCAAUUUCGGCUACUCCUACUUUACCCCGGAUAUCCUCAUUCCUAAUCUUAUCCUUUCUCGUGUGCCCACACAUCCAACGAAGCAUCCUCAUCUCCGCUACACCCAUUUUGUGUACGUGUUGAUGCUUCACCGCCCAACAUUCUGUGCCAUACAGCAUCGCCGGCCUUAUUGCCGUCCUAUAAAAUUUUCCCUUGAGCUUCAGUGGCAUACGGCGGUCACACAACACGCCAGAUGCACUCUUCCACUUCAUCCAUCCAGCUUGUAUUCUAUGGUUGAGAUCUCCAUCUAAUUCUUCGUUCUUUUGCAAGAUAGAUCCUAGGUAACGAAAACGGUCGCUCUUUGGUAUUUCUUGAUCUCUGAUCCUCACCCCUAACUCGUUUUAGCCUCCAUUUGCACUGAACUUGCACUCCAUAUAUUCUGUCUUUGAUCGGCUUAUGCGAAGACCUUUAGAUUCCAACACUUCUCUCCAAAGGUUAAGCUUUGCAUUUACCCCCUCCUGAGUUUCAUCUAUCAACACUAUAUCGUCUGCGAAAAGCAUACACCAAGGAAUAUCAUCUUGAAUAUGUCCUGUUAACUCAUCCAUUACCAACGCAAAAAGGUAAGGACUUAAGGAUGAGCCUUGAUGUAAUCCUACAGUUACGGGAAAGCUUUCGGUUUGUCCUUCAUGAGUUUUUACGGCAGUCUUUGCUCCUUCAUACAUAUCCUUUAUAGCUUGGAUAUAUGCUACUCGUACUCUUUUCUUCUCUAAAAUCCUCCAAAGAAUGUCUCUUGGGACCCUAUCAUACGCUUUUUCCAAAUCUAUAAAGACCAUGUGUAAAUCCUUUUUCCCAUCUCUAUAUCUUUCCAUCAAUCUUCGUAAGAGAUAGAUUGCCUCCAUGGUUGAGCGCCUGGCAUGAACCCGAAUUGGUUGUCCGAAACCCGUGUCUCUUGCCUCAAUCUAUGCUCAAUGACUCUCUUCCAGAGCUUCAUUGUAUGACUCAUUAACUUAAUACCCCUAUAGUUCAUGCAAUUUUGUACGUCGCCCUUAUUCUUGUAGAUAGGCACCAAAGUGCUCGUUCGCCACUCAUUUGGCAUCUUCUUCGUUUUCAAAAUCUUAUUGAAAAGGUCAGUGAGCCAUGUUAUACCUGUCUCUCCCAAAACUUUCCACACUUCGAUUGGUAUAUCGUCUGGGCCUAUUGCUUUUCUAUGCUUCAUCUUCUUCAAAGCUACAACCACUUCUUCCUUCCGGAUUCGACGAUAAAAAGAGUAGUUUCUACACUCUUCUGAGUUACUCAACUCCCCUAAAGAAGCACUCCUUUCAUGUCCUUCAUUGAAAAGAUUAUGAAAAUAACCUCUCCAUCUGUCUUUAACCGCGUUCUCUGUAGCAAGAACCUUUCCAUCCUCAUCCUUGAUGCACCUCACUUGGUUUAGGUCCCUUGUCUUCUUUUCCCUUGCUCUAGCUAGUUUAUAGAUAUCCAACUCUCCUUCUUUGGUAUCUAGUCGUUUAUACAUAUCGUCGUAAGCCGCUAACUUAGCUUCUCUGACAGCUUUCUUCGCCUCUUGCUUCGCUUUUCUAUACUUUUCACCAUUUUCAUCGGUCCUCUCCUUGUAUAAGGCUUUACAACAUUCCUUCUUAGCCUUCAAAGCAAGUGGUUCUUAAUGAGUUAAUCUCCAAUGAUAUUACCUCUCUCUCGAGUCUUUGGGUGGUAUUGCAAAACCAAUAUCAUCAUCUAUAGCAGUCUGUUGUAGUCAAAGUGUCGCAGUAGUUUCUUAGCCAUGCAGAAGCAGAUUUGAGGAUACGAAGUUCACCAUUGAGGAGAUCCUGAGCCAUUUGCCUCCAGAGAAAGUCUUUCGCAUGUAACUGGAGAACUUAUGGGUUCCAAAGACUAUGCAUGCACUCGAGAAGCACAAAAAGGAGUUACUACAUUUGUAGUCAGAUGCAACAUUAUGUAAACCAUAGAAAUGAUUAUAUUAAAAUUCCACUCUCUUCGUAUGUUUAUUACUGCUUCCCAAACUCCUACGACUUCUCCAGUUAUAAAAUUCCUCAACUUCAUUAACAUCUCAACCAAAAUGAGUAUAUUACUGCAACACGUCAACUGAUUCAGUAUGCGUAUGCUUAAGAAUUCUUUCUUUCACAAGAACCGUAAUUGGUGUAUGCUCUCGGAAUUAAUGCAUUAUCAUAGAAAAUAAUGAACUCUUGUUUAACUUAGCUUAGACAAGUUCUCUAAACAAAGGGGGUCAAAAGUUAGUAUCUUUUACCUGGAUAGAUGCAUCACAAUCCACAGCUGAUUGGGUUAAUUUUGAUAACAUCUGAUGUGCUUCAAUCUCUCUGCUGCUGUUUGUUAAAGGACGUCGAGCCAAUCAACCAUCAUGUUCUGUAACUUCUUUGGCCAGGUCACUAAGUUCUGAAUAUUAAGAAACAAUCAAUAAACUAUUUGCAGAUGAGUCAUAAGGUUAAAUGAGCUCAGAAGCAUAUUAAGCAAUGCAUGCGAGUAAGUUAACAUGAAGAGAAACACACCUUAAGGAGAGGCGCAACAUAGAACACGAGCAAAAGCACGAAGUGACUGAGGAAUUCCUUUCCCUUUUCCACUACCAGACCUAACUUCCCUAUGUCAUCAUACGAUUAUUGUAAUCAGUAAAAGAUUUUCAUCACAAGAUAUCAAGUCAUCACGCGGAUAAACGCAUUAGUUAAACAAGACUGGAAAUGGAACAAAAGAAACAGAAUAUUUGACUUCACAGAGUACCACUAGAUACGGGGGAUAAAGCCUAAAGGCCAUCAUGUAGGCAAAGGAACAUAAAUAGGGGAACAAAGGAAAUAAAAGAGAUACAGUGCAUCACUACCAACUUGAUAGUGAAAGAAUCCAUUGAAGAGUCAAAACCAUUGACAGCAUUACUGAUUGGUCUGUGAUCUCUCUUCAAAAGUUCCAACUCCAUUUCACAAAGGACGUCAUGGUGAGGUAUAUUGACCUAGAUCUCAACCUGAAAAUAGUCCAAAGGCAUCCGUAACAUUUACAUAUUUCAUAUAACAAAACCAUCAUCUGGAAAGAAAUGAUGUAGAACGUGUAUUCAGUAUCUUACUAAUUGACACAGGGUGACAGAUAAUUAAGUGGCUUCGGUCUUCAAGCAAACUUACCGAACAAAGAGAUUAUAAAUACUCAACUAAUUGCAAUUACUAUGCUCCCAUGAAAGACAUCCAACUUAUCAAAGAGGUUUUAAGCAAGUGCUAGAUCAAAAGUAGUCUUGUUCUUCGAGUCAAGGAGAGAAUAGUUUUGUUACCAAAACAAACUUCUAGUCAAAGUGUUAAAUUAAAGUCAGAAGUGUGAAUUAAGCAACAGAAACAUUUUCCCAACAUAACAAAGCAAUCAUUGUGACUAUAGUGAACUGAAAUCCUAGACUGACCUGGUCGUGGAUGUUGUAUGAAAGUGUAAACCCAAAGUCCCGAAGCAGGGUAGCAUUUGAAAAUUUUCCGUAUCUUAUCAGUACCUAUACAAAUAUACAAAUUGAAGUCCAGAGUUACAACUUUAAACAACCACUUCUGCAACGUAACCAUAGUCACGAAUUGUCCCAGAGGAUGUUUCCAUGUACCAUCCAUUCAUACUAAUAAAAGGAAACCCCAAACUUCCAGUAAUUUCUAAAUAAUAAUUCCACAGCAUAUCUCAAGCAAUAUUGUGCUUUUUACUCUAACAUAGACCCUGUGUUCAUGUGUUGUGAUCUGUUAUCUGUUAACACACAAUGACCACUGAGGAAUAAAAAGUUUUACUAAUUCUUAGAAAAAAUAGAUAAGAAAUUAGCAGAAGGUCAUGAAAAUUUCAAACCCAAAGAGAGACAUCUAAAACGAAAAUGAGUGAAAAUGUUAAUGAGUCGUCUACAAAAACAAAAAUUGAUCAAAUGUUUCAAAACAAAAAAGAAAUUCCAAAGGGUGCCUGUAAUUUUAAAUAGGGGAAGCAAGCCAUCUUAAUUAAGUAGCAUCUAACCUGUUCACCAGGAGCAUAAUUGUGGUCAGCAAUGACCUGCCCAGAUAAAUAACAGGCACGAAAAAUCAAGAACAUUGUGAAAUGAAUUUGUUUUGCAUCCCAAUAACUAACUAAUAUAAAGCAAGAAAGACAUAAAAAAGACUCAAUUUCCAUAAGAGUGCAGAAUGAAUAAGGAGAAUAUAAAAUUCUUGUACUCCUAUAACCAAAUCAAGAUGUGAGAUAGAGAAUCAAAACGCAGAGAGCGAUUUGUUGUCGUCACUCAACACAAUUGAUUCUGAAGUAUCGUCAUGAUUCAAAAAAUCAGCAAAUGGGAUCUAUAAAAUAAAUUGAAAUUCCAAAAAAUUCAUAAGGGGAAAAAAUUGAACCUCCAUCAUAAAGUUCAUAACACUAUUUACAACAGAAUCUUUAUAAAUGUGUUACCAGAGAAUAACCCUUCGUGUUUCCCCAUGCUCGAGAACUAACUGCAAAAUCCACCGUGAACCAGUGAGAAUAAGUUGUAUAGAUCUUUACAAGAUGCAACUGCUGCAACUGAUAAUAUCUAGAAUAUUUUUGUAUCCAGCAAUCAUAUAAAAUUGGAAUGAAUAGGUAUAUAGGUAAAUGGAGAUAUAAACUAUAUGAAAUGGGAUGCUAUUGAACAUCUACACCGCUGCUGGCAUUCAUUUAUUUAAUUCAAAAAAUUGGAAUUAAGUACAAUUGAAGCAAAUUAUUCAGACAGAUUAGGACGUGAAAAUGCUUUAAAAUGUAGAAGCUUACCUAAAGCAUAUACGUGCAUGAAAUCCUUAUAGGUGAUACUCUUGGACAUUUUAGGGAAGUUCUUGAGAGCCUGAAAAAUAUGUCGUAGCAAUAAUCAGAAUCUAAAAGUUAAUAACAAAGAAGUGAUUGACAAUCAUCUCAUAUCUCAGGUAAGUAUUGACUUGAUUAAGUUUCAAAAGUUAUUAAGUUGACGGAUUACUCUGGUUGUUUAAUUUUGCCAGGACAUUCAAGAUAAAGGGACAUUGAAUUACAUGCCACCAAAUUACAUGCCACCAACAGUUUAAAUCCCAAAUAGAGAUGAUGAUAUUAAACUUAAAGCAUACACAUGGAAGAGGUUCACGCAUGAACCUCCCAAAACCAUUAACCAGUGUAUAAAACAAUCAAGUACUUACCGUCCUAAUUACCAAAAAUUCCUUUUUGAUUUGAGAUCUUUGAUUAAUUGUUUCCUGAUAUACAGAGCUUUGGCGAAUCAGCUCCAGCUCAUUGUCACUCCAAAAUAUCUAAGAAUAUACAAACAACAUCCACGUCAAUAACAGUGAAUUCUUGCCAUUCAAGAAAUGUGUACAACCAAACGAAUCAACUACAAGUAAGGACUAUUGCUCAGUUAAAUUAUUUUCCGUUCAUGUUCAACACAUGCUGUCUGAAUUGACUGUCUAACGACAUAACCUACCAAAUGAUAACUUAAUAUCAUAUAACACUCACCGUGCAAUGCAUCCCUCCGGGUGAGGAAGCCAGUGAAUGUAAGGGGCCCAUCCGGAAUCCUGCAUAAACAAAACCCUCAAACUCCACCGAAAAAAUCUUUACACAACAUAGUAAUUAAACUAGAACAGCAAUCUACAUUGCCCAUUCUCUGCUCAAACAAAACAACAGUGGCAAGCUUUGCAGCAUCGCCAACUCCAUCACUCUUCAGUUCUGGAACAAGAUUAUCUGGAGCUAGUUGCUGCAAUUAUAAACCAAAACAAAGCCUCUUAAAUCAUAAAUUAACAAUUUAAACUGUGAUUAAUAAUGUGAUUAAAGUCUUAAAUAAUUUGGGUUAAGAUUUACCACGCUGUACGGAACCUUCAAAACGCAAUCUCCAGCUGUUAUGCUCUUUGAAGCAAACAGAGACGUUCCGGACGCCGAUUUCCCAAUUGAAAGUGCCCACAAAAUCUCGGCGCCGGCCUUCCGCUCCAGCCACGGCAAGAAGUCGUCGGAUUCGUCGACCUUGGGUUGGGACAAGGAGUGGAAGUUGAGCUUGAUACUUGGAGUGUAGGAGAGGCUGAGAUGUUGACGGCUGAGACGCCAUCGGAUUUUUCACGCUCCGAGUAGCAUUGCGGUGCGGGAUUGAGACGUCGUCGUUUUCAGGAGAGUGUUGGCUUGGCGCUCGACUUGACUAUCCACGCGGGGAAGGUAUGGAGAAUUAGACGCUGCUGGAAUUAUGUUGAAAUAAAAGAUGUUAUCAAAGUUGAUAGUCAUACAAUGUAAAUAAAAGAUUUAACUUACUUCGCUAUCGUUUCGUUCAAAAAAAAAAACAAAAAAAAGAUUUAAUAGCUAUUUGUAUAAAGCUCCUUCAUUAAUGUUAUUCCAAGUUCGGAUAAUCUUUAAUAUUUAAUUAUUUUUAUGAUAUUGUUGAUGCAUAAAAUCAGGUUGAUUUUGAAACAACGUAAAAUGUCAAAGUAUGACUUUCGCAAGGUUGCUUCCGUCACUAAGUAAAGAUAGUGUGGUAUGGAAACAAAUGCAAGAUGUACGUGAUUCAUCAUAAGUUGGGCUACGUCCAAAAGGAUAUAAGAAUUCUCAUUAAUAAUGCAGAGUUUACAUGAUACAAAGGUUUAAGCAUAGUCAUCAUUAGUGAGUUUAAUAAUGGAUCAGAGAAUCUAAGAUUAUAAAAAGCUUAAUUGUGAGAGAAUGAUAUCCUUUUGACGUUGAGAAUAGUCCCGCAUUUUAGUCUAUGGUCGAUGUGAGACUCUUAAAGCUUUAUUCUAUGAUUUGACACAUGUCGUGUUGUGGUGUUGAUGCUGGAUUCACAAGACACCAUGAAUGACAGAUAAGAAAGAACACACUCAGAGAGAUGAGGAGGAAUGGGUUCGAUUCGAUUCAUAGUAGGCGUUGAUGUGUGAAGAUGUUUGAGAGAAGGGAUCUCGGGAUGGUGGAGGUCGGGCUGGGCUGAAGACGAGCGAGAGUGAGCAUUCGUUGGCCUGACUAAUAAUACCAAACUUUUUGGAGAGAUGAGUAAGCGGGUGUGAAUUGGACUAAAAAGUUAGGACUGGAUAACUUAUAUGAGUACUAUUUAAUACAUAAAUGCACCAAACACUUGAGUUGUAUUAUUACUCCUAUCUGGUCACUUAUACAACGUGUUAACGAAGCCUAAAGAUAUAAGUUGACAGCAAGUGCGGCACAUGCCUUGUGCCACCAGGGCGGUUGUCUAGGGCCCAAAAUUAAAAAGGGCACCAAAAAAUCCAAAUAAAUAGGUAUGUUUGUACCAUACUUGACCAAUCCCGAAACUACUGAGCACCGGUCAACGUUAUACCGUCAAGGACCCAGAAGAGUUUCCUUCCAACCAGGAGGCCAAUCACAGCGCGACAUGUGUUGACAUCAGAAGCCAAUCACAACGCGACAUAUGUCAACAUCAGAAGUCAAUCACAACACGACACGUGUCAAUGUCAGAAUGAAACUAGAAAUUCUCUUCUAUAAAUAGAGAUCAUUCUCUCACAAUAUUUCUUAAUGUCAUUUGUACUAAAUCAUUCACUAAUACUCAUUAAAUAAGACUUUGAACCUAUGUACUUGUGUAAACCCUUCACAAUUAAUGACUCAUCCCCCUCAUGCCUUUUCUUUUCUCUAGACACCCCAACAUCAACCCCAUCGAAAAGGACUAGAGUGGGAUCGUUGCUGAAGAGGGCUAGGUGGGGUCGCCGUCAAAUAGAGGGUUGACGGUGGACUCGCCAGCGAACAGAGGAGUUUAGGUAGUUGAGGUCGCUGGAUGAGAGAUGGGUGGAGUUGGGGUCGCCUAGAAAAUUAUGGAUUGGGGCGAGCUUGUUGACGAAGAGAGGGUUUGGAGGUUGGCUCACCUAAGAAGAGAGGAAUUAGGGGUGGUGGGCUCAUCCGAAAGUGAAGGAUUUGAGAAUUAGGAGUUUAAUAAUGGAUUAGAGAAUCUAAGAUUAUAAAAAGCUUAUUUGUGAGAGAAUGAUAUCAUUUUGACGUUGAGAAUAGUCCCGCAUUUUAGUCUAUGGUCGAUGCGAGACCCUUAAAGCUUUAUUCUAUGAUUUGACACAUGUCGUGUUGUGGUGUUGACAAAGAGAGGGUUUGGAGGUUGGCUCGCCUAAGAAGAGAGGAAUUAGGGGUGGUGGGCUCAUCCGAAAGUGAAGGAUUUGAGGGUGGGCUCACCAGAGAAGACAAGGGUGUUCUCACCGGGGAGGUGAGGGUCGAGAUCGCCGGAGAAGGGGGGAUGGUUUGUUUACACAAGAAGGGAGGAAGAAGAUGAGAGGUGUUUGGUUACGAAGAUAGUAAAAGAUUUUGGGGAAAUUCAUUUGACAUGUGUUAAAAUUGUAGUGGGCGAAGUAAGAUAGUCAGUAAAUUGAGUACUCAAGAAUUGUCCUAAGCAAACUGUAAUCAAACUGCAAACAGAACCAUUUUUCUCUGAUUAUAAACCAAAUAAAAACGAAGGGGUCAAACUACUUUCAGUCUUUUACAGAAUCUUAACAUCUUUGUAUUUUAAAUUUUUUUCAUGGGUACAUCCGGACAAGCUCACUGGCCUACAUACCUAAUUGCAUCGUGCUCAUGAUGAAACAGGAAACUAUGUGUCGGCAAAAUGUGGCAGGGAGGAGGAUUUAUUUUCUCCUCUCCAAGCAGAAGCAGUGGCCUUGAGGGCAGGUUUGUCUUGGGCGAUUCACAGGGGUUUUCAACAUAUUUCUUUCGAAAGCGAUUCACUUUAUAUUGUGGAGGCGUCAUGCGAUUCCUCUCCAGAUUUGUCUUUCAUUGGACAAAUUGUAGAAGAUAUCAAGGUGCUUUUCCAUUCAAUCACUGAAGAUAAAAUUACCCGCACUCAUAGCCAAGCAAACUCAAUUGCUCAUCGCCUUGCACGGGUUGGUCUCUCGGAGCAACAAGAUUGUAUAUGGGAUGUUACUCCCCCAAGUAUUGUCACUGACUUACUUGUGGAGGACAAUGUACUGCCAUAAUUGGCUCUGGAUGUAAUUUUUCUUGUACCACACCUUUUUGAAGUAAAUGAAUCUACUACCGUAUCUUCUCAACCAAAAAAAAAAAAAAAAUCUAAUUGGGUAAGCUUAUGUGAAUUGAUUCUUGAAAACUGUUGAGAGUUGAAAUGUGAGGAACAGUUUGUCCUACAUCGGUGAGGGAUAAGUCUUGCUAGUGGCUUAUAUGAUCUUAGACUAUUCUCUAUAGUACCAAUUGAUUUUAUGGUGGAACUUCUUAAAAAACAAGUUGUAUAAGAUUUUUUUAAGUAAAAUGGCUGGGGGUUUACCAAAUAUAAGAAAAAAAACAAUUUGGAAGGGACGAAGAAAUAUGCAAUGACAUCUAUGCCACACCAAUUUUCACGAUUAUUGUAUCAAAUUAUGAUUGGGAUGGCCCCUUGAAAGGUGGGAUGGUUUAAAAGCUGGAAAGUGAUUUGUUCGAUUAUAAUUGAAGUAAUGGAUCCCAGUCUUGAGAUACAAUUUGUGGGAGUUGGAAAUAUUCGACAUGAUCGCAUGAUGUACGAUGAACGGUCACGAUUACGGAAUCUCCAGGGUCCCAAUUUUAUCUUUGUUUAAAACGGAGCUUCUCCUUCUCAAUUGAUAUUUCCAAAUAUUGAUUUGAGAAAUUAAACUCAAUUAAUUUAAGGAGAAACUAGGUUCUCAUCAUUCUUUUUGCUAUUCCAUUGAUUAAAAUUUUAUUCAUUUUCAAUUGUUGAUCAAGGUCCUUAGGUAUUAAUAACAUCAUUAAUUAUUUUAAUAAUAAAAUAUUUUUUUUAUUUCUAAAUAUAUUCAUUUUAUGUUAAAAAUGUUACAAUUAGCAUAUUUAUAUUUAUGACUAAGUUUUUUAUCAUAUAUUUUUAGUUUUAGUUUGUACCCAUUUUUAAUUUGUAAAUUUUUUUUAUUUGUACCAAUUUUCUUUUCAAUUUUAAUUUGUACCCAUAUAUUAAUUUCUUUUUGUGCCCAUAUUUUUUAAAUUUUAUUUGUAUUUGUACCCAUAUGUUUUUUUAUUUGUACUUUUUAUUUUGCUAAAUGUACCCAUGCUAAUUAUAUGUACCCAUUCAUGUAAAACUUUUUAAUCUUAAAAUGUACUCAUUCUUAAAUACCAACUUGUGUCUUCCAAUAUAUAUAUAUAUACCAACUUGUUAUAUGUAAAAUGUACCCUUUUUUUAUAAAAAAUAUAUUCAAUUUUUUUUCUAAUCCAUUUUUAAACUUAUAUGGAUACAUUCUUUUUUCUUUGAUUUUAAAAUGUAUCCAUGUCAAGUUUAAUCAAAGAAAUUUACUAAUGUUAUUAAGCCUAAUAUUUUUUUUUCGUGAUUUUGAAGAAUGUACCCAUGUUUUGAUACAAUAAUUUUUUUGGUAAAUUUUGAUGAAUGUACCCAUGUUUAUACACACACGCACACAAUAGUAUAUUUAUAUUUUAAAAUUUUAAUCCCACAAAUUAUGGUUUUUUAUUUAAAAUCUCAUUUAUAGAAACAACUAAAAUUUCUAAUUUUUAAUUUAAAAAAAUAUAGUAACGUACAUAGAAAUAAAUUAUCACAUUAAUUUCAGGGACCUCGAUCAAAAAUUAAAAAUCAACAAGGUUUCAAUCAAAAAAUAUUCAUGACUAAGAACCGGAUUCAAAGUCUCCCUUAAUUUAAUUACAUGUUUUACUUUAGUUUCUUAAAACGGAGCUUCUCCUUCUUAAUUGACAUUUCCAUCUAUAAUGUGACUUUUUUUUAUCACGCAAAUUACUGGUAUCGUAGUUGCCUCACAAAUUGUACCAUAAUUACACUAGUCAUUAUCUUAACAAACAUUAUGGUUAGAUCCACAGGACCCCUUAGAUGACCUAGGGUAAGAAUUCUAUUGGUUAUAGCUCGUGGGACAUAUUCUUUUUCUCCGAAGACAAGCUUUAGUCAACAAAAUUCUUACCAUAAGUCAUCUAGAGGUAUUGGUGGCGGAAUUACCAAUUACACAAAUCUGAUACGUUUGGUAGAAUUUUUACGAAGAUUAUUAAAAAAAAUUGGUAACAUGGGGUGGGUCACCCUAAAAAACUAGCUCCAAAAGUUAUUACAUAUAGUUCAAGUUCUAAGGAUUCCCAUCAAAUCAUCAAAUAAUUGAGUUUCGAUCCAAUAAGGAGGAUUAUCAAAACAAUAGUAUCUCAAAUCCAUAUUAUAGCCCCAUUUUUACGAAGAUUGACAUGUGUGAGUAUAUGUAGAUUAACAUUGAAUAUAUGUUUAUCCAUAUUAUAGACGGUUAUGAUUGUUGACUUACAUUUCGAAGUGGACUCCAAAAAACUUUUGUUAAAAGUUGUGUAAUUAAAUGGUACGCACUUCCCUUCGUUUUGGGGGAGGGUAGGUUGGAGACGCUUGCUAUUUGGUGGAUUGGAAGAGUUUUCUAAUACUAUUCUGUCAGUAAAGUUUUCUAAUACUCUCUACAUAAAUUUAGGAUGCUGAUUCUUUCAAUGUGUCCUGUCGUUCUUUUAUUGAAAUUUGACUUAUUUGUAGAGACUAUGGUCUCUGUUUUCCUCAAAUCUUGUGGGAAUGAGCUGAAUAGGACAAUGUGCUAAAUAGUACCCAUGUUUAGUUGAACUUAUUACUAUGCAGGAAAGAUGUUUUGUUGAACACAAACUAGCACAUAAUUUGCCUGCAUCAUCUCUUUGUGGUGGUGGUUUCUCAAAGAUUAAUUUUCGUCUAUGUUAUUCAUGCAGCCUUCAACAUUCCCAUUAAGGAAUCCUUAGACGCCGCUUAAGUUAUUAUGUGUCCAAUCUAUCGAUCGAUAUACAGGACUAGGUUUUCUAUAAUACUCAUUAUCUGUGCCAUCUUCUUGAGAAAUAAUAUAUUUUGAACUACACGUUUUAGGGAGAUGUUUAGGUUUGGUGGUUAUAUUUUAUCUUUGGAACUGCAUAGUACUGGUUAAUCUUUGAUUGUAACUUUGUUUAUUCUUUUGUUAAUUAUGUUUUCGAGGUGUUAUUUGAGCCAAAGUAAUGGGAUUAUCUGGUUGACUAAUUCAAACAGGAAUCUUGCAAGUAAUAUGGCAUGACGCUUGAGCCUUUGCCAAUUAUUUAUUUGCAAGCAGGCCUGUCUGCUCUUAAAGUUUGAGCCAAAGUAAUGGGAUUAUCUGGUUUGGAUUGUUGAUAUUAUGUUUAGAGUUUUACGGUUAGUGAAAAUAUUGUUUGAUGUUUAUGAAGUUUCUACAAACUAUAUGACAUCGACUCAUAUUUCAGUUAACCGUAAAUAUCGAAACGUGAUAUCAAAUAUCUGAACCGUUCAUCUUCUUACAUCCACCAGAUAAUCAUGUUUUCAAAAAAGAAAAUUUUAAAAAUGAAAUUCAGUAAGAAGAAUAAAGUAUAAAUGACAAUUGACGAUUAAAUAUAAAUUUAAUGUUUAUAGAUCAUAGUGUUGGAUUUUGAAGCUGAUCUCUUCAUGAAAGUUGUAAAGCUUGUUACUAUGAGUGAUUGUAUUUUUUUUUUUUUUUACAUUUUUUACACUUCUACAAUAAUUAUUAUUAAUUUUUCCCUCAAAUAAUUAUAUGAAUAAAUACAUAAUAUAAUAUUAAUAGUAUUGGUAGGUACGGUAUACCACAGGUACUGGUUUUGGAUACCAGUAUCGUACCGAAACAGUAUGGUACGGUACAAAUACCGUACUAUUACCAAUUGGUACAAAUUUUUGGUAAUAAUUUGGCAUGGUAUGGUUGGUAGGACGGUUGGUACGGUAAUUUGGUAAAAAAUUUCACCCCUAUUAUAAAUUUUAAAAUGUGACAAUAAUUCUAUAUAAAGUUCAAAUUUUAGUUUUUUUUUUUUCAAAUUUCCCAAUAACUAUAACUAACCGCUAGCAACUACAAAGAUUUGUACAUAAAAGAAAGCUGAUAUCUCUAUUAAUUAAUAAAACCCUUUUUGUCAACCAAAAGAUGGUGAAAAGACAAAUUGGUCUUCUAUCAAACAAAAAAAAUGAUGGGCAAUAAUAUAAUUUCACAGGUUCAAAUUUUACUGUUUUUUAUUGAAGCUUCACCUACAAGUGAUGUUAGAAUGCCUUCAAUAUUAAAAAAAAAAUUAUUAAAAAAAAAACGAAAACAAAAAGAAAUAUGCAAAUACACCUAUGCCAUACCAAUUUUCACGAUUAUUGUAUCAAAUUAUAAUUGUGAUGGCCCCUUGAAAGGUGGGAUGGUUUAAAAGCUGGAAAGUGAUUUGUUCGAUGAAUAAUUGAAGUAAUGGAUCCCAAUCUUGAGAUACAAUUUGUGGGAGUUGAAAGUAUUUGACAUGGUCGCAUGAUGUACGAUGAAUGAUUACGAUUAUGGAAGCUUCAGGAUCCCAUAUUUUAUCUUUAUUUAAAACGGAGCUUCUCCUUCUUAAUUGACAUUUCCAUCUAUAAUGUCACAAAUUGUACCAUAGUUACAUUAAUCAUUAUCUUAACAAACAUUAUGGUUAGAUCCACUAGACCCCUUAGAUGACCUAGGGUAAGAAUUCAAUUGGUUAUAGCUCGUGGGACAUAUUCUUUUUCUCGAAGACAAGCUUUAGUCAACAAAAUUCUUACCAUAAGUCAUCUAGAGGUAUUGGUGUGGCGGAAUUACCAAUUACACAAAUCUGAUACGUUUGGUAGAGUUUUUUCGAAAAUUAUUAAAUUUUUUUUGGUAACAUGGGGUGGGUCACCCUAAAAAACUAGCUCCAAGAGUUAUUACAUAUAGUUCGACAAGCAGUGACGGCGUUGAGGGGGAGCAAAAGGUGCAAUCGCACAGAGCCCCCAAAUUUGAAGAGCCCCCAAAAAAAUUUGGUAUCUUAUAUUUAUAUGUAAUAUUGUUAUAUAUUAAAAAUAUACUUUUAUUAGUACUUUAAAAUCUUAUAGUGUACUUUUUAUAAGUAAAUUUUCUUCUUUCUAAUAUAAAAAUUUGAAGUGCACAAUGAGAUAGUAGGAGUGCCAAUAACAACACCUUAAAAAUGAUUUUCUUUUCAAUUUUAUUAUAUAAUAAUGCUAUAUAUUCAAGUGAAACUUUAAAAUUAGAGUUUUUGAAGCUUUUUUUUCUUUCUUUAUUUGGUUGCUUAAGAUUGAAUUUUUUUUAUUAUUUAGUGAAGGUUAUAUUUGUAACUCUUUUUACUUAUUCAAUGACAUUUGUAAACUUACAAUCAGUAAGUCCUAAAUAUUAUUUUGAUUUAAGUUAUUAUUUUCUAGUACCAAUAUAUUGUCCUACUUUUAAAAAAAUAAAAACUAUCUUAAAAAUGGGCCAUUUUAUAAAUUUCGCACAAGACCUCCAAAAUCUCAGAGAUGGCCAUGAGUUCAAGUUCUAGGGAUUCCCAUCAAAUCAUCAAAUAAUCGAGUUUCAAUCCAAUAAGGAGGAUUAUCAAAACAAUAGUAUCUCAAACCCAUAUUAUAGCACCAUUUUUUACGAAUAGAGGGAUUCAGUGUGUGAAUGGAAUUUAUAGGCUCUAUGGAGUUUAUAGCAUGUGUAGGAAAAUAUUAAUAUUUCGAAUCUUUUAGAGUCACUCGAUUGUUAUUUAGAACGAGCUACGCAGAUAUCGAUUUAUUAAGAGAUAGAGUCGUUUUUGACUUAAUUAUAUGAACAUUAUUCUCGCAAAGCUAAGACUAAACUGUCCAUACAUCAAUGUAUGUUUUAAAGAAACGAUUUAGCUAAUUUAAAAAAUAAUGGUUCCCUGGAAAUUUGAAUUUGAUUCAAUAGUCGAGCUACUAUCCCAUUGAGUCGAUUAUGGGAAAGGUAAGUAGGAAGGGAGAAGCUAAGUAGCUAUUUCGACCUAUUUGUGAGUGUCGAGAUGAUAUAAGAGUGUGUGUCCUUUGAUAUAUAUGACUAUUGCUAGAAUAGAGAUAGUUAAGACGAUGUUUUUAUUAGCUGCUUAUAGUUUUUGUUGUAAGAGAGAUUGAAUAGCAAACAAGAUGUAAACUCUCCAGCACAUAGAUAAGUUCUAUGGGUCAUGCGUGAAGUCGAAAGUUAUAAGCAUUUUUCAUAGCUGUCUCAAUUAAAGAGCCGGUGCAUUUCCAUUAUCCGAGAGUUGACUUUCUUGGUGAGAUAGACUAAUAUUCUGCCUGUUACCUAAACAUCUUAUGGAUAGGAGCCAAAUCGAUAGACAUAGAAGUUUAUAGUGGAAAGCCACAAAUAUGCUAUCGUAUAUAAUUGGAGUACACUAAUAUACAGCAAACCAUACAAAAAGUUAGUGCAGAAAAAAGGCCUAUUAUCAUUAUACGUUCGAACAAUUAAUAUUCAAUUUUUUAUAUUUCAAUAUAAUUGUUUGUCCAAACCUUAGUAAUAGAUCGAAGAGUUUAUAAUUCUUUUGAAUACACUCAAUCACAACUAUCCCAGCCAUAAAAAAAAAUAAAACGAAGCACGUGAGUCUAGUACAAAGUUACUUGACCCAUUUUGUACGCCGAAUGGCAAAGGUAGAUUCCGAAACAAAAGAACAUUUUUCUUUAAAUCUCUCUUUUUUCUCAAUCUUGGGUCAGGUUACAUGUACUCUACAACCAUCUUGCCAGUCAAGCCUUGUAUUCUGUCAAUCAAUAACCUCAAUGCACAAUACAUCGAGAUUAAUCUUGAGGACACAACAUCAAAAACUUCAAUGACAACUACACACAGAUAUAAAAAACAACCGCACAUAAACGCAUGUACAAAGAUUAUUGCAAUGAGAACGUAAAGUCACUUCUUUUCAUUUCCACUGAUCCGAAGUAAUUUCUAUUAUUUUAUACACAGAAACGGAAAUGUUUUUCCAACAAAUUAUUAUCCUAACUGAAAUGGCUUUCCAAGUGCUCAAUAUAGACACAUCUGGAAUAGAUUUGAUUAGCAUUAUUUUCGCACUACACGUUUAGGGAGAAAUGUUUCUUCUUAGUUGUUCAUGGUUUAACAUGAUAUGUACUGACGCGCAAAUUUAACUAAAAGCGACGCAUGUGGCGCAUCCAUUUAAAAUUAUAUAAGUUCUUGAAAGACUUCGUUCUCACUUAAAUUGGCAUUAACAUUAAAAAGAAAUCAAUCACACAAGCUAGUUCCUUUUACAAAGUUUGGAAAAAUAGUUACAAAUGCCUAAAUUUUAUAACUUAUGUUUUAUUUUAUCUUUACAAAAUUGUACGGGGUUUAAGAUAAACAACCAUAUGAUAAACAUAGUCAUGCCUACACCAUACUUAGAAACCAUACAUCAAUGUAAUAACUAUUCCAGCAAGAUAUAAAAAAAGUCAAAAUUAUAUAGGUACUCUGUUUGAGACAAGAUAGCUAGCCUAGCAAACAUAAAGCAAUUGAAUAUAUAAGCUAUUUAUUAAUGGCAAAAAGUUGAGUUUAGAGGCGCAUGAAAGGCAUGAUAAUUUUAGACAUCAAUAGUAAAAAGAUUUUUAGUAAAUGAGAAUUACUAUUACACUAGUAUUGGAGCUCAGAAUUAUAUAAGGCGAUCAUCAAAACUUUCGCAAAUGCACGCAUAUGAAUAGUAGAGGAGAGAUGAUUAUCUAUGAAUAUCUGAGGCUCUUAUCACUCGUUUGAUCACUUGAUUAAAUUUGUACCUAGCUGAUAAUGCGCGAGUAUUUCCCUUAACAAUGUAGUGAAUACGGAUUUAAAUUUAAAGUCAAGUCUCACUCCCACUCGUAACCUCUUUUUCUUAUUGUUAGAUUUAUCAAUAAAGUCGACAUAUUCCCUCAUUACUUAUGAUUCCUCAAAAUCAUACAAAGUGAGUGAAGGUUGAUUAUUCAAUUGCUCCCAUACCAUAUUUAACAACUACUAUGCAUAGUUCCCUUUCAAAUAAAUUAGAGUAUAAAAGCUUAAACAUUGUCAUUACAGUUUGUGCAGGCUAGUGUACUAUUAUGACUUUAAUUGAAAUCUAUGUGUAAUGUGUUAAGAUAUAGUGCGGUAUAAAGUUAUUGUUACAUAUAACGAUUCACUUAGGAAUCGUGCGACUUUAGUUGACAGAAGGCUGUAUAACCUUACUUAUUCUCCAUAUCUAUUAUCUUCGUCAUUACUAUAUAAUCAAAAUGAGACACCUGAUGUAAACAAGUUUAACAUUAAGGCAAGAUGAUAUCCAAUAAUCAAGAAUAAAGAGAAAGAAAUAAGGAGAAAAUAUAGAAAUAUCAAUGUUUAAAUAUACAUUGACACAAUAUCUUACCAGGCAUAUUCCAGCAGUAUAAACGACACUCAAAUCAUAUUUCCGCAUACGACUUAAAUCAAAGCAGAUAUUAGAUUCUAUCGAAUAUCUACUCAAUCCAAACACAAUCUUGAUGUAACAAGUAUAUAACACGCGACAAUUAAUUCUAAAGCCAAAUAUGUCUCUACCGUCAUCCUCAAUGAAGAGAGCAAUAGGAAUAACCCAUAUAUAUUGUUAUCCACCGAAGAUGGUAUGGUGGAUAUAAUUAAUAUACCACAUUCAAUUUAUUUGGCACUAUAUUACAGAUUGAUAUGACGGCUAACACUCUCACUUUGUUGACGAUGCUCUUUAAUCUUUGAAAAGUGAAUGAAUUUGGUUUUGCAAUGAUAUGUGGAUUCUGUGGAUUUUUGAAAUUAAUUGGAUAGGCCUUUUUAGUUCUGUUGGUGGUUAAUCUCUAUUUCGUUGUUAAGGAUUUCAAAACUUCUCUAUAAUGUAUGUAUUGUGUUACGCUAAUGUAGAAAUUGCCCAAACAGCCUAACUAUAGUUUAUGUUAAAACUAACUCAAUUUUUUGAAUGAUUUACUAGUAAUUUGAAAGUUGGAAAGAGAACCAUCACGUAACUUCCAGAGGUCAUUCAAAUGUUUUCCGUAGGGAAAGUUGAACUUAUCCUAGACAGGUGAGAGAUUUCUAAUGUUUGAAGAGGAGGUCUGGAAGAGGAAGUAGAUAUAAGAGUUACAUUUAGGAUGUGAAUAAAUUACUAACUUUACAAUCGAGGGCACAUUAGUUAAAUCACUUCCAAAAUAUGAGAGAUAACACAAUAUGCAAAGCAACGAACUUUAAUCAUAUUAGGGUUGAGCAAUCCUUUGAAUUUUCAGAAUUUAAGGAGGAUCGCUAUUAAUAACAACUAUAUGUCACACUCUACGUUACUAUGGAACUAUUUUAUUUGGCUCAUCAAACGGCCAGAACGUUGGACUCUAUGUGUAAUAGAAAUAUGUCUAAGACAUAAAUGAAGGAUCAGAAAAGACAUCGUUUUGACAAUACUGAUAGCAUAAAUGGGCACUAUUAAGCACUGUCAAUAAUAUAAAUAGGUAGUUAGUACUGUUGCAAUUGGAACCUUCCAGAAUUAAUUUGAAACCUGAGAUUCACGAAAGAGGGCAGUAGCAUAAGGUAUGCGUUCACUACGUGUCCAACUUAAUUAUAAUAUUGAAAAAUUAAGAAGAGAAUCGGUAUUGAGAUUACGAGAGACAAAGAAGGAGAGAGGAGGUGGCAAACAAAUGGGUUCUAUCGAAUUUUGAAGAAAAUUUUGGAGAAUCAAAGUCUCCCAACUCUGAAAUACUUCAUCUCUAAAAGUUUUCCUUCAAAAGAUAUUAGGACAUAUGUAAACAUAUUAAGUCUUGAAUAUAUAAAUUCAAGUUUCGACAAUGAAACUCAACUUUGGAAUCAAGAUUCGAAAGACAAUCCUAAUAAACAAUUAGCGAUUAAGAUAAAUCUAUAGAGUUCGAGAGGAAUUAUGAACCUACCGAGCACACAACACUGAAGAAACGUUUAUACUCUAUCUGAAAAGUUCUUUUGUGCUGCUAAUUAGAGAAACAGUGUGAAAACUAGCAAGCAUAGUAACCCUCUCACAGGUCUUUAAGUAGUGGACAUCACUCAAUUCUAUAAUUUAAGUAGAAAAAAACAACAAAAUACUCUAACAUUUGAAAGGAUUAAGCUAACGUUGUGGGAGAGUGUGCUCGAUCACACUAACAUCAUGUGAUGACCAGAAAAUAACUGUCCUACAUGACUACACACAAAUAGUUAACUUUUUUGUUUGGUCAUUAUAAAAAAAAUAAAGAGAAAGACUCUUGACCUAAUAACGUACAAGAGAAAUUGAUAUUUGGAUCUCUCACAAACCCCUAACCGAUGAUAAUACAUCAGGUGGAAAUAAGGAUAGUGCUAACUGAACAAAGCUGUUACUAUCUCUAUGAUACACUUAAAGAAGAUACCUCGUACACACACCUAUUAUAAGACUUGAUCCCGUUCUAGUAAAUUCAUUUAAGACUUAGUCAGAUGUUCGGUGAAAAAAUAAAAAUUCUAGUAGAAUAUUAACUAUAGAAAUACCAUCAACCAUUAAUAUAUGCCGAACACAAGCAAUAAAAAUUUGUAAAUCCCAUAAUUAAAUUAAAAUCCGAGAGAAACUCACACAGCUCGCAAAUUCAAAUUUUUCAUCUAGAAUAGACGGCGAGUUCUAAAUUAUUAAUUAAGACUUCUCUCCAAUCCUGGGUUCACAUUAUUGAAUUCUAGAAAUCCCACAACGAAUACUGAUGAUUGCGAAUUACGGGUCAUGACUUUUGGUUCAGCUCAGCUCGCUAGAAUGAAAAGUGAAGUUUUGGCACUUGACAUUCACCUUCUCCUGAGCUUAGAUUACUAGAUGCUAUUGUCACAGGCUGUUGUUCGUAACUGGCUAUAGCAGACAAUAUAUUUCGUCAGGGUUCAGAGGAGAUGAUUAAAGAUACCCUUUGUAGACGCAGGAUGAUUUACAUGAUGAGAUUUAUUAAAUGUUUAAUGGAAAAACUUUGAGAAUCACAGUUUGGGGGUGAACUUGGGGAGCAAUGAGAGGAGGGGAGGAGGAGAUGGAGGAGAGCACGUAGGAGGACAAGUCAGAGAUAAAGUCUGGAUCGAUUAAGUCUGUAAAACGGUGGGGAAGCAUAAACAGUGACAAGAGUAGGUCGAGUAGAACUGGAAACGGUGUGGGAGAGGAGAAUCUUGCACAAAACAAAAGUGGAAAGAGUAAUACCAAAGAUUACAAAAGUUAUCAGGUGAGCUUAAAAGAAACAAGCGAGUGAUAACAACUUAAUAAUCAUAAACAUAUCGAAUCACAAGAAAUCUAUAAAGAAGGUGGCAAAAAACUAGGAAGAUAUCAAAUGUGUGAAUGAAAAUUGACCAGUAAAAGAAGGACACAAGAGGGAAUUGGACCACAAAGUUACUUUGAGACACCGUUUAGGUAUAUAUUACAAAAUAUUAUUUGGAGUAAAGAUUUUAUAAACAAAGUGGUGGAAUAAAACGAUAUGUGUAUCCUCAUAGCUUUAAGCUCCACUGAGGUGUUAAUUUUUGCUUUUGCGCAGCUCAUUUCACAAAUGACCUCAUCUAUGUUUUAAAAAACCCGUUCUCAUUUUGAAUUUUCAAAAUCUUUCAGCGCGUACGCCUCUAAAUCAUCUUCAUUUGGGUGACUAGAAGAUAUUACAUUGCCAAUUGUCUAUAAAAAUUCGGAUAAUUGAGUAAUUUCAAGUGAUUACCGACGCGAUUCCCACAUUCAACAACAAACCUUGAAGAGUUCCCUUCUCCUGGUCUUAUAGAUGCCAAUAUUUAUUACAAGGUGUAAAUGUAUGGUAGGACUAAGGUCCGAGCCCAAAUAUUGGCAAUUGUGUAAAUGAACAUGUCAAACAUAUUUUAGCCACUCGAAAUUGCAAAUGCACGUGGCUUAUAUUCCCUUUCAAAUAAGCUACCGGAGUGUGUAUCUAAUUGUCCAUUUGUCCAACCUUGGAAAAGGAACUCCACAAGAAAGUCAGGAUAUACAAUGAAGAGCACAGAUAAGAAUUGAAUUUGGUAAAAUUAUUGAAAUUCAAAUUUCAUGUACCUUACGAUAGUAAUGUUACUAUUUUAUAUAUAUGCUCCUCAUAAAUUUUGUUCUUGGCGUUUAAAGGAAUAUUGCAUAAAAAUCACACCACAAAUGAGUAACCCUACAGGAUCCGUUAUUCACGUUGGGGUUCAAUGAUAAAAAUUAACUCCAUAACUCAUAUUUUGUACUUUCUAUUUAUUAAUUGUUAAAUUGAUAAACUCACAACGUACAUUAGAUUAUAUCUUGCUUUCAUCACAAACAAGAGCACUCGCACAAUAGCUGUAUAAAACGAUCGCGAAAUAGAGUUUAUGAUAUUGAUGUGAGUAUGGGGAGGGCGCGUGUCGCGAGUGUCGCCAGAACGAACGAAGGUACUGAGCAGCUCGUUCACAACCCAACCUACUGCCAGAUAUAAGAUAUACGUGACAUUAUGAAAUAUAAAAAAUAGCAUAUAUACUAUAACCACAAGUAGAAAGAGACUCUUAUCAACGAUGUAAUGCGCUUCAACAAUAAAAAAAGGUUCAGGCGUCUUAUGUUAUCCCAAUUGGCAUGAAAUAUCUAAGUAUGGGACACGAAAAAUCAGGUCUAGACAGACCCCCUGCGAUCAUAACAUGCUUCUCAUCAUAAUUUCUUCAAGACAAUGGCUACCUGCCUUCUGCAACAAACUCCUCCCUGGUUGUCGUUUUGAGGAAACUCCAUUCGCUCUGCUACGUGGCGUUCUUCUCAAGUGAAGCACAAUAGAAUCUCGUGCUGGUGAAAAGUUCCACGGUUUACAUCCUAUAGCCUUGAAAUCCUUGUGGAAACAUGAGUAUAAUACUCACAUGCCUGCUGUGGAUUAUUCCGUUCUCUUCCAUUUUUCCAUUAGAAAUAUUUGGAGACCCGCAAUAUAUAAUUUUAAAUUGUUAAGAAAAUAUUCAAAAUCGAAAGAUUGUUGUUUGAUUUUAGAUUGAAAUUCUUUUGGUUUGGGCAUGUGAAAGUUUGUCAAUUCGACCAUAUUCAUUGUGAGCCUUCUCCGUUAUAGGCUGUCGUUGCGAGAGUUUGUUGUUACUAAAUUAACCAUUGUCAACAUAUACUUGCGCGUUCUUCUCAACACAGUCUCUCAAAAUGAUAACCAGUUGGUUGACCACAAAAGUGAGGUGUUGAAAUCCCAUCCUGAAAUUAUUGGUGAGGAAUUUUCAAUUUAUGUGUUGGAAUAUAAUAAAUUUUGUAUUAUUAAUUUCAGACACUGCUGUAUUAAUUAUUUACGACUUAAUAUGUCUUUAGGAUAAAAUCACACAUCAGAUCGAGGCAUAGUUGGGUGGCAAUAAAGGAAGCACGUGAAGUGUGUGUGCAAAAAAACAGAAAAAGAAAAAAAUAGAGGCUGCACAAAUGGCAGCUAGCAAGAAAAAAAUGGAAAAAAAAAGGAGGCUACUUGAAGGAUAAGUAAGGAGCGGGUAAAUAAGUGGGAGAGACGAAAGAUAAAAGGAGACGAAUCAGGAGGGAAGAGAGUAUUGAGGAAGCUAUGGGGAGAGCGAAUCAGAAAGAGGGGAAUGAGGUGACGAGUAGAGAAGAGAAGAGAGCAGUCAACACGGGAUCAGAAGAUCCUACCCAAUUGUGCGACCAACCGCUCCAUGACGGAGUAAUGAUGUAACCGUGGGUUUGCCCAGGCCCAAGAUAUCUGGCGUUUGUAGACGAGCCACCCCAUUGAAAACGACAUCACUAUUCGUUCUCUACUAUUCACGGUUUCCAUAAAAAAAUAUGGAGUUGAAUUGGGCUCCAAAUUUUGGAGAAGAACUGAAGCCGUCGGCUUUGAGAGGACACCCGGACGGAUACAAUUCCACCCAUUUUUUGAAACAUAUUUCAUUUCAAAUCAUUAUCCCUUAGCACCAAAACAUUUUCCUUGAGGAUAAACAUAAGCCCCCAACAACAGCCUAUUUGGGUUGUUGCGGCGGAACACCAGUGGUGUUCGAAUUCAAGAAUUAGCUUGUUGACCCAAAUUUCAAGGGUUUCCUAGCGAGUUGUAGCUUUUUCGAGGUGGUUUUGUGGUCCCGAAUUGGACUCGGCCUCGUUUUCAGGGUAUGAGAUAAUUUUCUCCCCCUUAUUGGAGGCAACUUCUUUUAAUCCUCCGUUGUGGAAUAUUUUGAAGAAUUUUUGAGAAAAUCAGUUUGACCUGUUAUUCUGAGGCACCCUAUCCGUGGAGAGAGACGGUAAUGAGACCAGAUGCUGAGUGGCUGGCGGCGCGUUGGUGUGGCGGGCGUAAGCCAGAGACCUUGACGACUGACCUUUUUACACUAUUGGAUACCUCUAUUAUUCCAUAAUGUGAUUUGUUUCUAGAGUAUGUGGCGAAAUCUAUCAUAUGACUACUAGUGAUAGAUAUAUAAAAGACGAAGACGAGCCACAUUAUGGACAUAAACAACUUUAGUUGAACUUCGAUCAUAGUUGAGAAAAAUCUGUACACAAACAAAUUUAAUAUGUUAUAGAGGUAAUAUUAGAUUGUUAUUGAAAGGAACAUAAAAGAACUAUAAAACGAUUCAGUGAGAGUUCCAUCGUAUGGAUCUUUCCAAUAAUAUUAGGAUUUGAAAUAAUAGAAUAUUGUAUAAUUUCAAAACUCAUUAACUUACGCUAAUAACCAAAUAUGUGAUAUACUAAACCGUGUUCAUUCAAUAAUAUUUCUCACUUUAAUGGGAUCCUUUCAAUAAAAAGAUUUUUCAAAUAUCGACCGAAAUACGAAGAUAUAAUUACACUUUGUACUGGUGUGUUGAUGGUAAGUACUGCGAAAUCCGAGUCAGUAAUGAGUGAGUUUAGUAUGAUUGUCUGUAUUAAAUGAGUAAAUAUUAAAUAUAUGUUGUAAUAUUAAGAGUUAUGGAAGAUCCGAUUAAUUCAUUCCAGAUAUAUUUUGAGACGAGAGGUAUUCCUGUUGACGGAAUCUGAGAUUUAUGAUGAGUUGUGGUCCCGUUCAAUUGACGUGUGAGUCAUGACUUUUGGCUACUACAAUUAAAAAUUUCUCACUUUAAUGGGAAUCUGUCUCGCAAAUUGAGUUCUGAUCUACUGAUUGAGGUUACACCAGAAGAUUAAGGUGAGAAGUCUUUUAUGUGGUUACCUGCAUACUAUGGAUCAGCAGAGUGAAAACUUGAAUAGAAGUGUGAUAAUAGGAAGGUUAUUACCUGUAUAAAUAUUGUUCCUAAUAUUUCGUAUUCACACCUUGCUGAAUAGUUGUACUGUGUAUUUAUAAAUAGAAUUUCUUUGAAAUGUAUUUUUAAUAUAUUAGAACCUCAUAAGAUCUAUGUUUAUUAACACAAUGAUUUUGGAGCUUGAUGUAUAGAUGAGUGAAUGUGAGUAAUUGUGUUUAUGGUUAAUCGCUUUAAUAGUAAUGUGUAAUGAAUAAAAAUAAUAGAAUAAAUAUGAUUUUGAAAAUUAGAGAAAUAUAUAAUAAUCACCUAUUAAUAAUUAUAGUAGUUUCAUUAUUGUGUAGAAUAUUUUUAAUAUGCUUGUUUGAUUUAAUAACACAUAAUAAGUUAUGGAGGCGAUGAGGAAUAAAGAUUGAUAGUCGUAAAGUGUGGCUACGUUGUAUAAUCGAGCGGGUUGAGGUAGUGGUAGGUUGAAGUGGUCCAGAAUCGUACCAUUCGAAUUCCGUUGAGGUGUAUGUGUCCGGAAUCUCCUUCUAUCUCUUGCGAUUUUUCGCUGUUGAGUUCGAAUUGUCUAGAAUCAAGUACCCUAGAGGUUGGAUAAAUACAGUUGUAGUCUUGGCUCUUAUAGAUCCUAGUAUAAUUUUAUUUAGUCCAAGGCUCAGUAUCUUUACGAAGAAAGUAGGAAAAUAAAUCUGAGCUCUAAAUUGUGUGCUAAUAUUAGCUUCUGUUCUUUAGUAUAGAUAUUAUGUUGAAUAACUGGUCUUCGAAGAAUACUUGUGAAAUUGAAAUUAAGAAAGCGAUUGUACGUUUGGGUGUGACUCCUUCGAGAUUUUCUACGAUUCGAUUAUGAUUUUCAUAACUACAAUGAUAAUAUAAGCAAAGAUUAUCUAAAUGAAUGACCUGUUUAUUCAAUCUUCUGACUCGACCGAAUCUAAAAGUUAAUUAAUAGUGGCCAACCGAAAUAGUGAAAAUAGGUUUUGUGACUUCUUGAGAUUAUCUAAAUAUAGGAUGUUAUAAAUGCUUUGGUGAACUGAGCGUAUAAUCAUAGAUUGGACAGUAAUGAUUAUAAAUGUUUGGAGAGUUGGCAGCAGACUAUGCAUUACCCCAUAGGUUGGGUUUGUUAUGUUAGGGACACCUGCAGUCUAGGAAAUUUAAUGCUUGUCAGUGGCAUUCUAAACUCUAAAUGUUUGACUUAGAAGGAACUGCAAUAUAUUUGUUUCCAUUAUUACGGCUUGACACCCGCCUACAGCCCAUUCUUGUGAAUAUUGGGAAAUAAUGUAGAGCUAUGUGCCGAGGCGCACGAACUACCGAUCGCUUGAUCCUGUUGAGGUACGUAGGCACAGUCUAAGAGAGGCUCGUAGAAGUAUGCCACACAUAAAAGUAUAAGCAACAACAAACUUGGCAAAAUUAUUUACGUCCAAGUAGGUACACUGAAAUAUCCAUUGAUUUAUUGUUAAUGUAGCCAUAUCGAAAUAAAAGGUCAACUUAGAGAGUAUAAGCGAUUCAAGAAUUGAAUUAACGAAGCAAUUAGAGUUUGACCUUUGAGUCAAGCCGUAUCCGAUCUGUCUCGAGAUGCUCAAAUGUCUGGGAUCGCGGCGUGACCGAAGGUAGUCUGGUAUUGUGUGCCCCGGCCCCCAUCCCCGCAGUUCUCUGUAUCUGCUAAAAUCGCCAUUAUCGACGAUACCAGGAAAGACAGAUUGAAGCUUUGGUCGAAGCUCUCAAAAGCACGAAGACAUAAACAUAAGAAAUGUGAUAUCCACACAUUUUUUUUUAUUUUUCACACAUCUCUUAUUAAUUUCUAUCAUUUGAUCUUAUUCAAUUCAUUCGAUUUGACAACCGAAAAUUAAGAACGUAUGUGAGAAGUAAAAAAAAAUAUGUGGAUAGCACACCCCAAACUUGGAAUAGGAUCCUCUUUGGAUCUUCUUUAAGGGGAUUUGAAUGAUCAAUCAAUCGUGUCCAUUCAUUAUACUUUGUAUGAUUAUAAAUAGUACUUAACGUAAACUGAUCACACGAUAUACGAUAAAUAAACACGAUUGAUUGAUUUUUAAAUCCCCACAAAGAGAAUCUGAAUCCUUGUCCCCCAAACUUAAACUCAACUUAGUUGUCAACUCAUGUGAGCCCAUUAACCCUCUCUUCCCUACGCUACUGAUGUCAGUCAUCCGCCACUUGCUUAUUUGUUGUCAUUCUGAAUUAUGAUUGUAAACUAUGUUUAUUAGCACCUUAAUCUAAUUGUUGAUUGAAAAAGUUUAUUGGCCACUUGCUAACAUAGUCCUUAGGCCAUCUCCAACCGAAGGGUCCAGAAGGCCAGAGAGCCGAAAAUAGCCCUAAAACCGUCUCCAACCGAGGGCUAGGCCAGAGGGCUCGGGAAUCUGGAAGGGCCCCACGGGAUCGGAGAGGGCUGGAGGGCUGGAGGGCUGGCUGCUUUCGGCCAGCCAGCCAGCCUCGGGCUGGCUAUUUUUUUUUUAAUGUUUCUCAAUAUAUAUUAUUUCUGUCGGUUACAACCGACAGAAAUAACAAUUUGAAUUCAAACUUCCAACGGCUAGCGCCACUAGCCGUUGUAAAUCCUUUUUUUUUUUUUUUAUGAAUUUAAACCUUUUUUUUUCUUUUUUUUUCUAUAACUUCCUAUAACUUCUAUUUUACAAAAUUUGUUUCAAUUUUUUUUUUAAUUCUAUUUUUUUUCCUAUAACUUAUAUUUUACAAAAUUUGGUUCAUAUUUUUUUCAUAUAACUUCUAUUUUACAAAAUUUGUUUCAUAUUUUUUUUUAAAUUCCAUUUUUCCUAUAAACUUCUAUUUCACAAAAUUUGUUUCAUAUUUUUUUUAAAUUCUAUUUUUUUCCUAUAACUUCCUAAGCCAUUAUACAACAUUAAAUUAAAUUAAGUAACAUGAAACAACAUUAAACAAUAUGAAACAACAUUAAAUAACAUUAACCGACAUAAAAAUUAUAUAACACUAACCAACAUGAUUUUUAAAUAAAAUUAAGUUGUAGUUUUUAAAUAAUAAAUUAUGUUUGGCCCUAUGGCCCUUUGGCCCUCGGUUGGAGACGGAGGCAAAUAUGGUCAUGUACUGUUCAUUAAAAUAUUAAUAUCUUGAAGAAUCUUGGAGGGCCAGAGGGCUAAAACGAGCCCUCUGGCUAGCCAUCGGUUGGAGAUGGCCUUAGUUCACUUGCUGGCGUAGGUCUUUGUUCAGGCCCUUAAUUUAAAGGGAUUCCAAUUUUUUGAUAGGUGAUAAGGGAGAUUAAAUUUAGAGAUAAAAUUUUAAAAAAUAAAGAAAAUAGAAGUUGAUAAUUGGUUUAUUACUUAAAUGUAUGUAUUCAUUAUUAUUUGUGACACAUCAUUUAGUUUGAAAAUUUUGUUUUUAAAUUUAGUCUUCCUAGCAUUUUUUUUUUUGGAUAGAAAUGGGGACUAGUUGUCACAUCCUAGCCCGGGCCUCCACCACAUCCCGGGCUCGACUCUGCCGUAGCACGAUAUUAUCCGUUUUGGGCCCCGACCACGCCUUCACGAUUUUGUUUCUAGGAACUCACGAAAACUUCCUAGUGGGUCACCCAUCAUGAGAUUGCUCUCCAGCGAACUCGCUUAACUUCGGAGUUCCGAUGGAACCCGAAGCUAAUGAGCUCCCAAAAGGCCUCAUGCUAGGUAGAGAUGGGAAUAUACAUAUAAGGCUUACAUGAUCCACACCCCUGGGCGAUGUGAGAUGUUACACUAAUUGUGUGGCUCACUCCAUAUCGAACUUCAACAUUCAACCAUCUAUCUAAUUGUUUUUUUGUAAAGAUGGUCAAUGAAUGAAGACUUAUAAAAUAGGCAUAGUUCAAAUCGUUAAAGUUCAAAGUAAAAUGAGCCCUACAAAUAGUCUAAUUUUUUUAUAAAAAAAAAUAUAAAUCACAUUGGAUAAAGACUUUGGGUCUUUGUUUAUGGUUAUUAGUUGCUUGGUGACGAGCGAUUUUUUAGUAUGUUCGGAACACAGGCGCAAACGCCGUAUAUUAUUAAACAAGUAAAGGGACAUUUGAAAUUAGAAAAUACAUAAGAAAAAUGAGUUAUGAAUAAAGGUGGCUGGAAGGAAGGGACAAAGAAGAUUGAAAAUUAAUCUAAACGGGUUUCAAUUAUUUUUAUAGAAUAGAUACUAGUUGUGGGGUUCAGUCCACAUCAAAUUUCAACAUUCAAACCAUCUAUUUUUCAAAUUGCAUUUUAUAGAUCAUCCUUACAAAAUAUUAGUCAAAUCAAAAAUAUUUUAGGUAUCUAAUUGAUUUUUUGUUAGAAUGAUCUAUAAAUGAAGACUUAAAAAAUAGACAUGGUUCGAAUCGUUACAAUUCGAAGUAGAGUGAGCCCCAUAAUUAGUACAAAUUUUUAUAAAUAAAAAAAAUCGCUUUGGAUAAAGGCUCUGGGUCUUUGUGUAUGGUUAUUAGUCGCUUGCUGACUAGAGAUUUUUUAGUGUGUUAGGAACAUGAGCACAAACGCCUGUUAUUAAACAAGCGGAGGGACACUUGAAAUAAAAAUCUUCUCUCUACUUGUAUAAUGACAAAUGAUAUACCACCUCAUAUUUCAGGCACACUGAAAAAUAUAUCCUGGAUGUGAUAGGUGAUAGAUCUUUGUUUAUGUUUAUUAGCCACAAGGUGAGAUAGGUGAAAGUUCUUUGUUUAUGCUUGUCAGCCAUUUGCUGGCAUAGGUCUUAGUUUAUUAGCAAUCUUAAUUGUUGAUUGAAAAUGUUAACAUGAUUGUAAACUAUCUAAUUUGUUUUAUAUGUUGUAGUUUUUAUAUAUUUUUUUUGCUUUUGAAAUUAAAAAAAAUACAUAAGAAAAAUGAGUUAUGAAAAGAGGUGGGGGAAAAGAAGGGACAAAGAAGUUUGAAAAUUAAUCCAAUAAUUUGUAAAAGUCAAACCAUCUUUGCAAUAAAGAAAGCUUAAUUUAGUACAAUUUGGUAAAUUGAGAGAGCUUAAAACAAGGGAGAGAGAGAGAUAGAAACAGAGAUAUCUGGCAAGACGGAAAAAGUCCACAAAAGUGACAAAAUCAAGAAACGAUUAUACAAAGUCGACAACAUCUUUGUUCAAUGAUGCAUCCAAAUGAUGUAAUCAAGAAACAACAAUACAGGAGUUAAGAAAUAUUAAAGAGUGAAAAACGAACUGUUUAAAUUAUAUUUUAAAUGAACACUUUAUUUCUGUUGGUUCGUACUAAUAUUAAGGGCGAUUCUAAGAUAACUUUUUAGUCGUUUUAUUUCAAUUUUGACUAAAAAAUAGAAAGCAAGACUGAAACACGCUUCAAGCACGUUCCUAUUGAUCGCCUGCAUCCCUUUGGGCCUAUUAAGGUUGGAAAUGAACCAGCAAUGACAAAUUCAAUUUAAGGAUUAAAGAGUUAGUAUUUCAAAGGUAAUGGUAGGAAGAUUAAAUUUGUAGACAAAAUUUUAGAAACUAAAUAACAUGAAAGUUGAUGAUUGAUUUAUUACUUAAACGUUGAUAAACGCUCGUUACUAUUGGUGACACAUAAUUUAGUUUGUAAAUUUUGUCUCUCUAACUUUACCCUUUUUCAAAAUUUCCUUAAAUUUAAAAUAUUUAAAACAACGUCGUUUUAAGAAAAUUCGGUUCGAUUUCCAGAUCUGUGUUGGCUUUUGAAUUUGUAGGAUGCCUCGGUAACGGGAUGCCUGUCAUCCGCGGCUUGCUCACUUGUUGGGAUUGAAAACUAUGUUUAUUAGCAACCUUAAUUGUUGCUUAAAAUUGUUUAUUAGCCACUUGCUCACGUAGGUCUUAGCUUGCUGGCUGACUAGGUCUUAGCUUAUUAGCCACUUGUUGACGGAACUGGAUCCUCUCCGAGGCAAACCCUCGGGAUCCUGCUGAGCGACAAACAAGGGCCGUUGAAUUUAGAUCUAACAGCUACAAACAUGGGACUCAUCUUAAAGUUAUAAUAAUUGUAGCCGUUGGAUCUAAAUCCAAUGGUCAAUGUUUGUCGCUCAGCAGGAUCCCGAGGGUUUGCCUCGGAGGGGAUCCAGUUCCCCUGUUGACAUAUAGGUCUUUGUUUAUUAGCCACUUGUUUAUGUUCAUUAGCUUGCUGACAUGGGCGAUAAGUGUUUGUUUAUGUUUAUUAGCCACUUGCUGAUAUAGGUCUUAGUUUAUUAGCAACCUUAAUUGUUGCUUGAAAAUGUUAACAUGAUUGAACUAUGUAAUUUGUUUUAUUUUUAUUUUUUACAGGUCUUAGUUUAUUAGUACAACUUGGUAAAUUUCUUUCAAGUCAAUUUUAGAGAACGUGGACUACUGCAUCUAUAUAUCUACUUAAAAUUGACAUUUGAGUUAUAGAAAUUUGAGACCUCAAAUUUGGUUUUCCAAUUGGAUUUGCUACUUUGUCUGCAAAAUUCUAAAGUUCUAGCUCCAAGAUUCAGUUUCUAUUUUCUGCCGAAAAAAGAAAAGUAAGUUUGAGUAAUUCUUUUUUUUGUUUUUUUUCUUUUUUAUCAAAAUGUGUGUCAGCAGGAGUUCUAUGAUUGUUUUUUUGGUGCAACCGGAAUGCCGAAACACUUAUGACAAUCAGAUUUGAUGAACGAUCAACAAAUUUCAAUCGCUAGACCAAAUCCGAGGCAUAAGUGCUCCGACACAGUGUCUUGAGAAAUUUCAGUUGUUUUGAGGACAACUACUAAUUAUAUUUGUUGUGUUUGUCCAGUAAUUCUAUUUCAAAUCCAAAAGCCAUGCCGCCUGAAGAUAAAUUAAGUUGCAUCUGGAGAAAAAAUCAUACUGAAGUGUCUUUCUAUCGAAAGUACUGGUGGAAUAAUAUAUUCAUUGCAUCGUGCUUGUGUUCCCUUUUUGUGGAUCCAUUAUUCCUCUACGUUCCUAUUCUUAAGGAUGAUUUCAAGUGCCUUAUGUUAGACCCAAAGUUGAAGAUAAUCGUUCUUCUUUUAAGAUCACUCACAGAUUUUUUCUAUUUAAUGGACAUUAUUAUUCGAAUUUAUAGAUCUGAUUCGGGUUCAAUCGUGAACCGCGGACAACACCGGAUGGAUUUUAGUUUUGUACUGAAAUCUUGUGUCCCAAGAAUAGUCAAGACAAUAUGGGCGUCAAAUGAUAUCAUAAUUGACAUUGUAGCUCUUCUUCCUUUUCCACAGGUAAGAAAUUAAUUCCCUUUGUUGGAGUAAUUGUUUUUCUUAUUUGCUUAGUGUGCGGGCCAAAGCGAAUAUUUUCGUGUUAAAUACACAAAACUGACACACUAUGUAAUAACAUUUGGAUGUCACAUAUAUUUUUCUAGAGAAAUUGUUAAUUUUGUGUUUUAGACAACGUUGUUAUUGAUCUAUCGAUUUUCACUGUUGGUACCCAGGUGGCAGUUUUUAUUUUCUUCUCAAAAAUGUGUGACUUGAGAUCUUUGACUCCAAUAAGGAUGGUUCUUACGAACGUUUUUGCUGUGUUGCAAUAUGUGCCACGAGUUCUUCGCAUCUACCUCUCAUCUAAUGAACUUAAAAAGAAUCUUGAAAAAGAUGUUACAAAGACUCCCAUAUGGAUUAAAGGUGUACUCAAUUUCUGUAUGUACACUAUUGCUAGUCAUGUAAGUUUCAAUUUAUAUCCUUAUUUAUUUUUGUUUGUCAAAUCAAUUCUUAUUAUCCUUGUCUUAAUUAUUAGAAGGAGCAUGAAAUGACCAUUUUGAAAUAACAAUAACAUCUAAAAUAUUAAUGAUGUUGUAUAUUUCCUCCACUUUUACUGUUUGUUUGUUGAUUUUUCAGGUAAUCGGAGCUUUGUGGUAUUUUUUUGCUAUUCAACGAAUGAUGAUUUGUUGGCAUUUUGCAUGUCGAAAAGAUGAUGGAUGUGAUAACAGAAUUUUUGGUUGUCAUGAUCACCAUGCAUUUAGAAAUACCACAAUUCUAAAUGAUUUAUGUCCUGUCAAUGUCAGUGUCAAUUCAUCAGACACAAUGCUCUUCGAUUUUGGUAUAUUUGCUACUGUGCUUCAAUAUGGUAUUGUAGGAUCAACCAAUUAUUUCAAAAAGCUCUUGAACUGUUUCUGGUGGGGUUUACGAAAUUUAAGGUUUGUACAUUUUUAUAUUUGUUUGUUAGGAAAUUUAGGUUUAAUGCUCUUUUUAAGAUCUUUGAUUUAUUUGCUAUUUACAUUCAUUUUUCCUGUUGAAAGUAUGAAUCUCUCAUUGAAAGAUUAAAGCAUUACUUCUACGAAAUAGAGUCGAGCAUAAGGACUCGGAGAAAUAAAAAAUCAAGUUGAGACUAAAAUAUUAUCUUGGUUAAAUUUUAGGAAGAAUGAACCAUAGAACCAAAUAAGCCCUUUGAAAAAUGGUUGUAAAUUUGUGAGUUUAUAACUUGAAACUGGUUAUCACAUAUAUUGAUCCAUUAAUUUGAUUUUCGCAGUUCCCUUGGUUCAAAUCUUCAGCCCAGUGCAGAUGGAUGGGAGAACCUGUAUACGAUUUUUAUUUCUAUAACUGGCUUGCUCCUGUUUUUAUAUCUGAUUGGAAAUUUGCAGGUUUGUUUAUAAAACUUUUCUUACACUUAUCAUUUAGUGCUAGUUAAUCACUCCAACUAACAUAAACUUGAUCAGUGAAGAUUUUCAUAUCCAUUAAAUUCACUCUAAUUAACCUUAUAUGUUAAGUAUUCUUGAAUACUUAUAUGUCAAGAAUGAUUUUUUUUCCUGACUAAAUUUGAACGCCAUUUAUAAGAAAUUUUUACAUGUAACAGAAAAACUUGUCACAUAACGUAUUAUUCUACGUGUUAUCAUAAGUAGAUGACAUAGAUGAUAUUCCCAUUUUAGGAUAUAAAUAAAAAAACAAAUUUGCGUGUCACCAUGUGACCGUUUUCUAGUUCUAGCUACAUAGAAAUUUUUGGUCAUGUAUGUUAGAUUUUAAUUGUGGUCCUUUGAUUAGGUGCAUUAUUAUGCAAUUUAGUGUAUAGGUAUAAUAAGAUACCUACAUAUGUUCAUGAUAUUGUAUUCCAUCAAAAUAAUAGAUUCAAAAGCAGCUAGCUUUUUCAAACCUCUUGUAACUCAAGAAAAUGGACAAACCAACUCACUCGAAUUAUUUUUGAGCUCAGAUCUUCUGCACCCAAAUUUGUCUAUAGCUUUUCAGCGACUUAAUCAGCUUUUGACACGUUUCCACAACUAAUUCAAUUUCAAACGGCGUAAACUUUGCGGGAAAAAUAUAUAGAAAAGGACGAAGAACCCGGAAUCCUCAAUCUCCCACCCACAGAUGUGAUUGAUGCGCUGGGCGACGUUCUUUUGUUCGAGCGGCGCCGGGCCCAAACGGAUCGACUCGGCAUCGGCUGGAGACGCCGCAACGCGGUCCCGACGCAAGAUGGUGGGGGCGGAGGUUGGACCAGGAUGUUCUAUUAUACGCCGCAUCACGGAUCGUCUUAUCAUGCGCACCAGUACCAUCAUAGUUUGGCGCCAUACCACCUGACUGUCUACGUGCAGCAGGUAUCCUCUUAAUUUUUUUUUGCUCUCACCCAGAUGUGGUUGAUGCACUGGGUGUUGGGGUUACCCUGCACUUGCAAGUGCAAGACGGAUCGAUCGAAGGGAGACGUCAAGUUAAUUGUCGGAGGACUGUCGAUUCAGGCCGUGGACGUCGUAGCCUUUAUCGGGGGACCUUGUGUUGCUCCAGAGGAUCAGUGGCGCAGCCGUUGGGGGGUUUGUGGAUUCUGAUCUGGCGGUGUCUGUUGCUACCGUGGAGUGGGUGUGGCGGAAUCAGGGUUCUCGAAGGAGACGACGGGAUUUUUUCCCACACCAUUCUUCUUCUAAUGGGCGUCUCUGAUUCUUUUACGGUUUUUUUCCUUCGAAGCCGUUUAUUAUCAUUCAACUGAGUUGAGUUCAAUUGGAUUAAUAGUAUUUCAACCUACCCAAUUCAUUUAUAGAACAGGUGGUCGAUUUUGUACCCAAAAAUAAGUGUUUAAUGUUUCGAACCCAACCCAUAUCAUUUGAGUUUGUCGGUUUAGUCGGUAGACCCACCAAAUGGCCACCCCAACUUGCUAGUAUUUAUGUCUUUUUCUUAUUUAUUUGUCCUUUUUUGGUUACAAUAGUAGUAUUUCCUUUUCUUUUCUUUUUUCUCUUUUUUUUUUUUUUUUUUUUUGUAAUAUAGAAAAAAAGAUUAAACUCAAAAUCAAAUAUAAUGAUGACAUUCAGCUUCAUUUGAAAAAAAAAAAAAAAAAAUCUUAUCCAAAUGUUGAUAAUCUAAUUCUUAUCGAUCUCUUACUUGUUGAAUAGACAUAUAUGCAACUUGAGUCUACAAGAACAGAGAAUCACAUGCAAUUGAGACAGAAGAUGAAAGGAAAAGAUGACGAAAUAGAAUUGUGGUUAUUCAAAAAGGGCAUUCCCACCAGGUUGAUUAAGGAUUUCAAGUUGCAGAUUUUGGAAAAGGUAAAACAAGCAGCUCAAGAGGAUACGGAUACUAAUUUGGAUAAUAUUCUCCCUCUUCUUCCUUCGGAAGUUCAAAGCCACAUAAAAGAGCCUUUUGACAAGUUGAAGCAAGUAAUUACUCACCUUGAUAAUCAUAUAAAAGGAGGAUUGUAUCUCUUUAUCUUUUUAAUAAGAAUUUAAUUAAGUCUUCCUAUGGGUUUUCUUGCUUUCUCUCUGAUAGUUUACCAACAUGAAUUCCAGGUGCCAAUGCUUCGAGAGAUAGAUGAAGAUGUGUUGAAAAUAAUCUGUCAGGAACUCGAGCCCGUGAGGUAUACUGAGAACGACGAUAUUAUUCAAAAGGAUAAACCACUUGCCAAGAUUCUCUUCAUUGUAGACGGAGAUGUAUCCAUUGAAGAGGGAUCUUCUGAUGAUUCAAAACGAGGUGCAGGACAAUUAUGUGGAGAAGAACUUCUACGUUGGCCAUUCUACUCUUACUUCCCUGACAAAACACCGUUGGCAACUAAAUCUGUCAAGGCAAUUGGUGUUGUUGAAGCCCUUGCUCUCAACGCACAGGACUUGCAAAGUGUAAGCUCUUAAUCAAAUGCACAUUUCCCAUAUUACAAUUGAGCAUCCAUAGUAAAAUUAAUUGGGAUAAGAGAGAGAUCCAAGAAGUACCUUUACUUAAACUGUCGGAUAAGACUUUCAUGUUUUCAAUGCAACCCUUCACGUGCAGGGCCAUGUAAGCCUAAUGUGUGGAGUGAACAACAAAUAUUGAGUGACACAAAGCACGUAGAUAGCCUCAUCUAACACCAUAUUAAAAUUGAGCAUCCAUCUUAGUUAAAACCAUUGGCAAUAGAAGGGAGAGGGUCCAAAAUUAUUUAAAUUAUUAGGCAAAAUUUUAGUUACUCUGACAACUUCAGUAAGCCUAUAAGCUAUAAGAAACUCUAACAACCUCAAUUUGAUUGUAAUUUAGCUAAAUUUUCGUUUACUUGAACUAAUGAACUCUAACAACCUUUUUGUUGUUGUGGAUUAAUAGAAAUAUGAUCAAUCAGACAUUGCAAUAAAAGAGACGUCUAGACAAAGAGGAAUGAUGAAAAAGGAGAUGGAAACAAAUAUAGAUGGGUUGAUACAUAGAAAAGAAAUUCCUGAAUGGUUUAAUCAAAGUGUAAAGUCACGGAUCAUGGAAAAAAUAGAAGAACAAGUUCAAAAUAAUGCUCUUUAUUGGGAUAAGCUUGAUUGGGAUUGGGAUCAUCUCGUUUCUCAUCUUCCCCUGGAUUUUCAAAACGAGAUCAAAAGGUGUAUGGCAUUGACUAAGUUGAAGAAGGUAAAGUUUCUUCAAAUCCAUGAAUCCACGGCUUUUAUUUUGAACAGAGAAUUUGAGGCAUUUAUUUAUUUAUAGCUCUCUUCCCAAUAUUUCAUGCAUGCGCAUGUGAUAUUACAACUCCCAUGCAUUUAAAUACAGCAUAACUAACGUAUACUAUACCAACCCCAACCUAGGGCCUAGGCUACAUAACAAUCUAGUCCCUGCCCAUGAUAAGGUGGAGCGUAAGUACAUGAGACAGAAAAAAAAACAAACAAAAGAAAAAAUUAAGAUGUCAAAUAGAAGAAUUCGCCUGCCAAUAAAGACUAUCAACUUAGAACUUUCUAACCCUACCCUUUCACACCAAUAAAUUUUAAAAGGAAAACCAUCCAUUUGGAUACUUUUGUAUAUUACUUGAAGCAUGUGAACAUUCAUAGUUAUAAGGGUUUUUAUUACAAAUGGUCCUUAAAAUUGACCCACCCAAUCAAGAUGAUCCUUGAAAUUGGAUGUCGCAAAUCAAUGUAGUCCUUGAAAUUGAACUUUCUAACCCCUACCCUUCCGUCACAACUUUGUUAAAAAUUAUGUUAUGUGCUGAUGUGGCACAUAAUUGGGUUCCAUAAUAUAAUAAAAUAUUGUCAGGUAGAUAAAAAAUAUUUAAAUAAUAAUUAAAAAACCUAUGCUAUAAAAAUGGUAAUUAACUAAAAUCAGGAAAAAAAAUGCUAUAAAAAAGUGAGUGGUAGAAAUAGAAAAACGUGAUACUUAUAGGGUUGCAAUAAUGUCACUGAUAGCAAAAGGAUUAUCUUUUGGAUAAUCUUUGGAUACUGAACAGUCGGCAUCGAAAAUUUACUGACCUCUAAUAAAACAAAGACACCUGUCCAUUUUCAAGUCUCCAUUCACACAACCAAACACCCUGGUUUUGUAUACCAAACAUCCUUCUUCUACCUUUCUCUGCCCACAGUCCCCUUCAGAAAUGCAAAAACAUUACAAAUUCUUUCACGAAAGCUAUUAUCCACUCUCUGGAUUGAUGACGAUAGGUCGCAAUCAUCGUCGUCGGCCAUAACGGAGGAUGACAAUCACAUUCGUUGUAGAAGAAAUGGAUGGGGUGGGUGGCAGAAAAGAGGGAUUGGGGUCAUCGGAGAAGAGAGGGUUUGCAACUAGGGAUGGGCAAAUACCCAUCGAUUAUGGGUAACCGCGGUUACCCGCUCAUUUAAAUUUCACGGUUACGAUUAUGGGUAACCGUUUAGAUAAAUAAACGGUUAUGGGUAUAACCAUUUACCCGCGAAAUUUAAAUGGGCGGUUAUGAGUAUUAACCGCGAUUAUAAACGGGUAACCAUUUACUCAUUUAUUUUAUAUAUGUAAAAUUAACACAAAUUAUGUUCCCUAUCAGACAAAACUUAGAUCAAUGCUAUUGACUAUAGUGCAUGAUUUCUAUAGCUAAUAUAAUAUAACUUUCCUUAACCACUUUAAAUUUCAUGGUCGAUUAUAUAUAUUAUGUUAAUAUUUUACAUUCCGAGUUAAAUAACCCAAGAAUAUUGUCUUUUAACAGUUUUCGUAACCCAAGAAUACUUAGCAAAUUUUAUAUUACCUUCAUUGCUAACAGUUAAAAAUAUCGUCUGUAAAAUAUUAUUUCAAUUGUUGGAAUGGUAUAAGUAAGGACUUAAAAAAUUAAAAUACCGAAAUAUAUGAUGAAUGUACCUAUAACAGUGUUUAAUUGUUAGAAAAAGAAAAUUAUGACAAAUUUUCCUUUUUUAAUUUUCAAGUUGUUAAAAAAACACGUAGAUGGGUGAAAAAGGAGUAAAUGGUAAAAAAGAUAGGAUAAACGGGUUUAAAAAUGAUAAAUGGGUAAACGGAUACUAAACGGUUACGGUUAAGUGGAUACACGAUUAUGGGUAUGGUUAACCGUUUAUAAACGGUUAUAUGUAUGGGUAUAACCGUUUAGACAAUUACCCAACGGGUAAAUAGUUAUGUGGGUAUGAGAAUAAACGGUUAUGGAUAAAUAAUCGCAAUUAUCCGUUUGCCAUAACCGUUGUCCAUCCCUAAUUGCGACUUGUGAGUGGGUUGCCGGAGAAUAGAGCGAAUUCAGUGUUCGAUGAGGGUUUGGUUGUGUGUUUAGAGACUAGAAAAUGGACAGUUGUCUUUAUUGUAUUGGACUACUAGAGGUCAGUAAAUUUUGAUAUUGAACACGCCGUACCCAAGUAUUAUUAAGAAUUUAAGUCAUUGUUGAGGAUUGUAUCUCUUUUAUCUUUUUAAUGAGAAUUUCUUCCUAUGAAUUCCAGGUGCCAAUGCUUCGACGGAUAGAUGAAGAUGUGUUGAAAAUAAUCUGUCAGAAACUCGAGCCUGUGAGGUAUACUGAUAACAACUUGAUUAUUCAAAAGGGUGAACAACUGGACAAGAUGGUCUACAUUGAAGACGGAUUUGUAUCCAUUGAAGAGAGAUCUUCUAAUAAUUUGAGACUAGGUGCAGGGGAAUUCUGUGGACAAGAACUUCUACGUUGGCCUUUCUCCACUGACUUCCCUAACAGAAAACCGUUGGCAACUGAAUCUGUCAAGGCAAUUGGUGUUGUUGAAGCCCUUGCUCUCAACGCACAGGACUUGCUAAGUGUAAGCUCUUAAUCAAAUGCACAUUUCCCUUAUUACAAUUGAGCAUCCAUAGUAAAAUUAAUUGGGAUAAGAGAGAGAUCAAAGAAUUACCAGUAUUUAAACUAUCAAACAAGACUUUCAUGCUUUCAACCAAAUCCUUCACGUGCGGGGUCAUUUAAGCCUAUUGCGUGGAGUAAACAAAACAUAUUGAGUGAUGCAUAGCACGUAUAUAGUCUCUCCUAAUACCAUAUUAAAAUUGAGCAUCAAUCUUAGCUAAAACCAUUGGGAAUAGGAGGGUGAGGGUCCAAAAUUAUUUAAAUUAUUAGGCAAAAUUUUAUUUCCCUAAUAUGAGAUUCAUACAGUCUGACAACUUCAAUAAGCCUAUAAGAAACUCUUAACAACCUCAAUUUGAUUGUAAUUUGGCUAUAUAUUCUUUUACUGUAAGUAACGAUCUCUAACGACCUUUUUGUUGUUGUGGAUUAAUAGAUGUAUCUUGAGUCAAACAUUAAAGGAAAAGAGGAGCCUAGACACAGAAGAAUGAUGAAAGAGGAGAUUGAGCGAAAUAUAGAUGGAUUGAUACGUAGAAAUGGGAUUCCUGAAAGGUUAAAUCAUAAUGUAAAGUCACGGAUCAUGGAAAAUGUAGAAGAAAAUUUUCAACAAUAUGAUCAUUAUUGGGAUUUGCUCGAUUGGGAUCACCUCGUUCCUGGUCUUCCCUUGGAUUUUCAAAAAGAGAUCAUAAGUUACAUGCCAUUGACAAAGUUGAAGCAGGUAAGGUUUCUUCAAAUCCAUGAAUCCAUGGCUUUAAUUUUGAACAUAGAGUUUGAGGCAUUUAUUUAUUUAUAGCUCUCAUCCCAAUAUCCCAUGCAUGCGCAUGUGAUAUUAUAGCUCCCGGGCAUUUAAAUACAGCAUAACGAACAUAUACUAUACCAAUCCCAACCUAGGGCCUAGGCUACAUAACAAUCUAGCUCUUGCCCAUGAUAAGGUGGAGCAUAAGUACAUGAGACAGAAAAAAACAAACAAAAGAAAAAAAAAGCUGUCAAAUAGAAGAGUUCGCGGGCCAGUAAAGACCAUCCACUUGGUACUUUCUAAUCCUUGUCUUUCACACCAAUAAAUUUUGGAAUGUGCUAUCUACACAUCUUAUUUUACUUCUCACACACUCUUUGAUAAUUUAUGUCCAUUGAUCUUCUUCAAUUCAUCCAAUCCGACGGCCGAAAAUUAAAAAGGGGUGUGAAGUAAAAUGGGGUUUGUGGAUAUUACAUCCCUAAAUUUUAAAAGGAAAACCAUCCACUUGGAUACUUUUUUAUAUUACUUGAAGCAUGUGAACAUUUGUAGUUAUAAUCAUCCGAAUAACCCAACAAUGGUAAUUAACUAAAACCAGAAAGAAAAGAAAAAUUAAAAAUAUGCUAUAAAAAAGUGAGUGGUAGAAACAGAAAAACGUGAUACUUAUGGGGUUGCAAUAAUGUCAUUGAUAGCAAAAAAAUAAAAUAAAAGAGUCAUUAAUGACGUUUUUAUUGUCACAAUUCAUUUAAGAAAAAUACUAUGAGGUGAUUUAAAAAAACAAUCAUUAACCGUCGUAUUUUAUGAUCUACAAAGUAUAAUUUAAAUAGAUCUAAAGCCACAAUACAUCAUUGCAACCGAGCAACAAUCACCUUUCACAUUUACAUGGCCACCUUUUCUUGUAGUGAGCAAACACAAGAACGGUCCCAGGGCUGCAGAUUUUAAUUAUAUUUUAAUAAAAACGUUGGAGAUUAAUGAUGGAUGGAAAGUUUUUAAAAUUCAUGAGUUAGUUAUAGCUAUAUAAUUAUGUAUUAGAUUUUUUUAAUAUGUCAAUUAAGUUACUUACAUGUUAUAAAAUGUAGAUGCCAGCAUUCCAGUACAUGAAUGAUGAAGUGAUGAAAGAAAUUUGUAGCCAUCUUCGGCCCAUGAAGUAUAAUCGUACCGAUAACAUUAUUGAUAAGGGUAACCCAAUUCAAAUGUUGUUGAUUGUGGAAGGAAGCAUAGGCCAAGAAGGUUGGGUAAAAGAUGCAGGAGAAAUCUAUGGAGAAGAACUUCUGGUUUGGCCAUUCUCGACCUCUUUCCCUAACAAAGUACCUACAGCAGCUGAGUCUCCUUUUGUAAGUACGGAUGUUGUUGAAGCCCUUGUUCUGACGGCCAGUGACAUGGAGAGUGUAGCCACUAAAUUCCGGAAACAUUUCAUAAAAAAUUACGGCAAAUUCGUACGCAUGGAGAGUGCAUUCCCUUACGACUAUUCUGAAGGGGAUAUUAAGAAGGCCACAACAAACUACACGUGUUUGAACAAUCCAAAUGAAGGAGGCUAUGGAACAGUCUACCACCCAGAAUUAAAUGGAAGAUCUGUUGCCAUAAAAACGUGCAACAGUACUACUGGUGACCCGUUCAUCCAGAGUCAACGUCUGGUUCAUGAGGCAUUUGUUCUUUCUCAAAUCGAUCACGAAAAUGUGGAGAAGCUGUUAGGUUGUUGUUUAGAGACAACAUGGCCUAUAAUGGUUUAUGACCGCACCAAUGCUUUGACUUUUGUUGAGCACUUUCACAGAAACAAAUCAAAACUCUCGUUGGAAUCACGAAUGACGAUAGCAGCGGAAACUGCAGGAGCUCUAGCACACAUGCACUCCAGCUCAGUCAUACACCGAGAUGUGAAGACAGCGAAUAUAUUAAUAGAUCAUACAACUCACACUGUACAAGUUACCGGUUUUGGAGCUUCACGAUUGCUUGAUGAAGAUGAAGGUGAAAUGGAAGAUCGAGUGUCAACUUUGCCAAGGACAUUGGGAUACUUAGACCCCGAGUAUCUUGAAUCACACAUGCUAACAAAGAAGAGCGACGUCUAUAGCUUCGGAGUUGUUCUAGUGGAGCUACUAACACGUCAAGAGUCAGUUUCUUCUAACGGGUCUGAAACAUCCCUAGCAAACGACUUUGUUCGUUCAGUGCAUGAGGAUCGCUUGGGCCAAAUUCUCGAUGGUGAAAUAAACACAGACAAGUUUAGUUAUGAGAUGGCCAAAAAAGUGAGCGAGCUUGCCGUGACAUGUUUGAGGUCAAGGGGAGAGGAAAGGCCUUCCAUGGAAAAAGUAGCUGAGGAGCUUGAGGGAGUAGUGCAAGCUAUUAUGAACAGGGUAGAGCAUUCUACGGUGGACGAUAAUAUAUCUUCCGCUUCUAGAACUUCCGAGUGAAGUAUUGAUGUGAACCCGUGCGGCUGGUUUCAGUUUGAGUCUGUGCUUGUGAAAUAAUUGACAAGUAAGAUGCAUUUGGUAGUUUGAGUAAACCGUGGAAUUUGGAAUUAGUAUCAAAUAUUGUAACCUUAUAUAUUUUUGCCCCUUUCAUUUAUCUUUGCACUUCUCUUGGCUCAAACCUGGAAUUAUCUAUUGGCCCCCACAGAAAUCCAUAACUCUAAAAAGAGAUGGCCGAAAUUCAGAACUAGAGAACCAUAAAUAGAAUCCACUAGAAAUUGUGUCUCGUUGUUGUAGGAUUGAAAAUGAGAUGCAACAAACGUAACUUCAUUUCAAUAGCAAAAAAGAAAACUGACAUUUGGUUCAAAAAUAUUAGAGGAAGUAUAGGUCGUAAUGUGUGACAUGCAAAGGUGCUACUAAUUCAAAUUUCCAACAUGCUCAGCAAAUUUCUAACUUUUCAGAAGUAAUUAAAUUGAAACUAAUAGAUGUUUCUUCUGCAUACUGAUUAUUGAAGAUUCGUUGAGAAGAAUGAAUCCGUAACUUACUUAGGUUUCAAAGUGGACUACACCAUCCAUUAAUCUAAACAGAACUGUCUCAGCAAAGCAAACAAUUUAAUCUCAUUCCUCUAGAAAUGGCAUGUUUUAUUACUUCACAAAGCUAAUUUCUUCCGAAAGAUUCAAAGCAAGUUGUUUUUAACAUUAAAAUACCACAACAUGAUUAACACAUUAAACAAACAGUUUCUCCAAUUACUAAACAGUUUUAUUAAUAUAGAUUAUUUUCUUGUACAGAAUUGAUGUAUCAAAGCAAGUGGUAAUUAUCAAAAUGAAUAUGUUAACAUACUCUUAUAAGCAUAAUCCAAUAACCUAAAUAUAGUGUUUUAAUCGAUAUCAACAAUAAAAAACAACGCAAUUGUAAACAUAAAUUUAGGUGCUUUAAUGGUUAAAAACCAUGUAAACCGCCUAGACAUGAAAAAAUAAAAAAUAUAUGAAAAUUAAGGACGGACUUGAGCUCGGAGUUCACAUAGAACUUUUAAGAGUAGCAAAUGCUCUAUUGGAUUGGGUUCCUUGUAAUGAGAUAUCUCCUCUGCACAAACAACACAAUGGCAAAAAUGUUAGUCUAUUUAAAAAAUGAAAACAAAUUAAAUACAGUAAACGAUGCUAAGAUGAAUAAAACUGAAACCCCAGACAACAAAUUAAUAGCUGGGAAGAAAGGGGAAAAAAACACACAUGAAUAAAAUUUCUAAUUUUCGACCACCCCUAAUUUAUCAUUAAGCUAAGUAAAUACACGACAAGCUCAACACAAUCAUAACAAUAAGAAUUUUCAAAUAGUUAAAUAAAUAUCAACUACCCUACACAGGAAUUGAACAUUAUUAUCACUACCAUGUAUUCAGUUUCAUUUCAAGCUACUAUCUAAUAAAACCUUUCAGUCAAGGUUUCUGUAAAUUAAUUUCAAUUUGAAUAACAAAACUAUUUUUAGUAAAUUUCUUUACAUCUUAUUACAAAUUAUUACAUCUACUCGGAUUUUUAUACACUGAAGAUAAAGUUAAAGUCCUUACGUCACAAUCUGAAUUGAGAUCUAGCUCAUUGAAUCACUAUUCAAUGCAAGGAGAGGUUACACCGCUCUUGUGGUCCUCCCUUCAGGGGAUUGAUCGUGCCUCCUCCCAUUGAAUACUGGUGGUGAAGCCCUACAACGCUUAAGGCUUUGGCUGUUAUGAGGACUCCUCAAUCUUCUCUCCAAACUCCUUUCUCUCCUCACGGGUGAUCGGGAACAAUUGCACAUUAGAAAAAAAUAAUCGAGUUUCAGCAAAAUACCCAGACAAAUGAUAUGCAUACAUAGAAAUUCGAUGUGAAGAACAAAGUGUCAGCUGUCGACUACCUGACACUCUCCCCCUCCUCCUUUUUCCAGCCUUGGGACCAGCAGCGUACAGUUUCAUAUGAAUCCAUAACUUGUACCUGUGUCUGAUCGCGUAAAUAAUCUCCGAUGAUAUUACCUCUCUCAAGUCUUUGGUGGUAUUACAAAACCAAUAUCAUCAUCUAUGGCAGUCUGUUGUAGUCAAAGUGUCGCAGUAGUUUCUUAGCCACGCAGAAGCAGAUUUGAGGAUAUGAUGUUCACCAUUGAGGAGAUCCUGAGCCAUUUGCCUCCGGAUAAAAAGUCUUUCACAUGUAACUGGAGAGCUUACGGGUCCCAAAGACUAUGCACGCACUCAAGAAGCACAAAAAGGAGUUACUACAUUUGUAGUCAGAUGCAACAUCAUGUAAACCAUAGAAAUGAUUAUAUUAAAAUUCCACUCUCUUCAUAUGUUUAUUACUGCUUCCCAAACGCCUACGACUUCUCCAGUUAUAAAAUUCCUCAACUUCAUUAAUAUCUCAACCAAAAUGAGUAUGUUACUGCAACACUUCAACUGAUUAAAUAUGGGUAUGCUUAAGAAUUCCUUCAUUCAAAAGAACCGUAAUUGGUGUAUGCUUUCGGAAUUAAUGCAUUAUCAUAGAAAAUAAUGAACUCUUGCUUAGCUUAGCUUAGACAAGUUCUGUAAACGAAGGGGGUAAAAAGUUAUCAUGUUCUGCAGCUUCAAUCUCUCUGCUGCUGUUUGUUAAGGGACAUCAAGCCAAUCGACCACCAUGUUCUGCAGCUUCUUUGGCCAGGUCACUAAGUUUUGAAUAUUAAGAAACAAUCAAUAAACUAUUUGCAGAUGAGUCAUAAGGUUAAAUGAGCUCAGAAGCAUAUUAAGCAAUGCAUGCGAGUAAGUUAACAUGAAGAGAAACACACCUUGAGGAGAGGCGCAACAUAGAACACGAGCAAAAGCACCAAGUGACUGAGGAAUUCCUCUCCCUUUUCGGCUACCGGACCUAACUUCCCUAUGUCAUCAUACGAUUAUUGUAAUCAGUAAAAGAUUUUCAUCACAAGAUAUCAAGUCAUCACACGGAUAACUGCAUUAGUUAAACAAGACUGGAAAUGGAACAAAAGAAACAGAAUAUUUGACUUCACAGAGUACCACUAGAUACGGGGGAGAAAGGCCAUCAUGUAGGCAAAGGAACAAAAAGAAGGGAAAAAAGGAAAUAAAAGAGAUACAGUGCAUCACUACCAACUUGAUAGUGAAAGAAUCCAUUGAAGAGUCGAAACCAUUGACAUCAUUACUGAUUGGUCUGUGAUGUCUCUUCAAAAGUUCCCACUCCAUUUCACGAAGGCAUCCUUAACAUUUACAGAUUACAUAUAACAAAACCAUCAUCCAGAACGUGUAUUCAGUAACUUACUAAUUGACACAGGAGUCUUCAAGCAAACUUACUGAACAAAGAGAUUAUAAAUACUCAACUAACUGCAAUUACUAUGCUCCCAUGAAAGACAUCCAACUUAUCAAAGAGGUUUUUAAGCAAGCGCUAGAUCAAAAGUAGUCUUGUUCUUCGAGUCAAAGAGAGAAUAGUUUUGUUACCAAAAACAAACUUCUAGUCAAAGUGUUAAAUCAAAGUAAGAAGUGUGAAUUAAGCAACAGAAACAUUUUCCCAACACAACAAAGCAAUCAUUGUGACUAUAGUGAACUGAAAUCCAAGACUGACCCGGUCGUGGAUGUUGUAUGAAAGUGUAAACCCAAAGUCCAGAAGCAGGGUAGCAUUUGAAAAUUUUCCGUAUCUUAUCAAUACCUAUACAAAUAUACAAAUUGAAGUCCAGAGUUACAACUUUAAACAACUACUUCUGCAACGUAACCAUAGUCACGAACUGCCGCAGAGGAUGUUUCCGUGUACCAUCCAUUCAUACUAAUAAUAGGAAACCCCAAACUUCCAGUAAUUUCUAAAUAUUAAUUCCACAGCAUAUCUCAAGUAAUAUUGUGCUUUUUACUCUAACAUAGACCCCGUGUUCAUGUGUUGUGAUCCGUUAUCUGUUAACAUACCCAUUCAACCGUAACCUCAUACUCAUUUACCUAUUUACCCAUUUACCCUUUUUUACUCAUUUACCCUUUUUUUUUACCCAUCUACACUUUUUUUUUACCCAUUUAUAGGUACAUUUAACAUGCAUUUCCGUAUUUCAAUUUUUUAAGUCCUCGUACCAUUCCAAUAAUUGAAAUUAUAGUUUACGGACGAUAUUUUUAGCUAUUAUUAAUGAACGUAAUAUAAUAUAUUUGGUAAGAAUUUAUACUAAGUUUUCAUGAAACUUUAAUGUCCCUCAUUCAAACACAUAAUGUUAAGAGUAUUUUUCACUCUUUGCUGAUUAAUUUUGAGUUUGAUGUUCGCAUUCUAACAGUAGUUAAUAAGGAUUUUUUUUUUAAUGCAACUCGGGGUAAUUUUUUUCUCUUUGUUUGUGUGUAAAGAUGUGGAGUUUAUACUGUUAUUUUUUUUAACAAAAUUUAUUGAUUCGGGCCUAGCCCCAAAACAAUAUAUAUUGUUACUGUAUAACAAACCUCAUCAAGCGGAAUUGUGCAUGCUCGCAGCUAGCUUGACAUAUAUUAAAUAAACGGUUAAAUGAGAACCCGUUUAUAACGGCUAGUAAUAUACAUAACCACUUAUUUAAAUUUACUUGUAAACUGUUAUACGCAUAACCGUUUAUUUAUUUUUUAAACGGUUACUAACAACUGUAAUAAUGAAUUUUAAAUAGACAGGUAAUCGCGGUUACUCAUAUUCGUGAGUAUUUUGCUCAUCUUUAGGUGUGAAUAGUGCUUUUGUGUCAUUGUAAUGGAUCGGGUAUGGGCCAAAUUGAAUAAUAGAGUACAAAUUUUUGGGUUGUUAUGGCCAUUUCAAGUGGAAGGACAUGGGCUGAUUUCAAGUGGAAGGACACGGGCCCUUUUCACCUUUCUAUUUUUUGUGUUUUUUUUAGUCUUAUUUUAUUUUAUUUUCUAUGAAAAUGGUGACAGCUGGCAAGAGUGGUGGUGAGAGUUGAUUGUUAUGGCCACUGGAAAGGUAAGAUGGUUUUAAGCUGGAAAGUGAUUUGUUAGGUGAAUAAUUGAAGAAAUGGGUCCCAGUUUUGAGAUGCCCAAUUAGCGCGUGUUUGUGAGUAUUCAACCUGAUUUAAUCUUAUUUGACCAAUAAAAAUACAUGAUUUAAUCUUUGUUUUAAACGAGAGAUUUUUCUGUAACUGGUAUACGAGGUGAUACACCACGUGUCGCUAUUCAAAUGGUGUGAUAUAUGUGCUAAAAAGUUAAUAACUUUAAAAUAAAAUUUCUCAUCAUUCCUAUUAAAAUACAUGGUAUACUACUUGUAUUCCGGUCACAACGAAAAAUUUCUCAUUUUAUAUUGAGCUUCUCCUUCAUAAUUGACUUUUCCUCAUCCCAAAUAUAGAUUUGACGGAUGAGGAUCUUUUCCCAAUCCUUUUGCGAAGAUCUUAGUGAUCUUCACAUUUUAAGUUCUUUUUAGAUAUUAUUUGUGUUUAAUUUUAAAUAAAAAAAUUUAAAAUAUUUAUAAUCGCACGAUAUAUAAUGAACAGCUAGGAUGUGAGGAUUUAUAUGACUCUCACAAUUUGGAUCUGGGAUUUGAGUCCUGGUACUGAUAUUUCCAGUUAAAAAAAAUGAUUUGAGUAAUUAAACUAGCGUUCCCUAAUAUUUCUUGCCUGCUACUUUUUAUAAAACUAUAAAAAAAUUCAAGCUAUUCUUUAUUGUGCAAUAUAUACCUGGCGAAAACAUUCACACAAAACUUGUGAUGUACCUUUGCAAACAGUAAUUUGCGCAAUUGAAAAUAAAAUCAUACGAAAAUAUUGUUUAUUAAUCUAUAUUUUAUAUUAGUAUGAUAAAUACUAUUUAUAAGUUCGUACGUGAUGUUUACAUCGAAUAAAAAAUUUGGAAACAACGACAUUUUACCAAACUUGGAAGAAAAUGCCACCUAAAACCACCAAAACCUAUCAUGUCAGUCACCUUUGGUUACAACGUAUUAAUUUUAGAACCAAAGUAAAGCAUCUAAUUAAAUUAAUUGUAAAACACAAAAAACAAAGGUCAAUUCUUUAUUAUUGGAAAUUCAUAACGAAGCUUGCAGGAAAGGGCCACUGAAAGAUGACAACAUGGGCGGCAAGUUGCGGAACACGUCAGUGCAAGCGAUCCGCACAAUGCGAUUACGAGUGGGGAGGCAGAUUGUCUGCCUCCCGGGUAUCCUUCAUAUCUCUUUCUAUUUGUACGGUCACAGUUAAGUCAUGUUAAUAUUUUAUAUUCUUAUUACUUUUUGUCUUAUUAUCUCUAAAAAAUUAAUAUAAAAUGUUGACGUGACUUAAUCGUGACCGUACAAAAUAGGAGAGGAUGGAAAGGGUAUUCAAAUAAGAAAGCAGACAAUUUGCCUCCUUACGAGUGUAUACACGUAAGAGAUUAGUUUCUUCUUUUCACAUUGUAAUAUUUUAAACGACUUCAAUUUACAAAUGUAGCACACUUCUUUAGCUAAAUGAUGUCUGUAAAAAAAGCAUCGAGGGAAUAUGGUUGGAUCAAUUAGUUUAAUUGCAAUAAAACAAAUACAUUGUUAUAACUAGACCCGACUUGCAUCCAUGUACAACUCGAACUUACAAGUUUUGGACCGAAUUCGUUGCAGUUCAAGAUUACACUGUCUUAUCCAAAAAAAUUCUGUGUUAAAAGAGUGGACAAAAGAGUGACAUUAGAUUAAACAGUUGGAUAUCAAACUUGACACACUGCUUAAACCAACUGACCGAAUAACGACGGAUGAUCUAAGCAAAAAUUAACUGAAUUUACAUAUAAUUAGACCGCAAUUAUAGAAAAAAAGCACAACCCUAGGCGGCUGGCAAUUUAAUGGAACGUAGUGGGGACCCACCACCUUGGAUUUGAUUAGAUUCUCUCCUUCCUCUUUCUCUCGCUCUCUUUCUCUCUCUCUCUCUUUCUCCCCCCUUUCCCUCUCUCCCUCCCUUGCUUUUCUCUCUCAAUCUUCAAUCACCUCCUUCUCAAACUUUCACACCUUUGAUCAAGCCAAAGCUCCUUCAAACUCUCUCCCAGCAGGUAAUUCCUCCUCAUUUUCCUGCAACUUUCGCACCUUUGAUCGGAUUUCGUUACUUUCGUCAACGCGUUUGCGAUUUGAAUUCAGAACUUUGAUUUCAGGUAUUUUCCUGGAAGCUUCUGGACUGGUUUCAAUUUCGCGUAUUUUGAUUUCUUUUCCGUCGAAUUUAGUAGAUCUGGUUGAAUGGAUUCGACCCCAUCGGUUUCAUUGGCGGCUUUUGGCUUUUGGAAAAUGUUUGAUUGUUUUUUUUAUCAGAGUGAAAGUGCUUAUUUAUGAAGCCGAAAACUUUCUCUUUUUAUAUGGAUCGUUCGGACUUGUUUCGUUUGAAUUGAAACGCUACGGGCAAUUCGUUUUUUGGGUUUUAGUUAUUACAGCAUAAACAGCACGGAUAAAGGGUCUCUCUUUCUGCUUAUGCUUUUGGGAAAAGUGUUUGUUUUGUGGGAUCUAUUAGGGUUUUAAUUUGGUGUUUAGAUUGUAGCUUGGUUACUUAAUUAUUCUAGAAAAUGAUCUUAGAGUUGGAAAAUUGGUUUGAGUGUAGUUUUCAUAUUAUAUCAAUAUAUAUUUGUUAGUAUUAUUUUGCAAGUUAUAUUGCAUAAUUGCAUCUGUUCACACAAUAUGUAAAACUUCUUCCUUUUUUUCUCACUUGUCGUUUUUCAAUUUGCCGAUCAGCCAUGAUGUGUUCUUUACUUGUCUACAGAUAGUCUAUUUCGUUGACUUAGAGUUUGCUGUUUUAUCUUCGAUUUCCUUUACAUGUGCUAUUGGGUUCUCUUGCUAAUGUAUAUCUUUGAUUUUUGUUAUGGUUGUGUGCAGGAUAUUGAAAUUGGUAGUGUGAUAGCUAGAAGAAGUGGAGAAAUUGCACGGUCGUAUUAGCUAACUAAAUUUGGUUUUUAGAAAAAUAGUGUAGCUGCAUAAUUAUCAUAGUGGUGGUCUUGAAAGUGACUUCAGAACGAAUUCAGGGUCCUGCUAAUUGCUAUUGACUUUGAUUUAUAGACGAGAAGGGGUAAUAUAAGAUUGCAAAAUCUUGGAAUCAUGCCGGUAUCGGGAAAUGAAGAGGUGUUUAUUUCCUUUCUGAAAACUGCUAACUGAGAUCAGAGUCUCCUUUAAAUUUAUUGUUUUUUCUGAUUAUUGAUCAAUUAAAUCUUUUGUUGGCAGACUGGGGUUAAACCCGUCACCCGGAAAUCUAGUGAUUAUAGUGCAGGUGUUCCUAUCAAGAAAAGGAGGUUUUUCAUGAGGCCUCCUUCACCUCCUCCUGAAGAACCAAUUUUGUUUCCGAAAGAAGAACCAUCUUCUUUUCCAGCAAAAAUUAAUUCAGUACACGAGGAAUCUCGGGGGUCGACUCCUUCAUAUGUUAGUAUCACCAGUUCUGGACUUUCUGAUGCAAACAAGAUUCCUGAAUCCGAUUAUGGAAAAGGAAACUCUGGCGUUGCAAAUGUUAGUGUGGCUCGAGGAAAUGAUAAUAUCUUUAGAGUCAAACUUGAAGAACCUAGCCUGACGAUUCACUCGAGUUCUUUGGAUGACAUGCAGGGGAAGGGGAAGCUUGUCUUGUCUGAUAAUCCUACACCUGAGUUGACUUUAAGGAAAAGUGAAUUGACUUUAGCACCAAAUGAAGCUCUUGCAUCUAAUGUAGGUACGGAGAUUUUGCAGAGCCAAAGUAAAGUAGAAGUGAAGUGCAAAGAAGAAAUGCCUGCUGUUGCUGAGAGUACUGAAUUAUCAUUAGGUUUAAGAGAACAUCUUGCUCCAGCUUUGACAGGACGGGUUAUUGGUGAUGACAGGAGUUACCGGAAUCAGGGUAACUUGGAGCCUAUGUCACUGGAUUUGUCUUUAAGUAAAGAAAAAACCAGCAGCCAAUGCGACAGUAGUGGGAAAGGUUUGAAUUCCCUUGGUGCUGAUAUGAGUGCAUGUCGAGCAAACUGGGAUUUGAAUACACCAAUGGAUGCAUGGACAGAUACUGUUAGCGAUUCUUCCGUAUUCUUUUAUGGGAGUAAUGCAACUGGUGGGGUGAAUUGCACAACUGGGUUGGUUGGAGCUGGUGUUAACAAAGAAAAACUGUCCAUUGUUCAGACUCAGAACAGAGGUAAUGAGCCCGUCUUAUCCACACUUGCUAACCAGUACAAGCCCAAUGACUCCCUUCUUUUGCGCCUUAGUUCAUCUUGCUCGCAGUUAAACCAGUGCCAAAACCCUUCUAGUUCAUCCAGUAAACUGGAUUUACAUAGGGUGAUAUCUGCUACAAACGUACCUAGAUUGUUUGGGCCAAUUAGAAAUUUGAACUUGGGUAAUCAUAAAACUGUGAAAUCAGAACCAUUUGACGAGGGUGUCAAACUAGAUGUUAAUGUAUCUAAACUGGAUGUUAACGUAUCUAAACCCAGUAACACAGGAUUAGUAGAUAGUAGUAGAGCAGUGAAGUGUGGAGUCGUUGAGCAGGGGAAUCUUGGAGCUGUUAAGUCUUCAAAUACGAGCACCCGACAUUCAGUCGAUGCUAGACCCAUAAAAUCUGAACCAACUCAUGUGGAUCCUCAAGAAACCAUCAAGUCAAUUGAAGGCACCUCAGUUCAACUGGAUAAACAUUUGAUACAAGGUCUGGAUAAUCGUUCUUGUGACAUGACAUUGCCUAUGACUUCAGAGGUGUCUUGCCGUGUUGGAAAGCCUUGUUCAACGGAGUUGACUAUGAGCAGGGAUGUGAUAAAGCAUUCUGGAAACGUUAUUGCAUAUGCGCCUAUGGAAGCUUGUCAAAGCAAAGAUCAGGUUGCUGUAUCUCAGGGUCCUGAUACUAAGGGAAACAAUACGAGAACAGAAGAUGGUAAUGUUGACAGCGAGAGUUGUAAAUUGAAGUUUAUGAAUGAUCAGUCACUUGAUUCACGGGGAAGUGGUGAGGGUUCUGCCAGUGAUGAGGAAAAGAUUAAUAUAUCUGGGGAUAUGCUGGAAGAUUCUUAUGGUUCUGAUUGUGAAUCAGAUGGUGCUCAUGCUUUAGAUACAACCAUGGAUACUGAACAAGAUGGUAAACGUGAUGAUUAUGAAGACGGUGAGGUCCGAGAGUCAGUGGAGCUUACUGCGGUAGAGGAACCUAUAUGUAUGGCAAGAGAAGUGGAACAUGACGAUAAUGAUGAUUUUGAUAAUAAAAGGACAGAGCUUGUGGGACCUAUUAACAAUGUUCAGCCUACAUCAUUCUAUUAUGAGGCAAAAGACAACAAAGACAAUCUUGCUGAAACAAGUAACAAUAAUUAUAAAGAAUCUUUCCAGGUAGUUUGUAAUGAUAAAUCUGAUACGUGCUCUGAUGAAGAUAUGAGUUUGCAUGAAGAACCAUUAGCUGUUGAAAAUCUAACAAUCGGGGCUGGUGUGGAAGGGUCAACAGAACCUGAUGAUCAAGCAGUGAAGAUGGAUGCCCAGAAAUGUCAGGAUGCAGAGUUCUCCGGGCAAGUCAUUAGUGGAAAUCAAGGAACUGUAGUGGAAAGUGGUCAGGGUAAAGAGCUGCACGUAAAUAACACUGACCUGGCACCAAUGGGUGACUCAAAUUUGCCCAAAACAUCCGGUAGUGGUGAUAAUGCUGCUAAGGAUACCAGUUAUGGAGGACAACGGAGCAGGAUAAUAACUUUGCCUCGAUCUUCAACUGUUUCUCCGAGUAAAUCAAUAUCUAUUUCAGGACAGCCUUUGCCGUCAAGAGUUGGAAGAGAAAUAUUAACUGAUGUAGAAAUGGAGGAAGAGAAUAUACAUUCUCGAGGGAGGUGAUUAUUUUCCCUUGUUUUGUAUUUUGACUUUUGUUUGAUUUUGAGGGUUAAUAGUUGUAUUCUAAUCUAAAUCUUUUCCCUUUUGCCAUUUUUUCCAGAGGUGAACCAUAUGUUAACAGAAACCCGGGAUUUUCAAGGGAGCGAUACCAAGAUCAAUCACUGAGAUAUCCUAGAUUAGGUUCUGGACGUGGUAGAGGGAGGAUGCAUAGUCGUGGCAAUUGGGGUUCUGAUCGUAACUAUGCUUCGGAGCUUUAUAAUAAUCAAACAAACUAUCGUGUCCCCAGACAUAAAUAUGCACCUAAUGUUUCUGAUGCUGACCUUGAAUAUAACACUUACAAUAUGCCUCCAGAUAGUGCAUUUUAUGGUACAGGUCGUGGAGGAAGGAAGCUUUCAAAUGAUGGACCACUUAACUACCGUAUACCCUCAAGGAGGCGGUCUCCUGUUGGAGUGCACACCAUUUACAUGCCUCGCCGAAAUCCAAGAAAUAUUAGCCCAACCAGAUUCAACGGUGAAGAUGCUCCAAAUUUGGUUGGAAUGAGGCAUAAUGAGAAGUUUAUGAGGGGUUUCCAUGAUGAUAGUGCAGACCCCAUGUUCACUCGUAGCCAACCUUCAUAUGAGGGAGUGCAUGGUCAAUUUGGACGAGGCAAUCGGAACUUUUCUUUUGCACAGAGGAGAGGGAUUCCCAGAGUUAGCUCAAAAUCGCCAAUAAGGUCCAGGACUCGCUCUCCUGGGCCAUGGUCUUCUCCUAGAAGAAGAUCCCCAGAUGGAUUUGGUGGGCCUAGAGAACUGACUCAUCGAAGGUCUCCACCAGUUUACAGGAUGGAGAGGUUUAGAUCCCCUGAUGACCCAUGUUUUCCCGGAGAGAUGGUGGUUAGAAGGAAUCCGUCAAAUGAUUUGAGGAAUAUGGAUCCUGGAAGAGACCACGGCCCUCCAAGGUCUGUUAUUCCCAAUGGGAGUCCUUCAAGCCGGAGUUUAGUCAGAAACAGGAGAUUUGAUGUCAUGGAUCCUCGAGAGAGGCCAAAUAAUGGCAAUUACUUUGGGGGGGCCAUGCAUUCUAGCCGUUUGCAUGAGCUUGGUGGUGAUGGAAGUGGUGAUGAGAGAAGAAGAUUUGCUGAGAGACGUGGACCCGUCCGUUCAUUUAGACCUUAUAAUGGUGUUGGUGGUGAGACAUUUCAUCUUAACGGAGAGGAUGGCCCUAGGCCUUUGAGGUUCUGCCCAGAUGAUAAUACCGAGUUUCAAGAAAGAGGCAAUUUGAGGGAAAGGGACUUUGACAGAAGGAUUAAGAAUCGGCCAGGAAAUGCUCCUAGAAGAAUGAGAGGGAUUGAAGACCAAGAAGCUAAUUGCGGACAUGGUGAACAGCCUUGGCAUGAUGGUGUGUUUGAUGAUACGUCACAAGUGAAGAGAAAAAGAUUUUGAAUUUGCUUCUGUCAUGACCUUGAAUUCGGGAUUGGUUGUUCAUGUCCGGCACACAGAAUUAGUCACUUUUCUGGGACAUUCUGUUGACUCAAAGCAUUAAAAAAAGUGCCAUUCUGUUUGCAUAGGAUGUUCUGUGGGCCUUCUCCAGUUCCAAGCUUUGCUUAUGAUUCUGUGGUUUCAGGACUGGAUGCAAAUACAGCCUUGCUUAAUUGUCUCCCAUGUAAAUAGUUUGCAUCUGGUACUGGUACUAUGGUGGUUACUGGUUAGUUCUUCUCGAUGCUCAUAUUACAGUAAUUAUGGGUUUUACAUGUAGUGCCUAAAUUUCAUUAGCAAUAUGUGUACUUGCCAUAGGUCUUGGUUGCACAUCACAUCUCGUAAGGUCAUUAUCGUGGAGUUAGCCAUUUAAAUGCUUAUGCGAAGAUUCUCCCUAGUUUCUGAGUUAUGUUUCUGCAUUGGUUUUGAUGCUUGGUGAGCCAGGGCAGGUAUCCUACAAGGAGCUGUCAUCACUCUUAACUAGUAUUUAGGCCACAAAAGCUCCAAUUAUAACUGCGUCUCAUCACUUUCUUCACGUCCAUCUUCCUGUCGCACCUUGUGUGACCUCAGAUGAGAAGCCCAUCGGUACUGUUUGAUCUUCGAUUUGAAAAUUUUCUUCGUUCCUGGUUAUGCGAUCUGCAGCAAUCGGCAGAGAAGCAGAUCAUGUACAAGCUUUCAGUAUAGAACAUCUUAUUGGUUGGAGGUUGUAAUGAAUAAUGAUAUGCAGAAAUGUUGGAAACUGAUGUGAAGGAGAAGUUUGCUCCGUUACUUGUUAUGUAUGAAUAAUGGAACGGGCUUUGUCAGCAAGUUCUGGAUCGGCUGCUAAGCUUACUGGUACUGAAGUACACAGGUGAAUAAUGCUGUGUAGGAGGUUGUUUAUAUCUGUUGAUCUGUUCUUUGUUUUCUUGACUGUUGGGUAGCUGACAUGCUAUUAGGGAAUUUAGAAACAUAUUUGUCUGAACUUCCUGGAGCUGUCAUGCAACGCUUUGUGCGCUUCUUAGUUCUCAUGCGCAGUUAAAUGCCGACUGGAAUCGGCCACAAAACGGGGAAUGUUGGGUGUAUAAUCCGUUAUGUUGUGGAGACAGUUAUCCCCCUGGAAAUUUAGUACAUCGAGAUUUGUCAAAACUUGAAAAAGUUGGUUGGUUUUUGAGUCGUACUUUGAACUUCUUGGAUCUGUUUUUGUAGUAGGUCUGGGCAAUGAAGGUGUCGGGAAGUCUUAGAACUAGUCUUUGUGUUUCCUGUGCUACUUUCCUUCCUCAUUAGAUCAGCAGCAAGGUUGAGAAGUUGGAUCCGGUUACCGGCCAAACUUGAUCCGGUUGCCGGCCAAACUUGCCGUAAGACCCGGUUGCCGGCAAGACUUGUCGUAAGACUCGGAACUGGCCUCUGCAUCUAAAUAUAACCUAAAAAUCUAUUAAUAAGUGUGAGGUUGCAGAUGAGUAAGGGGUAAAGUGAAUUUACAAUUUCGACCGCGCAUUCCACUUGUGGCAUGGAAUUACUUCUAUGAGUGGGGGCAUUUAUGGAAUUUUAUUGAGUUGAUUUCCAAUUUUGUGUUGGUAUUUACAUUGUUGAAUGCCAGAAAAUGACAACCUUGUUUGCGUAUGGAUGGGUUGGUUGUGUUGGACCAAAAUUAAACAUUUUGAGUGUGACGUGAUUAAGAAUAAUUUUGGAUUAAUGCAAACUUAAUUGAUAGUUUUAUUGAAAUUGUAAAGAACUAGCAUUGUUUGACACGACCAAUGAUUCAAGUGCGAUACAAAGUGGGCACUCUCUAACUUGACUUGCUGUGAAGGAUGAAUUUUUGCUCAUUUGGUAUGCGUAUUGUCAAAUUCUCAUAAUCACUUCUCAUAAUCACUUUUGGGAAGUACGGAAGCGGUGCGUUUUUGUAAAAUCACUUAGAGAGGCACAUUAGAGGUGUUUUUGUAUAAAAUCAAGUCAUUUUUCAUGUGAUUUUAUAGAGAAGCACUUCUCAUGUGCUUCUUUCAUUUCCAAACAGGAAUUAUAUGAAAAUCGCCAAUAUUAUUACAAAAAUAAAAUUAGUUAAAUUAAAGGCUACCAAAAUUAAAAAUCUAAGCAAAAGCACGGAAAUGUUCCUUUUAUUGGAAAAUUCCUUGGGGUUCAUUUGGUCUUAUAGCCAAUGUGAGAGACUCUUUAUCAAACUUCAACCAUGUCUUCCUUCUUAAGUCUUUUUAUUGUUAAUCCAUUUUUUUUUUGCCCUCCAGAGAAAGAAAAAAACUAGAAAAAAAUAGAAUUAUUAUUUUCACCCAGAAAAAAUAAAAAAUCGUUCAUGCAUUUCUUUUUUUCACUAAAGAGGAGUGUACGGUCAUUUUAUAAUAGUGCUAAAAACAAUUCUCAAUAUAAUACAAUCCCCAACUUUUAUUGGGAAGUGUUAUUGAAACUCUAAAAAUCUCAUUCUACACUCCUCACAAGUGUAUUUUUCUUUCUAAAUAUAGAAAGUUUGGAGUGUAGAAUAAGAAUUUUGGAGUGCCAAUAACAAUUUCUUUUUCACUAACAAAGCCCACUAAACUCCCCCAUUCUGAUUUUCACAUCCCUACCAUCCAAGUUUGGACCCGAAAAAAAAAAAAAAAACCAAGUACGAUCCAAUUCAUCAUUGAUUAUGAACACGGGACAAGAUAAGUUGAAGAAGAAGACCAUAUCUAUCAUAACAAUUCAUAACUUGGAAAAAAAAAAAACGAUCUUUUUGAAAUUUAUCAGUAACACGCUUGCAAUUACACUUGGACUAUGUUUGAGUAAAGAAUUUCAAAUCUUAAGUAUUGAUGUCAAGAUAUCAAGGAAUGGAUAAAAAAAUGUAAAUACACCAUAUAAGCAUUACAAAGACAUGUAGAAGAAAUUCGUAAACCUUUCUCACAUAUCUUUGUUAUGCUUAUGUGGACCAUUUUUAAUCCUUUUACUAUAUUGAUGAUCCAUGUUUUACUUAAUAAAACAAAGUUUAUAACGGUUAUUAAUAAGAGCAAUCCUAUCACUAUUGUAAAUUUGUAAUUAAAAAAAUUCGUUGGGUACUAUUAUUCCCACACGCCUAUUGGUGAAAAAAUGUUCAUGGCAAAUGGAUACAAGUCGAGUGAAAAUAUGAAAAAUUCUCACUCUCCUCCUCAUAAAGCCCUGAGGAAAAACGGAAUACUAGCAUGAUCAAUCUUAAUCAUGCCUGUUCAAGAGAAGUUAUAACUUUCCCGGUAGGAUAAAAUUGUUGAGUUAUAUCAUACAUAUUCUUUCAAUAUAGGCUUCUUCGUAUGAGCACACCAAUUUUACGGUGUACUUUCAAUCUUUCACACAUGAUUACACUCAUUGUGAAAAAAACCAUGUCAUUAUAAAUCAUAUUCCAACUGGCACACCCUCUCCCUCCACCACUAGCGACCUAGUAAUGAAAUCUCCUUUUUCCCUAACACCAACAGGUGAGACCAAUAAGAUCACUAACCUCUAUUUGAAAUUUAUCAGUAACACGCUUACAACAUAUAAGCAUUACAAAGACAUGUAGAAGAAAUUCGUAAACCUUUCUCACAUAUCUUUGUUAUGCUUAUGUGGACCAUUUUUAAUCCUUUUACUAUAUUUAUGAUCCAUGUUUUACUUAAUAAAACAAAGUUAAUAACGGUUAUUAAUAAGGGCAAUCCUAUCCCUAUUGUAAAUUUGUAAUUAAAAAAAAUUCUUUGGGUAUUAUUAUUCCCACACGCCUAUUAGUGAAAAAAUGUUCAUGGCAAAUGGAUAUAAGUCGAGUGAAAAUAUGAAAAAUUCUCACUCUGCUCCUCAUAAAGCCUUGAGGAAAAACGGAAUACUAGCUUGAUCGGUCUUAAUCAUAUAUGUUCAAGAGAAGUUACAACUUUUCCUGCAGAAUAAAACUGUUCAGUUAUAUCAUACAUAUUCUUUCAAUAUAGGCUUCUUCGUAUCAGCACACCAAUUUUACGGUGUACUUUCAAUCCUUCACACAUGAUUACACUCAUUGUGAAAAAAAACCAUGUCAUUAUAAAUCAUAUUCCAACAGGCACACCCUCUCCCUCCACCACUAGCGACCUAGUAAUGAAAUCUCCUUUUUUUCCUAACACCAACAGGCGAGACCAGUAAGAUCACUAAUCUCUCUUGGUGCCAAUAAAAAUGUGAGGGAGAAUAGGAGAGUCGCAAGAGAUCAGGGGAGGAGGCGUCAACAAAUUUUUUUCCUAUUAUAUUUUGAAUUGAGUAAGACACUUGCAGGUGGUGCUUUAAUAAAAGAAAGAAAUAAUUGUUCGCAGGUGGUGCUUUAUCACAAUGGUGGAAAAUAAUAAUGUCUGUGUACCAAGAUACGGGUUUGAUCUCCACUAAGUUAUUUUCCCCAUGACAACCAACUAUUUAACCUACUAACGUUAUUGUUUGUAAAAAAAAAAAAUGUUGAGCUUAAAAGGACAAACCUGGCAUCAAAUUUGUAAAUAAAAUUUGGGAUUCAACUUCAAUAGUACGUAACAUUGAGUCAUAUAAAUUUUCAGUAAGAUUAACUAUUACGAAUUUCAUUAGAUCCAUGUAUCUAAUAUCUAAUCGUUACUCAGGUACGAAUAGAAAACCCCAAUUUAUUUAUUUUGUCACAAUGGUGGAAAACUAGACUUGGCAAACGGUUGUGUUCAUUUCGUGGUCGUGUCAUAUCUGUUAUUUUAACAUAUAAAAAUGUUAUCUUAAUAAAUUAUUAACAUGUGACUCUGUAGCGACUCGACUCGUUAAUGAGUCAUAUGGUUUUGUAUCAGGUUAAUGACUCAUGGAAGAAUUGUUAUGCUUAAUGUCUAGAUGACAAACAAGUCAUAUUCGUAUCAUUUACGUGUAUACUCGUUAUCUUAACAAGUUUUUAACGUGUGACUUGAUAACAAUCUGAAUCAUGUUAAUAAAAAAUUUAUAAUUUUUAAGAAAAACUAAUGAAAAUAACUUGAAAACUUUGAGUUUUAACCAUAAGGAAAAAAAUAAAACUUAAAAUAAAUAGUACCAAGAUUGAUUUUUUACUGUAAAAAUAUAAUUUUUCGUUAAAAUAAACAGGAUGGAGCUUUCCUUCCUUAUUUUUAUUUUUUAUGCUGUCUUGGUCAACCGCCAAACACCAAGUCCUCCUCCUAAACCCGCAAACACGACCCAACCUAGACCCCCGGUCGUUGAACCUCAAACCCUCCCUCCCUCCCUCCCUCCUCCUUUCUCUCCGCAUAUCUAUAUCGCUGUUCUCGCCAAUCUGCCCCUAAUAAUUUUUAUUAAUUUUUCGUGCUUUUUAUAAAUUUCAUUCGUGCUAUUUGGUAUUGAUAAUUAGGUUUUUUCAAUCCAAAUUCUUGUUUUUUAUUGCUUCUUCUUGCUCGUUCUUGUUGUUGAUCUCAAUCUGUUUUCUGGGUUUUUCUCCGCCCUCCGAUUCCAUUUAUCAGCUUUCGCGUAAGUCAAACUGCGUUUCGUGGUUGAUGCCCUGCGUUUUGUUUGAAGGUACCGAUAUUAAUUGGCAAUCAAUUAGGGUUUUGGAUUCUUGUUAUCGAAGAUUUUUGGGAUUUUUACUGUGGAUUGUGUAGUAUGUUUGAUUAUUUUGUUUGUUUGGUUCAUUUUUGUUUUGAUUUUGUUGUAGCAGGAUGCUAAAGAUAUGAUGAAUCAAGGAGGUAAUGCUGAGACGAUAGCUCCACUGGACCCGAAUUCGCUUGAGGUGAUUACUACUAAGCCCACUUCUCUGUUACGUUUUUUGUAUUAAAUUCUGAUUGACAGCAGGAGAUUUCAAUUUCAAACAGAUUUUGUUGCCAUAUAGAAUGUGAUUUAAUAAAGCAUAGCCUCGCCCGCAUUUGGUAGUUUAGCUGUAAUAAACUUAGUUUUUUUAGUAUAGCUCAAAGGAUUAUCUGGGUGUUGUUCUCUUAGGCAAAUAAUUAUCUUACCAAAUGGCCUGUACUGCUCGUCUAUAGUGGAUGCUAAGCUUGUUGUCUCUGAUUUUCCAUUUGUUAUAUUCCGUUCAGUUUACUUGACACGUCUACCAAUUUUAUGAUAGCCAUUUUUUAGUUGACUCUGUAUAAUUUUUCAUAUAUAUAUAUAUAUAUAUUAAUACUAAUUGAUUAUUGCUUUUUGAAUGGCAAUAAUGAUUAACACAAUUUUGCAUUUAUUUGUGUUUUAGAAUCGGUAUAAUAUUAAUGCAAACCAAGGACAGACGCCUUCAUAUCCUCCUCUUUCAACAGCUGGUUCAGAAGCCUCGUCCUGGAACGUUCAUAGGACGGACAAUAGCUCGACAGAUAAUGGGGUUCAUUCCCAUUCAACCUAUCAAUACGAUCAGCAACCACAGCCGCCUGGGAGUAGUACAUCGAGUUUGGGAACAGUAAAUGCACCACAAGAUUACAAUAGCUAUGCUUCAUACCAACAUUCUUCAGAUACAUAUGGUUAUGGAAGCGCAGGGUACCCAGGUUACUAUAACAACUAUCAGCAGCAGUCCAACACUUCCUACUCACAGCCUGUAGGAGCAUAUCAAAAUACAGGUGCUCCUUAUCAGCCUCUUUCCUCAUUUCAGAAUACAGGGUCUUAUGCUGGGUCUGCAAGUUAUUCAAGCACUUACUACAAUCCUGCUGAUUAUCAGACAGCUGGAGGUUACUCAAGUAGCAGCUACAAUAAUCAGACUACCGCUUGGAGUGACGGAAAUUAUGCAAAUUAUACGCCUCAUCAAUAUUCACAGUACACCCCGGAUACCACUGCUGCAUAUAGUUCUAUUACUGCGACUUCAACUUCACAAAAUUAUGAGCAGCACUACAAGCAAUGGGCAGAUUAUUACAGUCAAACAGAAGUCAGCUGUGCUCCCGGUACUGAGAACAUUUCUGUUACAAGUACACCCAAUGCAGGAUGUCCGGUUCCAGGUGCUACCACCGGGUAUCAAACCUCGGACAGCCAGCUACCCCCACCACCACCACUACCUUCAUAUGCUCCUUCUUGGAGGCCAGAACCCAGUCCAUCUGAAUUGCCAUCAGUGCAGGUUUGAAUUUCCUUCCGCGGAGGGUUUUUGAAAACGUUCCAUGCCCUCAUAUGCCAGCUCUUCUUGAUAUGGUGCAUUGUUCAAAUCUAUUAAUGAUCCAAGUCUUAGUAUUCAUAUGAUUGAAACUGUCAUUAAUGAGUGAUAUUGUCAUCAAAGAUUAUUGCUGGUGUACAUUGUAGUUAUACUUCAGAUUUGUGCAUCAUCACAUAUAUAGCCUUUAUUUUUGUUUUAUGUUUUGUUUUAGCUUACAGUUAAUCUUUACAUUUUAAACCAAUCAUUAGAUAGAGUUCCAUGAUAUUUCUGACAACUACAGUUGAUGGUUUAUCUAAUGAUAUUGAUCUGAUUUUAAAUUCGAAUAUCUCUAUAGUCAUGACUAUGCUGUUGAAAUAUGUUUGGUUAGUAAAAUUCUUCUUGUUAUUUUUUGGCUUCUCAGUCUGGUGCUGUAGUUAUUGGUGCUCAUGAUGGUUACUGGAAUCAUGGGGCUCCAACUUCUCAAUCUCAAGUUCACCACAAUAGUUCCAUGCAACAACACAUCCAAAAGCCUAUGGAUGAAAAGGCUUCUUAUGAUAGCUUUCAGGAUCACCAGAAAACUGCAUUUUCUCAAGCACCCAACAUGCAGUAUCCUGCUUCUCAGCCGGUUCCCCAUGCGUCUCAUACUUACCAAUCACCCUUGCAACCUGUUCGAUCCCAUGCGUCUCAUACUUACCAAUCACCCUCACAACCUGUUCCAUCCCAUGCGUCUCAUACUUAUCAAUCACUGUCCCAACCUGUUCCAUCCCAUGUGUCUCAUACUUAUCAGUCACCCUUGCAACCUGUUCCAUCCCAUGCGUCUCAUACUUACCAAUCACCCUCCAAACCUGCUCCACCUAUAGGUACACAAAGAGAUAAUAAACUGCAGAUUCCAACAAACCCUAGAAUCACUUCAAAUCCAACCUUUGGGUUACCAAAAACUGACAAGGAUAGCUGUACAACCACUGCAGCAGCAAAACCUGCUUAUAUCAGUGUUUCACUGCCAAAGCCGGUUGACAAGGUGACAUCCAGUGCCACUGCUGAUUCUCUACUUAAGGUAUGUCUUCUGCUUUGAUGAUUGUUGCUUUUUUUUAAGCAUCAAUACCCAGUUAUUUCUUUCCAGACUGACUACUAAAAUAAUAAAGAUAUGAUGGUCAUUGCUUCUCAUCUUUUCUUCCAGAAAUAUCUUUGGAGUGGAAGUUUGUUACCUCUUAAGAUACUCUUCUUAGGUUGCGAGUGUGCUAUUCUGCUAUGUUAAUCAUACAUGGUUCUUAAAUUGUAACAUAACAUAAAUUGCCAUCCCUUUUACUAACCCUUUUUAAAUGCAAGCAUACUGACAUUCUACUACUUUUAAGAAAACAAAAUGUUGAUAGCGCUGGGGCAGCAUAUAGUCCUACAAUGAAUAAGCAAUUAAUUAAGAAGUUGGCUUUGGAAUGGGCGUGCUUUUUUGAAGGGAAAAGUGAGGCAGUUGGCUUAAAAUUUAGAAUAAAAAGGGAAGAUUUUGUCACUUCAACAUUUAUUUGAAUACUUGUUUUUCUAGUAGGAUAUCUGGAAUAAUAAGUGGAGAAGAAUGGGGGAAUUCUUUCCUGCAACUUCGUAUAAAAAGGAACUCUCUUUUCUCUGAAACUUUUUAAUUGAAGAGUUCAUUCCAAACAUAUAAAUAACAUGAGAUGAACCUACGCCUCUAAAUAUGAGGAUGAUUACCUCUAGAGUGAUUUGAAAUUUGCCAGGGCUUGCCUUAUGAUAUGGUUUUGAUACAAAUUGAUAGUAAUGAAAUAAAGUGUCAUUCCUCUCUUAAAGUCCAAGAACUGAUGCAAAAUCUAGUGAACAGUUAUAAUUAAGCUAUAGGUACUCGACUCUGAUUGUGGUUGAUAGGUGCACCGCAUGUUUUUAGCAUCUUAAUUCAUUUUGAAUACUUAAUUGUUUAAAUUGAUAAAUCAAUGUGUUUGGAGAUUUCUGCAGCAUCCUACCAACAUGGUUUCCUAUAAUGUGUUUUUACUGUUUUGGGUGUUAUGCAUGUCUUUGUCCUCUUCCCGUAUGUCAUAACAUUACGCAGAGAAUGGUAUGUAGUUCAUGACUCAAUAAUCUAUAUGCUGUAGCUAAUGAAUAUGAAUUUAUUUAUAUAUGCAUCUUUUUUCGUUUUCAGCCUGGUAUGUUUCCCAAGUCGCUGUGUGGUUAUGUCGAAAGGGCUUUGGCUCGCUAUAAAGAUGAUAGGCAAAAGGCUGCAUGUCAGUCUGUCAUGACGGAGGUAAGCCAAAUUGGUUGGAAGUUUUUCUCUGCCAACUGUGAAAUCAUACAUGUUGAUGGACUCUUGCAAACUCCACUUUUUGGCAUGACUUUUGGAUUUUUUUAUCAAUUGUAGCCGCCCUUAGUAACUGUUAUCUAAUAGGUUGUGAUGAUAAUAAAACCACUAUAUACGUUAUUGCGAAGAGUUGAGUCUUGAGGUCUUUGCAAAAUGCAAUGAUUUUCCAUGACCCAAAACCUCCUGCAUGUUCUAUGACUUACCUGCCACAUAUUUAUCUGAAGAACUAUUACCUAUAUAUGAACAUCAGUUUAUCAUUAAAUGUCAUGUUGCGUCUUCCACAAAUGUUCAUCUGAUGGUACACAUUUUUUUUUUUUUUUGAGAAGAAACAAUUUUAUUAAAGAAUAGAGAAAUACACAGAAGUGGAUAAGAAGUCCACCAACAAAUUAGAAAGGAAAAUCCCAAUAGGAUUUGGCUACAGCAGCCAAUUCUAGACCUAGCUCACUUAACUGCUGCUAACAAAUCCCACAAUAUUUGAGAUAGAGAGCAAUUAUUAAACUCUUUAGUAACCGAAGCCCAAAAAGAUGCCCAAUAUUUUACUCUCCCCCAAAGUACUUCUGCCCCCACUCCAGUAUAGUCUUCAAAAAUCCUUUUGUUGCGUUCCAGCCAUAUAUUCCAAAAAAUUGCCGAUACCAGGCAACCCCACAAAGCUUUGGAUUUUUUCCCUUUUCCAAGUGCCUUAAAAUUGGUGCUUAGUAGCUCAAAACACCCUUUAGGAAUGACCCAACUUACUUUAACCUCCUGAAACAGUUUCCACCACAGUUGGAUCGAGUAGGAGCAAUGAAGAAAGAUGUGAUUUACACUCUCCUCCUUAGCUUUGCAUAAACUACACCAAUGUGGGGAUAAACACAUCAGAGGGUUUCUCCUUUGAAUUUUGUCGCAAGUGUUGAGACUCCCAGUGGCCACAAGCCAUACAAGUAUUUUAACCUUCGGAGGAGCUUUUGAUUUCCAAAUCUGAGAGUAGGGUGGAUAAUAGUGCCCAAUCCCAUUGUUGCUCAGUAAUGAACGAUAGGAUUUGCAUGUGAACAAACCUGAAUGUUCUAGGUUCCACCUUCUAUUAUCCAUUUUUGAUGGAGACAAGUGAACCACUUCCACUUUCUGUAAUAAGCUGGCCGCCUCUUCUAUCUCCAUCUCAUUCAGAUUUCUCCUAAAAUCAAAGUUCCAACUCAAGGAACUUGACGAAACUUCCACAAAGCUGGAGAUGUUAUGAUUAUGCUUCCUCGAUAAUAGGAAUAAUCUGGGGAAUUGCUCCUUCAGCGGUCCCCCUGCUAACCACCCAUCCUCCCAAAACCUCACCCUCUCUCCAUUGCCCACCUCAAACUUGCAACAUCUAAGAAACUGAUGAGCACCACUCGAAAUGUCUUUCCAUGGGCUACGACUUGAAACCCUCCUUGGAGGAAGU